AUUAAACAAGGCUUAGCUCUUCCAGAUCGUGAACCUUUUAAUCCGAAGACAGCAAGUCCACAAGACUGUCAAGAGCUUCAACAGAAAACUAUGCCUUUCUUCGCAGACCUGCCUUCUCUGGUUGACUCAACAUUAUGCUCCACUUGACCUGAUGAAGCAUGUUCCAAGCAACCGAAUAGUAGUUAAGUUUCAAUUCUUUACACUUAUUUACAUCAUACCCAACUUAGUUCUCAUUGUGUGUAGUCUAGUUUUCAGUAGGAAUCUCGUGUUUGUAUAGAACUAUUGUAUCCUUGUCAUCGAUCUUUGUUUUAUUUUCAUUUAUCUUGUUAUGCAGGAAUAUACUUAAUUAUUGUGAUUAAAACAAAAAUUAUGAUCGGUUUCAUGUGCCUAUUAAAGCUAUAAGAAAUUAAACUUUUGAAUUCAAAAGGACAUCCAGCAAUUUGCCACGGGCUGGCGUAAGAGUUCUGACAUUAACAAGCCGUCAUUGUCCCAACCAACUUGAAGUUCUGUCUGGCAAUUCUUCAUAAUUUUUGACGAACGUAAAAGCUAACAACUAACUUCAACAGAGUAAGCAUUCAAUGGUCGAUUAUUUUAAUAUUAUAUUCACUCAAUAAUUGAGGAUGAUACCAAAUGUUUGUGGCUCAGUUGUUAGUACAGGCUGAGUUUGUGGGAAGAGUUUUGUGGGAAGAGUUUUCGGGUUUGAUCUCCACUAAACACACCAUUUGGGAGGGGUAAAGAGUUUUAAUUGUGACUACACUCCGAAUUUGGAUUAAUCGAGGCCCAAUGCGGUGCCGGUCGCGGCACACUAAAUGGUUUACAACAAAAAAAAAAAAUUGAGGAUGAGUCUUUCUUUGUUAUUAUAUCAAUUGUUUUAUAAUUUUAAGAAGAUGAAUCAGCAUUGUAAGCCAUCAUUUUCAUUUAUAAUAAAAUUUAAUAUACAAAAUGACUGGUGAGGUACCACCAUACCAGGCGGUGCAUGGAAAGAUGGGGAAUUUGGGACUUCCAGUGCGGCGAGAGACUGAGCAUGAGGGUGCUGCAGCGGCUGGGCAUCACUUAUGAGGUAGCUACUUAAUGACCUGAUCAGUUGAGUUUUGGGGAAUUUGGAUUUUGGAUCAAUUAGUUAGGGAGUUGAGUGAGUUUUGUAACUUUAAGAAAAUAGAAUUUGACUGUAAUUAUUAGUUAUAUCUUUUACGAUAAGUUUUAAUAAGAGUAAAUUUACAAUUAAUUAUUAUUAUUUUUUUUAAAAAAAAAAACCUUAGCCUCCUCUUACCUCCGCCCUUGGUACCUGCUAAAACCAAAUACCCAAAUUAUGAAAACGAAGAGCGAGACGAUAUGUUACUGGAUUGUUAUCAAAAUUUGAAGCUAGAACUUAGCAAUUGCCCAAAGAUAAAGAUUUGCUAAGAUUUUAGACCCACAGACUUUUUAGUACCAAUUUAUCUUCUUUCCUUUAAGAAUGUUGGUGAUUUGUAGAGCCAUGCCCUGUAUUCAAAAUAAACAAAUUUGAAGAAUAUAUCUGUUGAUUCCGGUAGGGCAGGAGUCUCAUGCACAAGUUUCUCAUCUAUUUUCUUACCAGAACAAAUUUCUAGUCAAAAUGAGGGUGUGAAAGGAAGAUAAAUAGACGAAAUUUGGCCCACCACUUCAUUCUUCCUAAAUGAAUAGCUUUUUACCCUAUUAAACGAGGAAAAAUGGAUUAGAUUCUCCCUUAAUUUGAUCUGAUUAGUGAUUACUAAAUAAAGACCACACACUUUAUUGUAGUGUGUUUCGUCAUUUAAUACAUUGCAGUUUGUAUGUGGCCCUAGUUUAGUUGGGUAUUAGAUCACUUAAUUGGAAAGGGACUUCCUUAAUUAUUUUUCAAAAGCACAUCCUAUAAGACUCCAACAGAUGGAGUCCAAGUUCUAGAAUAGAUGAAUAAAUGAUGUCAGUUAAAUGGCAAUAGCCCACCAAAGAAGACAAGGAAAACAAGUUAGGAGAGAUUUUACGGUAUACCAAAAGUACUACAUUUAAUUAAUACAUAUACGUUAUAUGUGUAUUUAUUUUAAAAAAUUUAUCAUGUAAUUAAUAGUUAUAUUUAAUUAAACUAUACAUAUCAUACAUGUAUUAAUUAUAUGUAGCACCUAUAUUAUACUCUAGAAUUUCUCACAAGAUAAUAUGUCAAUAUAUCACAAACACAAAGUUUGAAUCCUGUGAAAUAUGUUUAAAAUUGACUCUUGUAGAAAUUAUUAUGUGGUGGUGAAAUGAUUAUGAUAAAUAAUAUAUUAACACAUGUCAAUAUAUAAUUAUGCUACAUCAAUGAGGGUACCAUUGGUUUCACAUUUUUAUUUUACGUCUUAACUUUUGUAUUGACAAUAUUAGUUUUGUAUUAUAUAUAUAUAUAUAUAUAUAUAUAUAUAUAUAUAUAUAUAUAUAUAUAUAUAUAUAUAUAUAUAUAUAUAUAUAUAUAUAUAUAUAUAACUACUAAGUUAUUUUUUGCAAUCAAUAAAUAUCUAAUAACUCAAUACUUUUAUAUUUAUGCUCAUAAAAUUUUUACUUUUUAAAUAAAUAUUAAAAUAUCUUUAAAAUAAUAAAUUAUAUUUUUUUAACACUAAUUAAAACAAAUAAUUUUCACAUUUAAUCUUGUUUUAGUUUAUAACAUGGACCAUUCGCUCACCACUUGGCAUAACUUUGUAACCUAGGUCCUGUUUGGAAUCAAAGUAUUAUACCUUUUAAGUUACAACUGCCGUAAAAAUUUUGUAAUUAUAAAACAAAAAAUUAAUAGCUGUGAACUUAAUGAUUGCUUACUAAACUUUAGGCAUUUAUUUAUUUAAUUAAUUGUCUAAAAUUUACUUGUUAAUGUUAUUGACAAUACUUAUGUAUUGAUUAAAAAGAUGAAGUAAGGUAUUGAUCUUAUUGAUCAACAGAAAUAUUUUAUACUAGAUUGACAUAUUUGUGUAUUUAUUUUAAUGUUAAAACUUUAAUUUCUCAUUUAUACUGAUAAAAUUUAGAAAUGGGUAUUAUAUGUAGAUUUUUAAGCUCCUAUUAUAAAUUUAUAGUUUGACUUAUAUAAUUUAAUUUAUUUUUUAUGUUUUUAAAAGUAUUGUUUUAAUAUUUGUGAAGUAAAAACCCAUUGCAGGUUACGCGAGGAUUUAGUAAUUGUUAAAACCUACAACAUGUGAAUUUUUUUUUUUAAAUAAAAAACCCAUAGCGAGUUAAGAAUUUACUAAUUUAAUUACUUUUUACAAGUGCAUGUUUGAUAAUGAUAAAAUCACUGCACUGAAAGAAAUUCUAUGAAGAAUAUAAUUAUUGUUCUGUGUUUUUAAUGAAAUUUACAGAAUUAUUUAUACAAAAUAAAGACAAAGUAGCCGUUGAAAGGCUUAAUAAUAUUAAAGGAGAAUAAGUGAAUACUUCCUAAACUAUUGCACAAUAUCUUUAUAAAAUAGGAAUGAAGUAUUCCUACAUGAUAUUGACAUUCAAGUGCAAAAAUCGUGCCGGAGAUAUUCCUUGACAAAUAACUUUGACGUGAGCAAGUCGUGUGGAGUGAUAAACCCGACUUGACCGUUAAUGACUAGCUAAACAACAUAAAUAAAUGUAUAACGAUUCUUAUAUAAAAUGCCACCACCCCAACAUAAUUUCUUCAGUUAUAUUUACUUGGAAACAAGAGAGAUGAAUAUGAAGAAGCAGAAGCCAAAAGCUAUUGUAGUUGGAGGAAGCAUUGCUGGGGAAUCAUGCGCAAAAGCACUUAUUUCAGCAGGCUGGGAUGUUGUUGUGAUUGAGAAAACUCGUGGACCCCCAACCCAAAACCCAACCGGUGCUGGCCUUGGACUCGAUCCACUGGCUCAGAAAAUUGUUCAGUCAUGGCUCCAUGAACCUGAACUUCUUUACAACAACACUUUACCUCUCACCAUUACUGAGGUAUAUAAUAUAAUAUAUUUAAUUUCUUUUUUCCUAGUAGAAUCCAGUAGUGCUUUGAAUUAUACUGAUCUCUUAAAGAUAUUAGUUGCACACGUGUAUAUACAAUGGUGUAUGGUUAAGAUUUGAUAAAAGUAUAUUUUGCUCUGCACAAAGUACAAUUUAGAAUGGAAUCUCAUUGGGAAAAAAAAUAUCUAUAUAUGUUGAAUAGAUAAAAUUUCAAUUUGUGUUUAAUUGCAGAACCUAGCAACAGAUGGGGAAAAGAAGAUCAGCUGGGUAAUAGGAAGAGAAGAAGGCAAUAAGUAUCUGAAUGCAUAUUGGGCUGAUCUUCAUGGCCUUAUAUACAAUACUCUGCCACCUGAAAUAUUUUUAUGGGGUCACCGGUACCUGUCUUUCUGUAUUUCUGAAGACAAAUUAACUGUCAAAGUUAGAGCUAAGGAUCUUGAGACUGAUGAAAUAAUCGAGAUAGUAGGAGAUUUGCUCGUCGGAGCAGAUGGGAUCCUCUCAUCAAUUGGUCGGAGCAUUCUACCUGACUUCAAAUUGAGGUUUGUGCUUGCUUGUGAAUAUCAAUAAAAGUAAUUAAUUUUUGAGUAUUUUGUUUCAUAAAUUUCAAUGUGUUUUUAAUAGGUACACAGGAUACUGUGCGUGGAGAGGUGUUUUUAAUUUUUCAGAAAACGAUUCAGAAACCAUCUUAGGCAUUCGAAAAUCGUAUCCUGAUAUUGGGAAAUGCCUUUACACGAAUAUUGGUUCAGGAUCUCACAUCAUACUCACUGAGCUUAAGAAAGAGAAGUUCAAUUGGGUUUGGUAUGUCAAUCAACCUGAGCCCGAGCUCAAGGUAACUGCUUACUUUUGUUUCAUCUUUUUAUUUUGUUUUCGGGGUUUUGGGUUGAGUGCUAAAAUCUAAUUUUUGCAAACGAUCAACACAGCUCAGACCAUCACUGGAUCCAAUUUUUUUUUUUAAUUUUAAUUUUCCGGUUUAUCAAUGCAUUAUGACGUGACAUUGGGAAACAAAUUAUUUUAUUCUCUGCAGGGAAAUACAACUUCUGUGAAAGUAAGCAGUGACAUGAUCGAGGAGUUGCACCAAAGAGCAGAGCAGGUUUGGUUACCUGAAUUGUCAAGAAUGAUCAAAGAAACAAAGGAUCCUUUCCUUAAUGCUAUAUAUGAUUGCGAUCCUUUGGAGAAAAUCAUCUGGGACAGAGUGGUGCUAACAGGAGAUGCAGCUCACCCGACAACUCCACACUCUGCCAGAAGCACAAACAUGGCGAUAAUAGAUGCAGCAGUGUUAGGAAAAUGCCUCGAGAAGUGGGGGCCGGAUCAUUUAUACUCUGCUCUGGAAGAAUAUCAAUCCAUUAGGAAACCUGUAACUUCAGCACAAGUUCUACAUUCGCGACGAUUGGGUCAAAUGAAACAAGGGUUAAGUAUUCCUGGAAGGGAGCGGCCUUUUGAUCCAAAGACAGCAAGUCUAGAGGACUCGGAAUUCAUCGUUGUGCCUCCUUUCGACGUUGUUCCUCCGAUUCUUGAUUCAAUUUUUCGUUCUGCUUGAUGACUUCAAAGGACACGGCUUGGUCUGUUCAUUAUGCUAACUAUAGCUGCCUAUAAAUAAGAGGGUUUACCUCAAUUGUGUGAGUAAAAGAACUGCUAUACUUAUGUUCCUUCCUGUAAUAACGAAAGCCUCUUACUUAAUUCAGUGUCUCUACUUCUUCAGCAAAAUAAAAAUAAAUUCUUGAUCGAAAUACACCCAACUUUUCCAAUUUUCUUAUAAAAAUGACACCACGAUAGGAUGGGAUUGUCCUUGUGUUGUGUCAUUGAUCUAGUAACUAUUAUUAGCGAUAUGAAACAUUUUUUCUAUCAUCUUCCAUCACAUGUGUAGGUCAAUAUUUUUGUUUGGUCCUUGUCCUAGUGAUAAGAUAAUGUGAGUGAUUUUGAGAGAAAAUAUGAAAAACACAAACAAUGAAAAUGCCCUUUUACUUAAACUAAGACAGAUUUUUUUACACUGAAGUUGAUAGAAGACACUCGAAUGCGCAGGAGUGAAAUCUUGACAAAUUAAAGCGAGAACUAAGGCAUGCUAGUCCUUUCUCGCGCAUUUAGUUGACAUUAUUUUGCUUUGAAAAUAAAUGCGGGCAUGGUUGAAGGCAUUUUAUCUUUCCGGAAGUGGAUGGAGAAAUAAAUAUAAUUAAAAGGGAUGCGAAUAAUAAAUGCCAGUUUUUUCUUAAUAACGAAGAAUAUAUUAGAAAUAAAUUGAAAUGUAACAAAAUACUUGAAAUAAUUCAAGUGAUGGGUUUUUUCUCUGUCAAUAACGCUUGAUAGUUCCUUGUCAUGAGCUUCUUAUCUUCUGUCUUGAAGGAAGAAAUUGCAAAAGACGAAUAAAACGAUUUCCUUUACACAUUCAAUCAAUGCUGCUGCCUUUAUAUCUUUAUUAUUCUCGGAGGGAUGAUAAUACUGUUGAGAGCCAAAACCAUUACCCAUACUCACUCCUCUUAUGGCCAUGUCUAACUCUCUACAAUAAUUUCGAUAUUGCUGUUCUUCAGUUCUUCCACUACUCAACAAAUGCGAAGGUAUGCGAUGGCUCCACUCGAUCAAGUUGAUUUUACAUUUGUUACAAUCUACUCCCGCCAUUGCUAGAGCCUCUAUGGACAUGUUUUAACAAGGUGAAGGAGGAGCUAAAUAAAAUUCACAAUUUUCCUGAAAGUUUACAGCUUCCAGGAAAUUCACCACCUCUAUAGAAUUGUAAUAACAAGAAUUGUGGUCUCCGUAAAAGAAUUUAUAAGAGUUAAUAUAAAAGAUUUGAUUAGGAGAAUGAAUUUUAUACGGACUAGAAAUACUCAUGAUUAAUUGGUUAUUCAGAUGGUUUAGAAAUCCUCUCGAUAUUAGGAAGCCAUUUACGAUUCUGAUUAUUGUUGUUCUAAAUAUAUUAGUUUGCACCAACUUCCAAUUCCACAAUUACUCUGACAGCGGUUUUCACGGACUUAUUUAUGUAUCUGAAUCUUUUUAUUCAUGCAUGAAAGAAUAAUCUCUUGCAAACUCACAACUUCAAUUAUGAAUAAACUAGCUAGCAACCAUUUCUUUACUUUUAAUUGCUUUGGAAAUUAAGGAUUCGUCAGCCGCCAGAUUCCGCAGUGAUUCUGUUGCAUUGGAUGUCUUCAAUUUCCUUUUGCAUUCCAUUAUUUGUUGAACUAUUUAUGCACGGGUGGAGGAGGAAUUCUAGAAUACAUUUGAAAUAAUACAAUCAACUAAUGCAUGCACACCACUCGUAUGGAGAUUUUUCAAAAAUAAAUGUACACAUGUCAUAACAUUAUCUACUUAUUAUAUGACUGACAUGAUAUUUUUUAUGUAUUCUAAAAUUUUUCUGAGUGGAGACCAUGAGUGGUAACAUCCUCGUGACAAAAGAGUAUUACAAAGAGAGAAUCACUUGUCAAUUUGAAUAUUUAUUGUAUUGAAACUACUAAGUAUAUAAGCUCGGACAACCCUAAUUUCAUGAUGAGGGGUUAAAGACAAUACUAUUCUAAAAGAAAAUGGAACGAAAUCGUCCAUCCAUAGCCAUUAUUUGACUUUUAGAUUUGCCCUUCCAAAUUUUAACAAAAUGCGCAGACGAUUUUUAAUUUAUUCAUGUGAGCGAAGUACAACAAAAUUAUUGAACCAAUCAGAACCAAGAUGGAAAUGAUCAUAAGCAAAAGUAAUUUGCAAGGACGAAUGGAAGCAGAUAAAUUAUUCUAAUUAAGAAGGAUAUUUACUAGGAUCAUACCUUAAUCACUUUAUUAUAAAUUAAAAAUGUCCGUACAAGAACUGCCGCAAAUUAAUUAAACUAUUGGAAAAAGAAAAAUUGCAGACAAAAUCUCAAUGAAUUUUAAGCCAAUUUGGCUAACAAAGACAUGCAACCAGCGCCUAAAAGAAGAGAAACAUUUGCUCCAAACUGAAGCCUUUUAUUGGUUUGCAUCUUUGGAUUCAUAAAAUCUGCAGCAAGAAGAUCCACCAAGGACAUGUAUAUUAGGAUUCCGGCUGCUGCUGCAUUGAAUAUUCCUUCAACAAUAAGAGCAGUGGGGCUAUUUUCGUCAUAAACACUUGAUAUUCCAAUGCCUAUUUUUACACUAAUUUGAUCAUUUUGUAAUAUAAAAAUUUGACAAUUGAAAAACAAAUCAACUUUUUUUUUCUUAAAAGAAACGAAUCUGUCAAAGGCAGCCAUCCAUGUUGUUCAAAGAAGAGGAAUUUUGCAGCAAGUUGGAAAGGAAAAGGAGCACACGGGUUUGACAUUUGAAAGAAGAAAAAAGAACGUAAAAAUAAUAUAGAAUUGCUGCAUAGUGCCAAAGCUUUCUCUAUAAAUAGAAACGAAGAGAAUGAGCAAAGGCAUUCCAUUCAGAGAGCAAUUUAGGGAGUUGAGAGAGAGUUCAAGAGCUUGCAUUUAUAAGCUCUUGUUACAAUGAUUGAGAGAGUUUGGGUGUAUUGGGAUUUUGGGUAGUGAGCUAAAAUACUACAAUACUUGUAACUCCUUUUCACUAGUAAAAUAUUUCCUUCUGUCUUCGCCCGUUGACAUAGGCUAAAAGCCGAACCACGUAAUUUCUUGUGUCCUCUAUUGUGCUUGUUCUUUAUUUUUCUUACAAUUUAAUCUUAGCUGCGUGUCUGCUUCACCCACCAAUUUUCUAACAGUGGUAUCAGAGCUAUUGGUUGUAUUUUUUGGAGUCAGAAACUGUUCACGUAAGGGGUAUUAUUCACGUAUACGGCACUAUACACGUAUACGAUACUAUUCACAUAUAUGGUACUGUUCACGUACAUGAUUUUGUUCGCAUAUACGGUACUGUUCACGUAUACGGUACUAUUCACGUGAAACGGUGGAAGCGAUCCAAGAAUUUUGCGGUGCAAAGCAGGGAAUAGUGGUGUGAGUAAAGCAACUGUGUGGUUUUGUACAUGUCUAGGAAAGUUCUGUCACAAAGGCGAUAAGAGCUUAAGGAGUCUGGGUUUUAAGUGGGACCAUUGUGACCCCUCCAGUCUUUCCUGGGAACUUUCCUGGUGUGCAUUCUCACACAUACUCACAACUAUUCAAGGUAGUACACUAGCUUGUGUGCGGUAUUUAUCAACAAAAUGGCGGCAAAGUAUGAAAUUGAGAAGUUUAACGGAAAUAAUUUUUCGUUGUAGAAAAUGAAGAUGAAAGCUGUAUUGAGGAAAAAUAAUUGUUUGGCAGCAAUUGGAGAAAGGCCCAUAGAGAUAACUGAUGACAAGUGGAACGAGGUAGACGGCAACGCCAUUUCUGAUCUACACUUGGCACUUGCGGAUGGAGUAUUAUCCAGUGUGGCAGAGAAAAAUACGGCGAAGGAAAUAUGGGAUACUCUCACAAAAUUGUACGAGGCCAAGUCACUACACAACAAAAUCUUCUUGAAGAGGAAACUCUAUACUCUUCGAAUGGCGGAAUCUACAAUAGUGACUGACCACAUCAACACCUUGAAGACUCUAUUUUCACAACUCAUAACGUUGGGUCAUAAUAUAGAGGAAAAUGAAUGUGCAGAGCUUCUACUUCAAAGUCUACCAGAUUCGUAUGAUCAACUCAUCAUCAACCUGACGAACAAUAAUCCAGCGGACAGUCUAGUUUUCGACGAUGUUGCAGCCUCCGUAUUAAAUGAGGAAAGCAUGCGGAAAAAUAAGGAAAACAGACAAGCAAGUUCGCAACAAGCGGAGGCGCUAUCGGUGACGAGAGGGAGAUCAACAGAACGUGGCCCCAGUGGGAGUCAAAAUCAUGGUAGAUCAAAAUCCAGAAGUAAGAAGAAUGUUAAAUGCUACAACUGUGGCAAGAAAGGGCACGUCAAGAAAGAGUGUUGGAGUAACCAGAAGAGAAGAUAGGGCAAAGAACUUGAGUCAUCAAAUGCUCAGGGGUGUGUAGCAAGUACCUCGGAUGAUGGCGAAAUUCUAUACAGUGAGGCAACAACUGUUUCAGAAGGCAGAAAACGACUUUCUGAUGUCUGGCUUAUAGACUCAGGAGCUACCUGGCACAUGACCUCUAGGAGAGAAUGGUUCCACACAUAUGAACCUAUCUUAGGAGAUCUGUAUAUAUGGGUAACGAUCAUGCCUUGGAGAUCGCUGGUAUUGGUAUUAUCAAAAUAAAAAUGUUUGAUCGUACAAUUCGCACAAUUGGUGAGGUACGACAUGUCAACGGCCUGAAGAAAAAUCUAUUGUCUUUGGGACAAAUAGACAAUCAUGGGUGCCAAACUCAUAUGGCGAAUGGAAUUAUGAAGAUCGUUAAAGGCGCGCUUGUAUUGAUGAAGGCAGAAAAGAUCGGUGCUAACCUAUUCAUGCUUAAAGGAGAAACACUACAGGAGGCUGAUGCGUGUGUCGCAUCAAAUGGAGAAGAGUCAACAAUGAUGUGGCAUCUCAAACUUGGCCACAUGUCAGAACAAGGUUUGAAGAUUCUCUCUGAGCGAAAAUUACUUCCGGGGCUCAAAUUGGUAAGUUUACCAUUUUGCGAGCAUUGUGUUACUAGUAAGCAGCAUAGAUUAAAAUUUAGUAGAUCUAUUGCUAGAAGUUUAUGCAUUCUAGACUUAAUUCAUUCUGAUGUUUGGGAAUCACCGGAUAUAUCCAUGGGAGGUGCAAAGUACAUGGUGACUUUCAUUGAUGAUUAUUCCAGAAGAUGUUGGGUGUAUCCAAUUAAGAAAAAGUCAGAUGUAUUUCCAGUGUUUAAAGAAUACAAAGCGCGGGUGGAACUUGAAUUUAGUAAAAAGAUCAAGUGCUUAAGGACGGAUAAUGGUGGAGAGUAUACAGACGGCGAGUUUCUUGCUUUCUGUAAGCAAGAAGGUAUUCAGAGGCAGUUCACGGUGGCAUACACUCCUCAACAAAACAGAGUGGCAGAGCGGAUGAACAGAACUCUUACAGAAAGAAUAAGAGCUAUGUUGAGGACUGCUGGUCUACCCAAUUCAUUCUGGGCAGAAGCAGCCAAAACUGCUUGUUAUAUAGUAAAUCGAUCGCCAUCUACAGCUAUUGGGCUAAAGACAGCAAUGGAGAUGUGGACUGGAAAGCCAACUGAUUAUUCCUACCUACAUGCAUUUGGAUGUCCUGUGUACGUGAUGUACAAUGCCCAAGAAAGAACAAAGUUAGAUGCAAAAUCUAGAAGAUGUAUCUUCUUGGGGUAUGCUGAUGGAGUAAAAGGGUAUCGUCUGUGGGACCCCACUGCCCACAAGAUCGUCAUCAGCAGAGAUGUUAUCUUUGUAGAAAAUCAACUGCAAAGGAGAGAUGAGGAUGAUGACACUACAAAAGAAAAGUCAGAGAUCGUGCUAGUAUAUGUGGAAAAUAAUCUAGAAGAUUCAGAUUCUUCUGAAGCAGCACUAGAGCAUGAGGAACAAGAACCAGUCGAGUCCGAGGCUCAAGAAGUUCGUCGGUCAACUCGUGAGAGACGACCACCAACAUGGCACUCGGAGUAUAUCACAGAGAUCAACGUUGCAUACUGUCUUCUAACAGAGGAUGAAGAGCCUUCAACUUUCCAUGAAGCUUUAGAAAGCUUAGAUAUUGCUUUGUGGAUGACAGCAAUGCAGGAAGAAAUUGAAGCUCUACACAAGAACAAGACAUGGGAACUUGUACCACUACCACGUGGAAGAAAAGCCAUUGGAAACAAAUGGGUCUAUAAGAUCAAGCGUGAUGACAAUGACCAAGUGGAGCGGUAUCGUGCAAGAUUGGUGGUGAAAGGAUAUGCUUAGAAAGAAGGUAUUGACUUCAACGAGAUAUUUUCGCCCGUGGUUCGACUCACAACAGUUAGAAUAGUCUUGGCAAUGUGUGCUACAUUUGACCUACAUCUAGAGCAGUUAGAUGUGAAAACUGCAUUUCUUCAUGGAGAACUUGAAGAAGAAAUAUAUAUGCUCCAACUAGAAGGUUUUGCAGAAACAGGAAAUGAGAACUUGGUUUGCAGGUUGAACAAAUCUCUUUACGGUCUUAAACAGGCGCCGAGGUGUUGGUAUAAGAGAUUUGAUUCAUUCAUCAUGAGCCUUGGAUACAACAGACUCAGUUCAGACCAUUGUACAUAUUACAAGAGGUUUGAAGAUAAUGAUUUCAUUAUUUUGCUAUUGUAUGUGGAUGACAUGUUGGUAGCAGGUCCCAACAAAGAUCGAAUCUAAGAAUUGAAGGCACAGUUGGCUAGGGAGUUUGAAAUGAAGGACUUGGGACCAGCAAACAAGAUUCUAGGGAUGCAAAUUCACCGAGACAGAAAUAACAGGAAGAUUUGGCUUUCGCAGAAGAAUUACUUGAAGAAAAUCUUGCGACGCUUCAACAUGCAAGAUUGUAAGCCAAUUUCUACCCCACUUCCUGUUAAUUUCAAAUUAUCCUCAAGUAUGUGUCCUAGUAAUGAAGUAGAGAGGAAGGAGAUGUCUCGAGUACCGUAUGCAUCAACAGUGGGAAGUUUAAUGUUCGCUAUGAUAUGUACAAGACCGGACAUUGCACAAGCAGUGGGAGCAGUCAGUCGAUAUAUGGCGAAUCCUGGUGGAGAGCAUUGGAUAGCUGUGAAGAGGGUUCUGAGAUACAUCAGAGGAACCUCAGAUGUUGCAUUAUGUUAUGGAGGAUCAGAGUUUACUGUCAGAGGCUAUGUAGAUUCAGAUUUUGCAGGAGACCUUGAUAAAAGGAAAUCCACUACUGGUUAUGUGUUUACACUUACGGGGGCAGCUGUAAGCUGGGUUUCGAAACUGCAGACCGUUGUGGCUUUAUCUACAACAGAAGCAGAGUACAUGGCAGCUACACAAGCUUGCAAGGAAGCUAUUUGGAUACAAAGGUUAUUGGAGGAGCUCGGGCACGGACAAGAGAAAAUUUCUGUAUUUUGUGAUAGUCAGAGUGCCUUGCACAUUGCAAGGAAUCCAGCCUUUCAUUCGAGGACAAAGCACAUAGGAGUCCAGUAUCACUUCGUUCGUGAAGUAGUGGAAGAUGGAAGUGUGGAUUUGCAGAAAAUCCAUACCAAAGAGAAUCUAGCAGAUGUUUUGACCAAGCCGAUUAAUACUGAUAAGUUUGUCUAGAGUAGAUCCUCUUGUGGCCUAGCAGAAACGUAGGCAACAUGUUUAUGGCGAAGCAGAAAGGAUGGUGUGGAGAUUGAUUGCUUCUCAAUCUAAUCUCCAAGUGGGAGAAAUGUCAAAGGCAGCCAUCUAGAUGGUUUAAAGCAGCCAUCUAGAUGGUCAGCAUCCAUGUUGUUCAAAGAAGAGGAAUUUUGCAGCAAGUUGGAAAGGAAAAGGAGCACACGGGUUUGACAUUUGAAAGAAGAAAAAAGAACGUAAAAAUAAUAUAGAAUUGCUGCAUAGUGCCAAAGCUUUCUCUAUAAAUAGAAACAAAGAGAAUGAGCAAAGGCAUUCCAUUCAGAGAGCAAUUUAGGGAGUUGAGAGAGAGUUCAAGAGCUUGCAUUUAUAAGCUCUUGUUACAGUGAUUGAGAGAGUUUGGGUGUAUUGGGGUUUUGGGUAGUGAGCUAAAAUACUACAAUACUUGUAACUCCUUUUCACUAGUAAAAUAUUUCCUUCUGUCUUCGCCCGUGGACAUAGGCUAAAAGCCGAACCACGUAAUUUCUUGUGUCCUCUAUUGUGCUUGUUCUUUAUUUUUCUUACAAUUUAAUCUUAGCUGCGUGUCUGCUUCACCCACCAAUUUCCUAAUAGAAUCAACUUUUAAAUUCAUUUUGAAGUUAAAAAAAAAAAAGUUGACAGUAAAAUACUAUUAACGUAAGGGGAUUUCAGUAAAUUUUAGAACAUGAGAGAUAAAUGACUAAUUUUACUAGACAAAGGGGGUUAAUUUUCUCCUAAAAAAAAUUAGGUAUUGGUUGAUGACUUUUAAAAAACAAACUACUCUUUAUUAUUAUUUUUUUUAAUUUUCUUUUUGUUCGACCAAAACUCGCAUGGUAUUGGGAUAUACCUAAAUUUGAUGUAAAAUUAGGGAUUAGUUAAAUGAAAUAAUUUAAACACUGCAUUAAAUCUGCCUUUGUCGAUGCUAUCUCACUGUCUUAAGGCCUAACUUCUUGAAAUUUUUUCUGAAAGAUACAACAGGAUCACUUAUCCACAAGCCUAGUCAGCAACUUAGACACUAUUUUCAGCAUUAGCAUUGACAUAAGAACAAAACGUACAAUUGAGCUUAUUAAAAAACAUUGCAGUUGAUUGGAUUGUUAAUAAGUAUGGCACCAUAUGGAUGAUAAAAUUAAGCAGGAAGAAAGAAAAAAUAAAUUUUAUUAUGCAAAAAAUAAACUACAAACUAGGCACAAUAAAUAAAUAAAAAUAAAUUUUAUUAUGCAACCCAGAAUUCUCCUUUGCUGUCUGCCUCAAUGUUGUCCUGAAAUUUUUGGAGCUGAGCAAAAGGUUGUGGAGGGCACAUAGCUCUAUGGUCAUGGAGCCAAAACCUCAGAACUCGCAUUGGGGUGGAUUCAGCCACUAAGAGGAACGUCUUGUCCUCGAUUAGGGCAACUCCAUUUGGAAAUGCCAAACCUCUGUACAUGAUUGUCACCUCAUUGCUGUGUGGAUCAUACUUCAAGUAACUUCCCGCUUCUGUCUCCGUUAUCGAUUACAGAAGAAUAUUGCCUACAAGAAUAGUAAUUCGGUGUAAGCAUUGUAAAAUAUUAAUCUGGAAUUGAUGAACAAGAAUUAAGAAAAGAAAAUAUCCUUCUUUGAAAAUACAUGCUACUGUCAGUAAAAUAAACGACUCCAGUACUAGGAUCGAUAUCCAAGGCAUAUACAUGCUACUGUCAAUAAAAAAAGAAAGAAAAAUAUAAAUAAAUUAUCAAAUAAAAAAAUAUAAAUAAAUGGCACGUAAUGUUUAUUUUUCAUUUAUAAUAAAGUUUAAUAUACAAAAUGACUGGUGAGGUACCACCAUACCAGGCGGUGCAUGGAAAGAUGGGGAAUUUGGGACUUCCAGUGCGGCGAGAGACUGAGCAUGAGGGUGCUGCAGCGGCUGGGCAUCACGUAUGAGGUAGCUACUUAAUGACCUGAUCAGUUGAGUUUUGGGGAAUUUGGAUUUUGGAUCAAUUAGUUAGGGAGUUGAGUGAGUUUUGUAACUUUAAGAAAAUAGAAUUUGACUGUAAUUACUAGUUAUAUCUUUUACGAUAAGUUUUAAUAAGAGUAAAUUUACAAUUAACUAUUAUUAUUAAAAAAAAAAACUAUUAGCCUCCUCUUACCUCCGCCCUUGGUACCUGCUAAAACCAAAUACCCAAAUUAUGAAAACGAAGAGCGAGACGAUAUGUUACUGGAUUGUUAUCAAAAUUUGAAGCUAGAACUUAGCAAUUGCCCAAAGAUAAAGAUUUGCUAAGAUUUUAGACCCACAGACUUUUUAGUACCAAUUUAUCUUCUUUCCUUUAAGAAUGAUGGUGAUUUGUAGAGCCAUGCCCUGUAUUCAAAAUAAACAAAUUUGAAGAAUAUAUCUGUUGAUUCCGGUAGGGCAGGAGUCUCAUGCACAAGUUUCUCAUCUAUUUUCUUACCAGAACAAAUUUCUAGUCAAAAUGAGGGUGUGAAAGGAAGAUAAAUAGACGAAAUUUGGCCCACCACUUCAUUCUUCCUAAAUGAAUAGCUUUUUACCCUAUUAAACGAGGAAAAAUGGAUUAGAUUCUCCCUUAAUUUGAUCUGAUUAGUGAUUACUAAAUAAAGACCACACACUUUAUUGUAGUGUGUUUCGUCAUUUAAUACAUUGCAGUUUGUAUGUGGCCCUAGUUUUAGAUCACUUAAUUGGAAAGGGACUUCCCUUUUUUUUUUUUGAUACAUUGGAGUCUAGUAAAACUAGGCUAAAACAGAACGGGAAAUAGAGGUUCCAUAUAUAUCAUUACAUAACUAAUAACCAAGACCCUCGGGGGGGUUUUCAAAGACAUGAAGUCUAAGGGGUAAGGAACCAGCAAGUUUCGCCAUGGAAUCUGCAGCAAAAUUGGCUUCCCGAUAUAUAUACUUUAUAGUAAUGAGCCAUUGUCUAUUUAUCAGUUCCUUUAUGGCAGUUAUAAAAGAAAAAAUGUGCAUUAGGCAUCAAGCUAGUAGAGGAAAUAAGUUGGGAAACACAUUGACUAUCCACCUCUGCAAUUAAAUAACGAAUGCCACGAUCCCAAGCAAUAUUAAGUCCUUGAAAAAGACCCCAAAGUUCUGCAGUAGUCACCGAUCCAAAUCCAAUGUUCAUGCCAAAGCCAAACUGCCACUUUCCAGAGCAAUCCCUCACCAAGCCCCCAGCGCUGGCUGGACCAUUCUUUAAUCGUGAUCCAUCAGUAUUUAAUUUGAAAAAAGAUUCAGGGGGAGCUUGCCAUCUAACAUCUUUGAUGAUCUUAUUACUCUGACCGAAACUAAGAGUUGAUCGUGCAUUUUGAAUGUCCUAAGCCCAAGAUUUAAUUUCAGCAACAACAUGAGUGCAGCAAGGGGAUUUUUGUGAGAAAAGAAAUUGAUUACGCCAAAACCAAAUUUUCCAGAUAGCCACUCUAAAUUAAUUACGCCAAAACAACAUGAGUGCAGCAAGGGGAUUUUUGUGAGAAAAGAAAUUGAUUACGCCAAAACCAAAUUUUCCAGAUAGCCGCUCCAAAUAAACAUGCCCAUUCAUCCCCCACUUCAUUGAUACCAGUCUUUCCCAAGUUGAAACAGAGCCAAUCACGAAUAUUAAAGGAGAAAAAAUGAUGUCUGAAGUUGACCGGAAUUAAACAAUUCCAUAUUCUCUUUGCAACAAAACAGUCCCUAAGUGCAUGCAUCGCGUUUUCUCUCUCAUGGCCACAUCUUUCACAAUUCAUUUUAUCCAGAAUAUGCCUCUUAAAAAGCUCCUCUCUAGUUUUAAUUUUUCCAUGCAUCACCGACCAUAAAAAUUUUUUAACUCGUUGGGGCCCGGAAAGGGACUUCCUUAAUUAUUUUUCAAAAGCACAUCCUAUAAAACUCCAACAGAUGGAGUCCAAGUUCUAGAAUAGAUGAAUAAAUGAUGUCAAUUAAAUGGCAAUAGCCCACCAAAGAAGACAGAGAAACAAGUUAGGAGCGAUUGUAGAGUAUACCAAAAGUAUUACAUCUAAUUAAUAUAUAUAUAUAUAUAUAUAUAUAUAUAUAUAUAUAUAUGUUAUGUGUGUAUUUAUUUUAAAAAAUUAUUAUGUAAUUAAUAAUUAUAUUUAAUUGAACUAUACAUAUCAUAUAUGUAUUAGUUAUAUGUAGCACCUAUAUUAUACUUUAGAAUUUCUCACAAGAUAAUAUGUCAAUAUACCACAAACACAAAGUUUGAAUCCUGCGAAAUAUGUUUAAAAUUGACUCUUGUAGAAAUUAUUAUGUGGUGGUGAAAUGAUUAUGAUAAAUAAUAUAUUAACACAUGUCAAUAUAUAAUUAUGCUACAUCAAUGAGGGUACCAUUGGUUUCACAUUUUUAUUUUACGUCUUAACUUUUGUAUUGACAAUAUUAGUUUUGUAUUAUAUAUAUAUAUAUAUAUAACUACUAAGUUAUUUUUUGCAAUCAAUAAAUAUCUAAUAACUCAAUACUUUUAUAUUUAUGUUCAUAAAGUUUUUACUUUUUAAAUAAAUAUUAAAAUAUCUUUAAAAUAAUAAAUUAUAUUUUUUUAACACUAAUUAAAACAAAUUAUUUUCACAUUUAAUCUUGUUUUAGUUUAUAACAUGGACCAUUCGCUCACCACUUGGCAUAACUUUGUAACCUAGGUCUUGUUUGGAAUCGAAGUAUUAUACCUUUUAAGUUACAACUGCCGUAAAAAUUUUGUAAUUAUAAAACAAAAAAUUAAUAGCUGUGAACUUAAUGAUUGCUUACUAAACUUUAGGUAUUUAUUUAUUUAAUUAAUUGUCUAAAAUUUACUUGUUAAUGUUAUUGACAAUACUUAUGUAUUGAUUAAAAAGAUGAAGUAAGGUAUUGAUCUUAUUGAUCAACAGAAAUAUUUUAUACUAGAUUGACAUAUUUGUGUAUUUAUUUUAACGUUAAAACUUUAAUUUCUCAUUUAUAUUGAUAAAAUUUAGAAAUGGGUAUUAUAUGUAGAGUUUUAAGCUCCUAUUAUAAAUUUAUAGUUUGACUUAUAUAAUUUAAUUUAUUUUUUGUGUUUUUAAAAGUAUUGUUUUAAUAUUUGUGAAGUAAAAACCCAUUGCAGGUUACGCGAGGAUUUAGUAAUUGUUAAAACCUACUGCAGGCGAAUUUUUUUUUAAAUAAAAAACCCAUAGCGAGUUAAGAAUUUACUGAUUUAAUUACUUUUUACAAGUGCAUGUUUGAUAAUGAUAAAAUCACUGCACUGAAAGAAAUUCUAUGAAAGAAUAUAAUUCUUGUUCUGUAUUUUUAAUGAAAUUUACAGAAUUAUUUAUACAAAUAAAGACAAAGUAGCCGUUGAAAGGCUUAAUAAUAUUAAAGGAGAAUAGGUGAAUACUUGCUAAACUAUUGGACAAUAUCUUUAUAAAAUAGGAAUGAAAUAUUCCUACAUGAUAUCGACAUUCAUGUGCAAAAAUCGUGCUGGAGAUAUUUCUUGACAAAUAACUUUGACGGGAGCAAGUCGUGUGGAGUGAUAAACCCGUUCUUGACUUGACCGUUAAUAACUUUCCUUUUGGUAAUCUUGGUCUGCUUGCUUAACAAGUGGUACCCAUAACCCAUCCAUACAGCUAGGCUAGCUAAACAACAUAAAUAAAUGUAUAACGAUUCUUAUAUAAAAAGCCACCACCCCAAGCCAAAAGAAAAAAAAAAUUGUGCUGAAUACAACAAUAUAAUUUCUUCAGUUUUUACUUGGAAACAAGAGAGAUGAAUACGAAGAAGCAGAAGCCAAAAGCUAUUGUAGUUGGAGGAAGCAUUGCUGGGGAAUCAUGCGCAAAAGCACUUAUUUCAGCAGACUGGGCUGUUGUUGUGAUUGAGAAAACUCGUGGACCCCCAACCCAAAACCCAACCGGUGCUGGCCUUGGACUCGAUCCAUUGGCUCAGAAAAUUGUUCAGUCAUGGCUCCAUGAACCUGAACUUCUUUACAACAACACUUUACCUGUCACCAUUACUGAGGUAUAUAAUAUAAUAUAUUUAAUUUCUUUUUUCCCAGUAGAAUCCAGUGAGGGGUUAUGGGAUGAGCCGCAUCUCCAAUUAAGACCACAUUGUCCCAGUAUAAUUGUGUCAAAGGGUCACAAUCAUAUAUAAGGUUAAGGAAAGGCUCCUUUGUUUCUUUUAUUACUCUUCAAACUCAGGAACCCAAAUCUUCUCUGCUUCUUGGUGCAUCUUCUUGAUCAUGUCACUGCUCACUUUCAUUGUAGCUGAAUCUCCCUGAAAUUAUUUAAUCAAUUUAUUAAAGCUAGCUCUGCUAACACGUAUGUAUAUAAAUGAUAAAAUGAAGCAAGUUAGGCAAUCACCUUGAGUUGAAGCUCAGGUUGAGAGAUAAACCAAAUCCAAUUGAGCCUCUUGUACAUAAGCUCAUCAAGGACGGUGUAAGUUCCCGAGGCCAAGUCCAUGUGCACGCCAUUCCCAAGCGUAGGAUAUGCCUUCCGGAUGCCUUGUAUGGUUUCUGAAUUCUCAUUUUCCGAAAAAUCAAAAACCCCCCUCCAAGCACAGUAACCCGUAUACCUGAAAAACAGAAAUGAAAAAUAAACCGUAAAUUUCAAGACAACAGAAAAUAUGAAAAUCUAAUAUAAUUUGUUCAGAAACCUGAGUUUAGAGUCUGGUAAAAAAGUCUGGCGAACUGAUGAGCGGCUCCCGUCAGCCGCAACCAGCAAAUCUCCAGCUAUGUCGAUGACCUCAUCAGUUUUAAGAUUCUUAGCUUUGACAGUGACAGUUGAUUUGUCGUGAGAAAUGCAGAAAGUGAGGUACAAGUGACCCCAAAAAAAUAUUUCCGGAGGCAGAGUAUUGUAUAUAAGACUAUGAAGAUCAGUCCAAUGUGCCUGUAAAUAGUUGAAAUUUUCGUCUCUAGCUAGUACCCGACAGAUGUUCUUUUCCCUAUCUACUGCCCGAUUCUGCACAAAAAGAAAAAUAAAAAAAGUCAACGCAAGAGCUCAAAUUAAAGUAGUUCUGUGUUAUAUAUACAUUACCUGAUCAAUGGUGAGAGGUAAGGUGAUGUUGUGAAGAAGAUCAGGUUGAUGGAGCCAUGACUUAACUAUUUUCUGGGACAAUGGAUGAAGUGCGAUUCCAGCGCCGGUUGGGUUUCCGGUUGGAGGUCCACGUGUCUUCUCGAUCACCACCACAUCCCAACCUGCUAAAAUAAGCGCUUUUGCGCAUGAUAUCCCUGCUAUGCUUCCUCCAACUAUUAUAGCUUUUGGCUUCCGCAUCCUCUCACUCAUGUCUCUCUCUUCCUCUCAAACACCAGUAUGUGUGACACAAAGGGACGCUCGCGCAAAGAUAUAUUUAUAUACCGGGGAAAACUUCCCAUUCUAAAUUCAUAAAUCAGGAUGAGCCGGCAAUCAUAUGAACAUUUUUUUAAAAUAAUUAUUUAAAAUUUUUUUUUAUACUAUUGUUAAUUUGACUCGGAUUUUAAUAAAAUUUAACAUCUCGAACCAAGUCACUACUCUAGAAAUUUUUUUUCAAUCAGAACUUAUAUGUUCCAAUUCAAGAACAAGGUUUAAUAAUGUAAUGACCGUGAAAACUAUUAGACCAUAUGGUUUAACAAUGUAAUGAUAUUAUAUUAUAAAAUCAUUUAAUAACUUUUUGAAUUUUAAUAAUAUUCAGGAUUCUAAACUAGAUCAAUACUAUACACACACAUAUACACAGGCGGUGCCAUGAAUUAUUUUUAACAGGCUCUAAGUUUAAAUAGUAAUUUAAUUUAAAAAAAUAAUUAACAAAUAACAUAUAUCAAAAUAAAAAAUUAUUAAAAUAUUUAAUUUAAUACACUUAUAACUGUUCUUAACUUGGUUUUAUAUGUUAAAACAUUAAAGAAUAAUCUCAUUAUCAAGACUACAAAAUAUGUCUUUUUCUAUGUAUAUAACAAAUCUAUCAUUCAACUAUUGUUCUCCCAUUUGAUUUCACAGAUGAUUUUUUAUAAAAUUUAUCGUUGAAAAUGACCUUUCUACUGUAUCUCUAGGAACUGGUAAAAUCAAUACUAAUGUCACCAAUAAAUAAACUAAUGAAUAUAAUUUACCGUUCUUAGUCUCACCGCAUUGUUAUUUUAUUAUUUAUUUGAAAACUGAUAAUAAAUUAUGAUUAAAUAUGUUCGCAGCAAUUACAAAGUCUUGAUACAAUGUUUCUAUCUCACAUGAUGACGUAACAUCAAUAUCGAUGAUCGCUAAUUAGGGAUUCCAUUAUCCUAUUUUCCCUCUCACAUGAUGAAUAAAUAAACAGUUUUAAAUAAAAUUCAAACUCUACAAACUCAAUAACAUGAUUACGUCUUAUUCUUUCUUAAUUGAAGUUGAUUUUUCAAGGAGGCAAUUUGUCCCGUCAUAUGCAGCCAAGUUAGAACCAAAAAAUGCUUAAUUCAAAUCUCACGGUCUUGAAGAAAUCUUUCUAGUGAAAAUAAAUUCUCAAGUCAGAUUUUUCAAUCUGGCGAUAUGAAAUUUGCCUAAUAAAUCUCUACAUUCAGACAUCACGUUUAUGAAACCCUUGCAUUCAGAAUAAAUUCUUGCAGUGUAUCAAAAAAAAAAAAAAUUCUUGCGGGUAAGGGGGAUCAAAUUCAAGAAUAAAGUUUGAUAAAAAUGAAUAAAAGGAAUAAUUUUGGUAAAAUUAAGUACCAAAAAUAAGAUUUAGCAUAUGUUUGUUGUGGUUUAUUUAAUAACUAAAAGUUUUUACAAGUUUUUUUCAAAAUAUUUACUGUUGUUUGGUAGUAUUUUGGAUAGAGAGCUUUUGAGAAUUAAAUAAAUUAUUUUGCAUCUACCAAUAAAAGUGUAAAUUAAAUAAGUUAUUUUGGGUUUUUGGGAACAAAAGUUGUAGAGCAUUUUUCAAGUGUUAAAUUAUCUAACAUACCUUUUAUUUAUUUUUCAUUUUUAUUCCAUUCUUUCCAUAAUAUGAUUUUAAAUAAAUUGAUCAAUUAAAGUAAUUUUAUAAUUUAAAUUUUUUAAUAAAAGUUCAUAUUGACAACCAAAUAAUUAAAAUAUUUUGGUAAAUCUCCACUUGUAACAACUUAAUUUUAUUAAAAGCUAGAGCAUAGAGUCAGUGACGACGCAGAAAUAUAAAAAGUUGAUUGAUAGAAGAAAUUAGGUUUCUAAAUAAUAAAAGUUUUGUUAGAAAAGUUUAAAUGAACAAAACUAGUGUUUUGAGCUCCUGUUAUAAUAAUCAUAAAUAUCACGAAUUUAUCAUAAUAAAAAAAUUUAAAAUAUCAUUUUAUAAUAAAAGGAAAAUUAUCAUUCGUAUACCCUAUAUUUGCUCUGUUAUAAAAAUUACUACAAUACUUUGAGGGUGUAUCAAUCGUCCACCCUAAGUUGACGAAAUGUAUCAACCGACCACCAAACCAUUAAUUUCCGUUUGAAAGUUAACGGAAUUACAGUGAAUUGACGAUUUUACCCUUGAAAAUUAUCACUUGUAUACCCUUAAAUUAUUUUUUUAUCACUUGUAUACCCUUAAAUUAUCACUUGUAUCAUAUGAAAAGACCAGAUUACCCUUCUGACGUUAUCAUAUUUAAACGGCAACUAACGAUUUGGUGGUCGGCUGAUACAUUUUGUCAACUUAAAGUGGACGAUUGAUACACCCUCAAAGUAUUGUAGUAUUUUUGAUAAUGGAGUAAACUAAGGGUAUACAAAUGAUAAUUUCCCAUAAUAAAAUCUCAUAAUCUAAAUAAAGAAACCAAAAUAAACAGCACCCAAAGCCAAUAUCUAAAAAAAAAAAGAUAAAAUCAUAAAAUUAAUAGGAAAAAUAGAAAAAUAACCUAAUGCUGAAAAAUGAUAAGGAAAGAAGUAAAACUUUUAAAUCGACCACGGGGCAGAACUAUGCAAGCUAUUAUGUUUGGUUUGUCUCGUUGCAGGCUUCGAAACAGUAUAUUAGAUACCUAAAACGGAUCCCUGUAACCUUAGUUAUGACCUCUAGAAAAUAAUCUGCUCAUCUUACGCAACAAUCCUACAUUAGCCAGCCUAGUUUGGGAUUGUGAUGACUGUUGAAAAUGUGAUUUAAAAAAAAAGUGUUAAAAUGAUGGGCAACUAAGCCACCAUCUUUGAAUUCAAAGACGGUGGGUGGCUAAGCCAGCCACCAUCAUUGAACAAGGAAAAUGGGUGGGUGCCGCCCAUGGAAAGAAGAAAAAGAGGAAGAAAAGGAAGCCAAAAUUUGGCUAUAAAUAGAGGGGUUCUCCCCGUCAUUUAGGUAUCCAAGUUUUGGCAAGAAAUUGAGAAAGAGAAAUAUUUUUAAGCACAUAGUUAUAUUGAAGGAGUAUUUGACUCCUCAAUAUGGGUAUUACGGGUUUGCUUUGUUAGGGAAUAUUUAUAAGAAUCAUGUAUUUGGGGCUUGGGUGAGAGAAAAUUAUUUAUGAGAAAGUGGUUGUAAAAAUUUUCACAUAGUGAAUUUUUUUCUCUGAUUGUCUUUUGACAACGGCCGUGGUUUUCCUCCGUAUUUGGAGUUUUCCACGUAAAUCUUGUGUUAUGUGAUUGAUGUAUUCUCCAUUUAAUUUUUCUGUUAAUUUGUUGCUUGACAAAUUGCUUGAAGUGAUCUUGGAGGACGCUCAAUUUCCUAACAAUGACUUGUGAAAUAAACCGCUUCUAUAAAGCGAAUGAAUAAUCUACUUAUUAAAAUAGUAGCUUGGUGUUUAGUAAAGUGUAUUGUUAUAGUGGCUUUGAGUUUGAAAAAAAAUUACAUGUGUUUGAUAGAUUUUAUUGCGAAUGUGAUGUUUUGUUAUAUAAUGACCGAAAUAAUCAUAAUUUAAUUUUUUUUUAUUUAUAGAUUAGGAUGCAUGAAAAAUAACAUGUAAUUGUUUCUUUGUUAAAACACUAAGGUUAUAAUAGGAACUGAAAAAAGGUGUGGUGUCUUAUUUGAUACCUAUUUAUAAAUAGCAACUGUACAUACUUUGAAAAGUUAUUGUAAAAAAAAAAGAAACUUAUGAAAUAAGUGGCUUUUAAAAAAUUUAUCUAACACUAUUUAUUACUAUAAGAGAGCUCUAUAUAUAUUAAAUUCUUUUAGGUAAAUUAAAUUUUGCCCCUUUGAUUUUGAGGUCUGGCUACAUCACCGAUUGAAGCUUGUGAUUUUUUUAUUUACUAGUGCAUGAAAUCUUUAAUUUUGUUAAUAUAUUAGUGGCAUCAAUGAAUUAUUCUCUCUUUCUCUCUAUAUAUAUAUGAGAAAGGUGAUCAGGUCUGCGACUAUAUAUCAAACUCCUAGAUUUUUUUAAUCUUAAUCUUCAAUGAAUUAUUACUAUAAGAGAACUGAUCACGUGCGUGGCUAUAUAUCAAACUCCGAAAUUUUUGGUAUUGUACGCAGUUAUGAUCUUAAUCUUUGGCUAAGGGUAUGAUUGGGAUUGCAUUAGCUUGGUAAAUAAUCCAUCCUCAUAUAAAUUCUCCAAUAAUUAACUUUGCAAAUAAUUUGAUUAGAUGUUUGGUAAAAUUGGAUUAUAAGGAAAUCAAUUAUUAAAUAAUUUACUUAACAUGUUUGUCGUAUUAAUCAAAAAAUUGUGUUGUGUGCAAAUUACCAAGAUGGACAAGUUUUCUUAUAUAGUAAUAUAUAAUGAUAAUUAUUACGAUUUAUUUAUAUUAAUAUAUCAAAUAUUAGUGGUGGUGACGCUAUUUGUUUGCCGUUUCAUGGCUGUAAUUAUUUUAGAGGUGUGCGUGAGCAACCGCCAUUUCUCUGUUGUUGACAUCAUACGUUUUGGAGUUUGAUAGCAGAGGUAUUGUCGCAUAAUGAAGACUUUAGCUAGAUGCAGACGACGGCGCCGAAGACAUUGCCGGACGCCAGCAAUAAUCUAGUUGUUUCCUUUUUUUUUUGUCUUAUUUAAAUGUAAACAUAAAUAUGUUAUUAGUGUAAGGGUGCAUUCGAAAUUGUAUUGUUAAAAUGAGGAAAAUUUUGGUAUUAUGCUUUACAAAAUCAAAUUCUAUAAAAACCCGAAUUUCCAAAUCUACUUUCUCAUGUUUUUAAUGAUUAGUACAAAGAUAAAUUAUUUAAAAAUUCUCUUUCUUAAUUGAAAUUAACUUUUCAAGGAGGCAAUAUGGACUUUGCGUCGUAGGUAAGUUAAAGGCCCUUAAUCCCACGAUGUUCAUGAUGAAACCUUUCUAUUCAAAAUAAAUUCUUCAGUUCGAUUUUUCAAGCUGGCGAGAUGGAAUAUUUGCUAAUACAUAAGUUUGGGAAACUCUGGAUUCAAAUCAUUCGGCUCAAUUUUUAAGAUCCAAUUAAGUGUUUUUUAUUAUAACAUAUGUGUGAUUAACAUUUAUUUUUGUAAUUUAAAGCCAACUAAACGAUGCGCUGUUAUUUCUGCAAAUUUGGGAGUGUCCCAGCCUUCACCUUCCUUGAGAAGCCUUCUUCUUCUUCAAACCUUACCUAUCGUAGGAUGCUUCCAGAGAUAUUUACUCCUCAAAUUGCAAUUGAAUUGAUUAUGGUGUUCAUCAUUCUCAAUGGACACAUAAUGGUUUUUUAACGGUUUCGUCGUGUAUUGAAUUUUACAAAGCUGGGAAUUGUAAUUAAAAUUGAACUUUAGAAAGUUGCAAAAGUGUAAUUGAAAUGUACAAGUCAAUUCUAACCACUCAUCUUUCUAAAUACCAUAUGUCGUUAGAUACUUAAUACACCUUGUGUGCUGGAAUGGAAUAGAUUUUUAGCAGAUACGAUUAGUUAAAUAAAAUUGGAUUGAAUCAUAUUUAGUAUUGUCUUUUGUUUGGCAUUUUAGAUUAUGGUAAUUUUAUAUAUUGUAUGAGAAUUGCGAUGUGAAUAUUUCCGCUGCAAAAUAUUUUAAAACCAAUAAUUGGUAUCAAGCGAUCUCAUAUUAAUAUAUAGAGUUACUGUAUGAAAUCAAACUCUUGUAUUAUGUGUAUAAAAUUGGUGGCACUAAUUUUUAUAUAUUAUUUCAUUACGUGAAUGUAUAUAAUUAUUGACCAUAUUAAAUGUUGUCUCAAUUCAUGGUUAGUUAUUUUUUUUAUAUUAAUUUUAUGGAUUUGUAACAAGAGAGGUGGUCAAUUUUCACCAUGUUUCUCUCUUGAUUAUUUUAAUUCAUUGUUCUUAGAUUCUUUGUAAGCCAUCUAUGGUAUAGGAGUUCUUGUAAAUAUUAAUUUUUAUUAUAUAAUAAUGUAAAGAACCCAAAAAAACAAAGAAAAGUUGAUGGCGGCAAGGAGAAGAAGAAACGACAGCCUCUCUAGAAUUGGCAGCGAACAGCAUGAAGGGACGGAGGGUUUCUUUUGAAUUUUUUCAUUAGACACUCUAUUGUCUCACUAAUUUAUGUUUUCUGGCAAGGCUUGAAAUUAUAUUUCAUUUAAGUCCAACACUAUACGUUGGUGGCGGCUGGAAGAAAAAUAAGUGAUUUAGGGUUUUGGGUUUAUACCCCAUGGCACCCUACAAUUUCACUAUUUUACAGUUCAGCCUAAGUAUUUUGGGUUUUGGGCAGAACAAAAAAAAAUUUAUUUAUAUUGGAUCCAAGCCCAUUAUUGACUAUGAAUUGGAAAAUAUAAAUAUAAAUUUGAUAAGCCCAAUUGUUAUUAUUUGUCCAGAUUUAUUUAUAUUGGUCCCAAGCCCAUUUAAGGGAUUUCAAAAUUGAGUUAUAUAAAUAAAAAUUUAGUAGAUCAAUAAUAAAAUUUAUUUGGCUCAAAAAUUUUUAAAGAUAAAUUUGGGUUUAUUUUAUUAAACUAAUUGGGUCUGGAUUUUUUUUUAAAAACAGGUAUUUAAAAAAAAUAAGAGCCAAUAGAAAUUUUUUUUUUGAAAGGUGCCCAAAUUUAAAUUUAAAAAUUGAACCAGAGAUAAAUUUUAAAAGCCUAAAAGCCCUCAAGGCAAUAGUUAUGUACAAGAGCAAGUACAAGAAAGAGAAAAAAGGAAGAUUGAUGUUGAGUUAAAGCCCAAUAGAUAUUAGGCUUGUAGAUUAAGUCAAUUUUUUCCUUAGGAAAACCAUGAAUUGAGAUUGUUUAAUUGCUUUUAAUUUAUAUGCUAUGUUUGGUUGAUAACAUGCUAUGAUAACAUGUCAUAUAGAAUAGGAAGUGUCACUCUAUGCAUAAUAAUACAUGACAUCUAUAGAUUAUGAAUCUAAAAAUAUAUUGUUUGACAUUUGCAUGUGCUUAAUAAUAUUAGAUUUCAUCUAGAUAAUAUUAUUGUAGGAAGCAUGCAAUUAAAAUACAGGAUAUAAUUUGUAUAUUGGAAAAACUAACUUUAAAAUAUUGAGUAGGAGAGGGAAAAUUCAAGAUAAUUUUUCCCACGAGCUCCAUUAUUAGUUCAAUAAUAAAAUUAUAUAUAUAUCUCGACUUCAUGAUACGGUGAUGCUCUCUACAAAGGGUAUAUAUAUUAGACAUUUUAUUUGAUGAACUUCUUUACAGAUAAGUUCGAAAUAUUUUUCAAUCUGUUGAUCACCCAAACUGUGGCGGCAUGGUAUGGAAGAUACGUAGAUUGAAACAAUGGUUAUACACUCCACUAAAAUUUGUUAUUAACCUUCCAAAUGAAGCUCUGUUAACAAAUUUAGGCCCAAAAGGAUAACGAUAAUUAUUUAUCAUGUCUCUACAUGAAAGUAAAUAAUCCAAUGGAUAAUUGGGUCUAGUAAGUGUAGACAUGACUUCCCCAAUGGAGAGCUUGCCAAAGCAGUACUAGAUUAUUAUUACAAUAAAAUAAAAUGCAUUUAUGGUUUUUUUUGCAUUUUAGAUUAUUAUUGUGAACAUUAUUUGUUUCAAAGUAUUUAUGCAUGUCUAUUUUGUUUUUUCAGAAAAUGUCUUCCAUCAACUCAUUAUUCAUUAUCCUUGUUAAAAAUGAACUCACUGGCGAAAUGUACUUAGAUUGAAAAUACAAUCUAUUUAAUAUUCUCACUGCUAAGGGCUGCAAAUAUGUGUUGACUCAGUCAUUCCCUCUAGAACCAACGUUAUACGAUUAUACACUACUAGAAAAAUGGGCUUUACUGACACUUCGUUACUGACACUUUGCAAAAAGUGUCAGUACUUAUGUACAUAUGCACCAUUUUCCGCUUUUGACAAAUAGGAAUCAGAGAUUAAUGAUACUAGGGUGUCAGUAAACUAAACAUCAAAAAUCACUAACACUAAAGUAUCAAUGAUAAAAAAAAUUCAUAAAAAUUUUGUUUUAGCUCCAACUCGAACCUGGGAGCUCUAAGAUUUAAAGCUUUAAUGUUUGGAGCACAGACCAUCAAAUCUCGAUGAGUCAAAGUCAUAAUAAUAUUUAAAUUAUUAAAAAAUGAAAAUAUAAAUAACAAUAACAUAAAACACACUUGUUCUCCCCAUCUAGACUAUAUCGACUGUCUCUAUCUUGCUUUCAUCAUUCACUUUCGCUUUCGUUUUUCUCUUCUCGAUCUCUUCUGUUUUGCACUAUCCAUUUACAAAUUAAAUUCAAUUAAUUUAGAUAGAUAAUGAAAACCUAAAACUCUGAUUCGUUUUUCCAUUUUCCCCAAAUUGAAACACAAACCAAAAACCUAAUCGCUUGUUAUCGAAGGGGUUUUUCUCCAACUUAACCAUCCAGUGCCUAUACUAGGCAAGCAAGUAAAAGCCAUCGACAAGGGGUGAAGUGGCACCAUCGGUUCGGUAUUCAGGUAAUCUCAUUCUCCCUGACAAGUUAAGUCCAAAGAAAGAACUGUAGAGGAGGUUAUCAGCUGGUAAUGGCAGAAUGUUUUAUUUUUUUGUGCAAUUUAAUUAUUGGGUUUGUUUUAAUUUGGCUUAUGAAUAAUAUUUUUGAAUUUUUAUUUUUGGGUUGUUUCAGAUAUUCAGAAAUUGAACAGUCGUGCAACCCUGGUGGGUUUUGUUUUCCAAAUGUUUUUAUUUAUUUAUUUAUUCGUAACUUGAAAUUUUUGUUCUUAUUUUUCUAUAUCUUCACUCACAUGCAGUCCAAAAAUACAGGCAUUUUAAGUGGUGCAUUACUUAAACUCAAAACACUUGCUGCUGCGACUCUGUUUUUUCUGCCACAUUUGAGGUCAGUUUCAAACUUUUGUUCAUGUGAUUUACUGUCAUUGUUAUUUAAAACUAAGAAUGUGCAUUUUUUUUAGUUUCUGAAAUAAACUGUUAGCUCAGUUUCUUAACUUUGAGCAAUAAGUUAGUUGAUUUUAAAUGUACUAAAAUAUGAAAUUUGAUUUUAGCUUUUGCCUUUGUGAUUAGGAGAUGAUUGUUUGGGUGUUAUAUUGGCUGAAUGACUGUGUAUUUAGUGGUUACAAACUAUUUACAUCUCUGUUUCAUGUAAAGAGAGGCAAAUUUUGUUAUAUAAUCCUACUUGUUUAUUUAUUCUGUUUUGGUUGGACGAUUUGUAAUAGAGACAAUGACUAUGAUAUGAAUUAAUUAAGUUCGUGGUUGUGAGUAUUUUGAGAUUGUAUAAAGUUGAUGAUUUGUGUUUGAUUCAAUAAAGAAAUGCUUGUUUUAAAGUAGUUCUGCAUGUUGUAUUUGAAGUUAAAAAAUGAUUUAUAGAAUCUUAAAAAAUGGCUUGCAAAGUGGUAUGAAGACAUUAUUUAUUUGAACUCUUAACUUUUGUUAGUUACUUGACUUAUGAAUUAGUUCGACUACUUAAAAAGCCAUUAGCACCCAUCUUACCUAUUAAUCUCCUAUUUAAGUUUCAAAACUUAUUUUGUUUCAAUUUCAGGAUUUUGUCUAAAUUAUUAUUAUAAUUAAUGAUUUAUAGGGCUAUUAAUGAUUUUCCAGAAUUAUAAGUUUAUUAUUACAACUAUAAUCAUAAUAACAUUGAACUUUAAAUUAAUCAUGCAAUUUAAUUAAACUUAAACUAACAUUACAUAUGUGAACAGGUAAAAUAUUUGAAAUGGACAGAAGUUGGAUAACUUGUGAUAGAUUGUCUGUAGAGUAUCGUUCUGGAGUUGCUGAUUUCUUAGAUUUUGCCAUUUUGAAUGCUGAAAAUCGAAUGUCAAUUAGAUGUCCUUGCACCUUUUGUUGUAAUAUGGAGUUUCAUACUCCUCAACAAGUGAAGGAUCAUUUAUUUGAAAAAGGUUUUCUCCCAAGAUAUAUUGUUUGGACUUGGCAUGGUGAGACUAACUCUAAAUCUACAUUUACAAACUGUGAAGACCAUUCACAUAGUCAAAGAUUUAGAUGUCAUGAUUACAGUAAUAUAAUUGACAUGGUCGAAGAUGCUUACGAGCAUUGUGAUAGAGAUCCUAGUUCUUUUAAGGAUAUGCUUGAAGAUGCUGAAAAGCCUUUGUACCCGGGUGCAAAACAUUCAAAGUUAUCUAGUUUAAUGAGACUUUACAAUGUGAAAGGGAACUAUGGGUGGUCCGAUAAAGGGUUUUCUGCUUUGUUAGAAGUCCUUGCUGAUAUUUUGCCAAAUAAUAAUACUCUACCUAUGUCAAUGUACGAGGUUAAGAAAACAAUGAAAGUGCUAGGCUUAGAGUAUGAAAAAAUACAUGCAUGUCCAAAUGACUGCAUUUUGUAUAGGAAUGAAUUUGCUGAUCUUGCUGAAUGCCCAAAUUGUGGAGCAUCUAGGUAUAAAAAAAAAAAAAGAUAGCUCAACAAAAUUUAGGAAAGGGGUUCCUAAAAAGGUAUUAUGGUAUUUUCCACCUAUUCCUAGGUUGAAAAGAUUGUUUCAAUCACCACAAACAGCUCAAAAUUUAACAUGGCAUGCUAAUAAAAGAAUUAGAGAUGGCAAACUUCGCCACCCAGCAGACUCACCAGCUUGGCAACUAAUUGACAAUAAGUGGCCAAAAUUUGCACAAGAACCUAGAAAUCUCCGUUUAGCUCUCUCAACUGAUGGGGUUAACCCACAUAGUACACUUAGCACUACUUAUAGUUGUUGGCCUGUUAUAUUAAUAACAUAUAAUCUUCCUCCAUGAUUGUGUAUGAAGAGAAAGUUUUUGAUGUUGUCACUUUUGAUAUCUGGCCCUAAACAACCUGGAAAUGAUCUAGAUGUAUACCUAGCACCUUUGAUUGAGGACUUAAAAACUCUAUGGGAUGUAGGUAUUGAUGUUUAUGAUUCUUAUAGAAAAGAAACCUUUAAUUUACGGGCUGUCUUGAUGUGGACAAUUAGUGACUUUCCAGCAUACGGAAACCUCUCUGGUUGUACUGUUAAGGGCUAUUAUGCUUGCCCAAUUUGUGGGAUAGACACUUGUGCAUGUUGGCUGCCAUAUAGUAGGAAAAUGUCAUAUAUGGGCCAUCGCCGCUUUCUACCACUCGGUCACCUAUUUCGGAAACUGAAAAAGGUUUUUAAUGGGAAGCAAGAGUGGAAUGAGCCUCCUAAAACUUUGUCUGGUGAGGAAAUCUUUAAUAUGGUGGAAGAUAUAGAUAUUAAGUUCGGGAAAAAGAAGGCCAAAAAGCGGAAACAUGAUGGCGGUGGUGGUGGUGGUGGUGAUGAGAACAUAACUGAAAAAUUGUACAAAAAAAAGUCAAUCUUUUUUGAGUUAGAUUAUUGGAAGCAUUUAUUAGUUCGCCAUCAAUUAGAUGUGAUGCACAUUGAAAAAAAUGUGUGCGAAAACAUAUAUGGCACAUUACUUCAUCAACCAGGCAAAACAAAAGAUGGGAUUAAUGCUAGAAAAGAUCUUGAGUCUUUGAAGAUCAGGGGAAAACUAGUUCCUGAUGAAACAAACAAAAAAAACAAAGUCCUACCUCCAGCUCCUUAUACUUUGAGUAAAAAAGAAAAAAAACAGUUUGGUGAAACCUUGCUGAGUGUGAAAGUCCCUGAUGGGUAUUCUUCCAAUGUCCAAAACCUUGUUUCAAUAGACGAUUGUCGGCUUCAAGGCCUUAAGUCCCAUGACUGUCAUACUUUGAUGCAACAAUUUCUACCACUAGCCAUUCGAAACUGUUUGCCUAUAAAUGUGAGAACGGCCAUAAUCAGGAUGUGCUUCUUUUUUAAUACAUUGUGCUGUAAAGUGGUAGAUCUGAUGGGUGUCGAAGCCAACAAAAAUAAAUUCCUACUCUAAAUAAAUUGUGUAUAGUGAUUGAGCAGGGUCGUGUCCACAGAGAUCGGUAAUUAUUUAAAUCCUUUUGAAACGUAAAACAUAAAAUGGGGGAAUUGUUGACAAUAAUAAAAAUCAAAUUGAAAUAAACAAGAAUGCAAAUUAAAGUUGUAAUUCAAAUUGGAGAAAGCUCUGGUUGAAGGAAUUAACUCAGCUUGAUUCGACUACUGAUCAUUGAUUCAAAUAUAGAUUAUUAUUAUUACUUAUGAAUAGAUCGGUUAUAGCUACUGAGACCCUCUAAUAGCCAAUCUCUCCUUAACUAGUCGAUAACCAAGGUACGACCAUUGGUUAUUUCCCUAAUCAAUAGACAACCCUAGAUACGAUCAUAGGAUUUAAUCAAUUGACAGCCUGAGAAACCAGAGAGACCCAAAUCCUAAUCAACACAUAUGAUGAUUCAUUUAAAUUAGAUUGUUUAUUCUCACAACACAACUCUCUGCUAUGUUAUUUGUCACAAACAUUAAAUUCUUCAUACGAUGAAUCCUUUAAUUGACAAUAGAUUAAGUUGAUAAUUAAAUAGUGGCCAAUUACCUAAUUAACAAACAUAAUCAUGAAAAUAAUUCAGAGAAUAAACAAAUACCCAAAAAGUAAUAAAACAAUUAAAGCACAAGAAAGAUCUCACAGUAGUGAUGAAUCAAAGCUUCAUUAACCUUCAACCAGAAAAAUUGGUUUAGUUCCUCAUAGAGAGAAGAGAAAAAUUAGAUCUAGGGUUUCUUUUUCUCCAAUCCAAAAAUCCCCCCUUUUUCACAAUAAAUUCCUCCCUUAAAUACACUCUCUCUCUUCUCUUUUAGAAUUCUAUUUAAAAUAAAAUACUAAUAUCUGAAAUAUUAAAUUCGUAAUUACAAAAAUAACCAAAAAUACAAAACACGUUAAACUAAAAACUGCAGGUCCGCAGUUGACAGCACGCGCCCACGCCUUAUCAACAAAGUUCUUCUGACGCUCAGAAAUUUCUCCAAGAGAACAAUCCUCCUUAAACAUCAUCUUUUAGCUCAAUUUUAUCAUCAAUCAAUAGAAUUGCACCUACAAAAGUAAAACACAAGUAAAACAUUAUUAUUAAAUGCAAAACAUCGAUAUUAAGGGAAGUAAAUAAUGCAAAACUAGUGCAUAAAUUGCACUCUAACAAGAUCCUAAUACUCUUGACCAAUUGCAAGAGGAACUUGUAAUCACUUUAUGCUUACUGCAGCAGUACUUCCCACCUAGCUUUUUUGACAUAAUGAUCCAUUUAACAGUCCACUUAGUUGAACAAGUUAGGUUAUGUGGGCCUGUUUAUCUUCGAUGGAUGUAUCCUUUUGAGAGACAAAUGAAAACUCUCAAGGAUUAUGUUCGUAAUCGCUACCGCCCUGAGGGUUGUAUUGUAGAAAGUUAUAUUGCAGAAGAAGCACUUGCAUUUUGUGCUGAGUACCUCUCAAAUUGUGAUGUUAUUGGGCUGCCUACUGGUUGUCCAACUGAUUUAUCUAUCGAAAAGCCUUUGGGAGGUGCAAACAUAAAGGUGGUUGAUGAUCCUUUGUUGGCACAAGCACACCGGUGUGUUCUAAUGAACACCCCUGAAAUCCAAAUAUAUAUCGAGUAAGUUGUUAAUUUUUCAAAAAAAUAUUACUAUUGUAUUAUUAGAUUAAUAUACUAGUUUUUAAAUCUUAAUAUGUUUCACUGUAGGGAGCAUAUGCAUUAUUUGGCAUCAAGAAACCCUUAUAAGGCAAAAACAAAUUUGUGGUUGCAAAAUGAACACAUACGAACAUUUUCUGGUUGGUUACAAGCAAAGGUUAGAAUUACUUAACUAAAUACAAUAUAGGAUAUAAACUUAACAAGAUUUUUCUACAUGUUACUAAUUACUGUACUUGUUAAAUUAAUUUAUAGGUGGCACAUGAUAAAGCAAAUAAUGUGCCGAUUGACGAAAUAGUGUGCUUGUUAGCAAACAAACCACGCUCAAGCGUGGUGACCUUCUCUGGCUACGAGAUAAAUGGCUUCAAUUUUACAACGAGGGACCGAGACUGUAAUCGUGUGACCCAAAAUAGUGGUGUUAGGGUUGUUGCUAACACUCUACAGAUUUCAAGCUCAAAAGAUAAAAGUCCUCAUUUUGGAGACAUGACGUUUUAUGGAGUCAUUGAUGAGAUUUGGAAGCUUGAUUAUCUAAUGGUUAAAAAGACACUUUUCAAGUGUGAUUGGGUAGAUGAUAGAGGGGUUUGCACUGACAAUUUAGGUUUCACUGUAGUUGAUUUAAAUCGGAUUGGCUAUAAAUCUGAUUGCUUUAUUCUGGCUUGUCAUGCAAAGCAAGUAUUUUAUGUAAAGGACCAGCUAGAGAAUAAUAAAUCAAUAGUUUGUUCAGUGACCGACAAAGCUUAUAAGUUAAAUGGGGAAAGAUGUGAAGACGUGGAUGUAUUUUCUCCAUUAUCUAACAAACUUCCAGUAUGUGAGUUGGAUGAGAAAGAUGAUGAAGGAAUUUAUGACAGAAAAGAUUGUGAUGCUAUUCCAAUAGAUAUUGAUUUAGAAAAUCAGUGAAUGCAUUAUUGUAGUUAGUUUCCAGCACCAAUUUUCAAAGUUUUCCAGUAAGUGAUUUAUUUAUUUCAUUAUAUGCUAUUGCUCUUGUAUUAACUUAUUAAUCUAAAUGAUAUACUUAUUUAUUUUAAUCAUUUUCAAGAUUGUAGGAGAUGGCUGACGAUGUUGAGUUCACUCUUCCGGAGCUCGACGGAAGACCAAGGAGAAGAAAACAAACAAAAAAAAAAAGGUUUGCAAAAACAAGAAGUUAGUCAUGAAGCUGCAAUUGAGUACAAUUCUUAUGGUGUUCCGGUUGGAAAGGGAAGAAAUGAUCUUAGGAGUUACAUUGGAGUCAUUGUACGUGAAACAAUUUCAAUUUUACUUGAUGAUUGGAGGCGUGUGCCACUAGAGAUGAAGGAAACUUUGUGGGUUCAUUUUCAGGUUUUGUUUUCUUGUUUCAUAGUAUGUUUAAAGAUUUUAUAUAACUUCUAGAUUUUUUUAAAGUUGUUGCUAAUCCAUGUUAUUGGUUGACAGAAAAAAUUCAAAUUGAGCUUGAAAUGCAAAAGCCAAGUAUUAAAGUGGAUGGGGGUUGCAUCAAGAAACUUUCGUUGUGAACUGGCAACUGAAUUCGUUCUACCUAACAAGGACGAUCGAAAGUCACUAAGGUUGCCUCCUAUUGAAUAUCCAAGCAUUAAAAAAGCAGAUUGGAAACUUUUUGUUGACAAAGUUUUGUCUGAACAAUUUCAGGUGUGUUGUUUGUUAAUAUUACCUGAUUUAAUUGUUGGUAGUUACUAAUAAUCAGUGGUAACUUUUUGUUCUUCAUAUAAACUGUUUGUGCAGGAAAAAAGUAAGAAGGCAAAAGACAAAAGAGCAAAGAAUGUCUACAACCAUCGCUUGGGUAGCACAGGAUAUGGUGGCAUGUUGUAUAGAAAAGUAAGUGUGGUAAUAUGGAGUAAUUACAGUAACAUAAGUAAUCUAAUGCGUAUAAUAUAAUAGAAUCAAUUAUUUAUGUUUUAUGUCACCUCGUAACAGAAAAAGGAGAGUGGAGUUUCUGAGCGGGAGAUUGAUCGCAGUGAAGCUUGGUUAAUGGCACGAGCAGACCGAGAUGGCAAAUAUGCUUCUGAUGUGACGCCAAUUGCUGAGAAAAUAGUAAGUCACUUGUAUACUUAAUUCUUAUGAAUUUUCUUUAUAAUAUGUGUGUGUGGGGGUAGAUAUUAACGUACAUAUAUACUGCUUUUUGUAAUAAUUGUAUGGCAACAUUUACAAUUGACAGAAACUCAGUAAGAUUUCAUCAGAACUUAUUUCUUCGCAUAUUAAAAAGUUAAAACUUGUUUGAGGUGUUGUCUUGUAAUAUUUUCUGUAGUUUCAAUUUGAAUUGUAUAUGGAUUUGCUCUUUGUUAAAGAUUCAAGAAGGAUAUUAGUUUAGUUUAGCUGAUGUCUUGUUCUUGUAAUUGCGGAUUUACAAUAUUUUUUUUUUGUAGAAUGAGCUGAAGAGUCAUGUUGAACAAGGAACAUUCCAAUCACAAGGGUCACAUGACAUUCUAGGUGAAGCUCUUCAGAAGCAGCCAAAUGGAAGUAGGGUGCAAGGAGUGGGGCAAUUCGUCACCCCAUCUAUGUACUUUCAUGUCCCUGAUGCCACUGAGUUAGCAAGAGAAAGAAAGAUGUAUCAAGAGAGUUUCCAAUUCAUGUCUGCUCAAUUAGAACGCAUGAAUGCAAGGUUAAAUGCGUACAACAAUACUGAAGUUGGAAGUUCUAACUUUCCUAAGCCCAAAACUUCCACUGGUGUUCAGAUUGACAAUGAUCAACAAUCCCCUGAAACUCUUGGAAAAAGAAAGGUAUAUGGCCUGUUACAUGUCAUUAUUUUAUUUCCAUUUGUAUAUGCAUGUAUUACUACUAAUGGUAUGUAUUUUGAUUAUUGCAAAGGCUGAUUUCCCAUCGGGUAAGUCGACUCCAAAAUCUGUGAAGAGUAAAAUCAAGGACAGUCCCACCACAAUUUCCCAAGCAACUCCUCAACAAACCCCCGAAAAAGUAGACUGUGAAAUUACUUCAAAGCCCACACCGAGAAGAUCUCCUCGACUAACUCCUAAAGUACUAGAUAGGCAGUUCUCCUGUCAUGACAAAGUACCCAACAAAGAACCACCAGUCAUCAGACUAGCAGAAGUAGCCAAAAAAGAACCCAGAGUCAUCAUACCAGCAGAAGUAGCCAAAAAAGAACCCAGAGUCAUCAGACCAGCAGAAAUAGCCAAAAAAGAACCCCGAGUCAUCAGACCAGCAGCAAAAGACCUCAAUGUACGUGUGAAGAAUACACAGGCAGCAGCACGAUCAAGAAAGAAUGACAGGAGUGAAUAUAUGAACAUGUUUACCAUGUUCAUCGAGAAUUCUUUACCUCGGUUGAUCAGGAUUCGGCAUGACACAGCAACCUUUGGUGAAAUUUGGGAAACACACUUGGACAAAAUGAUUUGUGCUGAAAUCAUCGAGUUUAAAGAGGUCUCAAACUGCAUCAUUAACAUAUGGAUCAAGUACGGUAAAUCAUAACUUAUGUUUUAGUAAACUUGGCCCUAUUAUUUUGUUUCCUAUAUUCAAACUUACUUCGUUAUAUAUAUUUGUUUCCUCUUAGACACCUGUAUGAGGAGAUGAAGAGCAAUGGAAGUACUAAACCAGUUCAGUUUGGGCUUUUUGAGAAGCUAUAUCCAAGGGUCAGUUUCAAAGACAGGACUCAAUACAUUUCAAAACUGUUAGGCUUGGCAGAAUUGGGACAAGUCAUCGUAUUCCCGUAUAACCCUGGGUAUAACCUUUUUCAUUUGCUAGUAAUAUUCUUUAAUUUGUAGAUUAAUCACUUUUACUUGUAAUUCAUGUGUGAGAACAAUUUUUACUUUGUUUAGUGCCCACUGGGUGUUAUUGGCAAUUGAUAUGGUGAGACGUACAACCUAUUACCUUGAUCCUUUGGAAGGUAGUCCUGAUGAAGAGCUAAUGCAGAUUGUCAAUCAGUUAAGUUUGUUAUUUGUAUCUUUGAUCAUGCUAUUUUAUUUUUAUGUCUUAUGCUAAUUAUUUGCUAACGUUAGCUAUGUCUCUUAAUUGUAGGGGGAUUCGAAUACAUCAGAGUUUAAAUUCUGAUACAAAGGCCAAUGUUCAAUGGAUACCUGUCAAGGUAAAAAUCAGACAAACCUAACUAAUUAUUGUUAACGUACAGUAAAAAAUUAAUGUAAUUUUGAUCUUGUAGUGUCCGAGGCAGCCGAGCAGCUUUGAAUGUGGUUACUAUGUGAUGAAAUACAUGCAAGAUAUCAUCACAAAUGUGAACGUUCUGAAAAAUAAUGUAAGUAUUGAAAAUGAUUUUUACAAUACUGUAUCAUAUUGUUUUAAUUUAUUGUGAAAUGAAUCAGCUCACACACCUGUGUGCUUCUUUACAGUUAUCUUUUUAUUGCGUAUUGUAUGCAUUUUAUAAACUGUGAGGGUACUUAUAAUGGUGACUAUGUUGCAUACUGUUGAAUAGAUUAUAUGAAUAUCCAUAUAGACAUGAAUUAGGAUUUGGGAUAUACACAAUGUACUGCAUAUCCCAACACAAAACAAUUGUUUGGGUUGCAAAGUAGUUGUUAGUGGGGAUGUGCUAUGGUGUCGUUGCUUGUACUUUACUUUGAUGAGGAUAAGUUGUCAUCCUAAUUAAGGUUUUGUAUCUACAUCCAUAUUUGUAUUAAAUCGCGUACUGUUGGGGUUCACAAGUUGCUUCGGCUAUCAAAUAUUGUUGUUGUUGGGGUUCACAAGUUGUUUUUUUUUUUGGAAUUACCAUGAUCAGGAUGUUCAGUAUUUACCUAUAUAAUUUUGGAUAAAACAGUAACAUUGUUGGAGUUUAUUUGUUGGCUUUAAUUGUUAACACACAAAUGUAUUUAAAUGAAUGAUAAUUAAGUAGUUUAGUCAAGGAUUUUCGGUGAAUAACUUGUUGUUUUAAAAUUAAAGUUCAAGGGAGUUGAGGAAUACACUGUCAAGGACCUCUCGCGACUUCGUGAUCAGUGGACUACAUACGUUGCCAAGUUAAUUACAGCCUACAAUCGCGAGGUAACAUACAAGUAAUUUAUGAUUAUUUUUCCUUAAACAAAUCUGUGAUUUAUUUUUUGUGGUGUGCUAAUUGAUUUUAUAUACUUGUAGGUGGAAAAAAAAUGAAGGCAUAUGCGGACUCCAAAAUCAGUGACUCCAAAAUCAGUGACAUUGUUAUCUGUUUUUUCUUCUUGGCUAAAUUUUCUGAAAUUAAUUUAGUACUUUAUCGUGUAUACUACUUGUUCAAAGCUUCAUUUUGUACUUGAACAUGUUUUUUACCCCCAAACAAUGAUGUAUUUGAACUAUUUUAAUUUAACUGAUGUAUUUGAACUAUUUUAAUUUAAUUGAUGUAUUUGAAAUGUGUAUUAUGUGAAUUGCGUUACAAGAUUUGGUAUGUUUAAUAUAUUUUGGGUUUAUUUUAAUUGUAAAAUAAACAUGAAUAAUGUCAUUAAAAAAAAUAAAACACAACCGGUAUAGCACCGUUAAUACUGACACUAAUUAUUUAAAUGACGAUAAGAAUUUUUGAUGUUACUGAGUCAGUGGAUUCCUGAUACUGUAGUCACAUAAAUCAGUGACAUGUAAAUAGUAUCAUUAAAUGCUAACGCGAUUGAGUCACUAUCCUUGUGACUCUCUAGUGACACAAAAUACUGACAUAAAAAUAGUAUCAACUGAUACUAACAUCAUAGUAUCACUAUGGUGGUGAUACUAUAGUGACACAAAAUACUGACGCAAAAAUCACUGACACUAAAGAUUAGUGUCAGUGUGUUCUGGCUUGAGCAUUACUGACACAAUUAACAAGUUUCAGCAAAAGUAAUUACUGACACUAAAUUGGUGUCAGUAAAGCCCAUUUUUCUAGUAGUGAUAGAAAUCAGAGGGAGCCUUAUGAGAAAUUGUGCAAAGCUAACAAAAUGGCUAUGUGAUAUAUAUUGGCUUCGAUUUCUGUGGAAUUGAGUAACAAACAUCAGAGCAUGGAAACAACCACUGAAAUAAUGGCUAGUCUUCAUCAGAUGUUUGGGCAGAAUAUUCAUUUUGCCAGAGAAGCAGCAUUAAAACAUAUUAUGGAUACUAAGAUGGAAGAGGGCAUAAGAGUUCGUGAUCAUGUCCUCAAAAUGAUGGACUAUUUGAAUGAAAUAGAGAUUCAUGAUGUUCAAAUCGAUGCUAAAACAAAGAUUAACACAGUGAUUGAAUCUUUGCUUGAUACAUUCAAAGAGUUUAAGAUCAGUUAUAUCUUAAACAAUAAAGAUAUGACCUUAGUUAAUUAAUGCACGAACUACAUGCUAUAGAAGAAUUUUAUCAUAGUAGGAAACUUCCUGAAAAAGGAUUCUCUUGAAGGUUUAAGUCGAAAGACAAGAAUAAUCAAGAUAGAGUUGGGAUGAGAAAAUUGUCCACUAAAAGAGAUGGCAAGCCAAAAUGCAAGUGUUAUAAAUGUGGGCAGAAGGGUCACUGGAAGAAAGAUUGUCAUAAGAUUAUUAAAAUCAAGUAUAUGAAAUUUUUAAUCUUUCUAAUUAGUUCAUAUUUCUAUUGAUUCAUACAAUAGUGAAUUUUGAGAUAACAAAUCUUAUUUAUAAUUCAUUUAUUUGGUUUUCAGGAAACUAAGAGAUUAAGUGAACAAAGCUUCAAACAGCAACUGAGGACAUGCUAGUUUAUAUCAGUUGAAAAGAUAGAUCAAUUUUACGAGACUUUAGUUUUGAUAUUUGUCUUUAUUAUUCUAAAUAUUAGAGGAAUUUAAUUUCGGUAGCUUGUUUUAAUAAAUAGGAGUACACUGUUAUUUUUUUAUCCUCUGUUUAUUACUUAUUUUGGUUCUUUAUGAUGACAAUUUAUAUCAUAUAAGUUCAUUGAUCUAUUCAAAGUAAGAUAUAAUGAUAAAGAGUAUAUGCAUUUAUCUAAGAAAAGAAAUGUUUCUUCUAACCAAUAUCACCUAUGAUAUUUAUGCUUAAAUCAUAUAAACUAUAAUAAGAUUUUUAAAAAAUGAUUAAUGAUAGGCUUGUUGGCCUAUUAAGAUUAAUAAUUGUCACUCUAUAAAUCUUAUUUAGAAAAGUAAUAUGACAAGGAUGCUUUUUUUGAGCCAAAAGCAUAAUAUUAUAUUGGAUGACUUAGCGCAUACAAAUGUAUACGGAUUAAUCAGUUUACAUGUUAUAAGAGGUUAUGAGUAUUUUAUGAAUUUUAUUGAUGAAUAUUCAUUUCAUUUAUGUUUGUCUAAAUGCAUUAUGAUUCAAUCGCUUUAGAAAUUCAAAGAGUAUAAGGAUGAGACAGAAAGCAAUUAGAUAAGAACAUAAAGAAACUACGAUCUGAUCGAAGUGGUGUAUCUAGCUGAAAAUAGGAUUAUAUCUCAGUUGACUGUCCUGGGAACACCACAACAAAAUGGGGUAGCUAAAAGGAGAAAUAGAACUCUUUUGGAUAUGAUGAGAUAUAUGCUUAGUUAUUCGUCAUUACCAAUCUCUUUUUGGGGAUUAGCAUUGGAAACUGCAGUUUACCUCUUGAACUUAGUUCCAUCUAAGUCAGAGUCUAAAACCCCAAUAAAAUUAUGGUCAGGUCGCAAACCAAGUUUACGACAUGUUUGUAUUUGGAGAUCACCAGCACAUGUGCUGAAACCAAAGACAGAUAAAAUGGAUUCACGUUCUGAGGUUUAUAUGUUUGUGGGGUAUCCUAAAAGAAAAAUGGGAGGAUUAUUUUAUAGUUCUCAAGAUAGGAAAGUGAUCAUGAGCACAUAUUUCACUUUCCUCGAGGAAGACUAUAUGGAUAACUUCAAAUCUAAAAGUAAGGUAAUACUUGAAGAAUUGUCAGGUGAUCAAGUUGAUGCUUAGAUUUUAACACCUGUUAUAGAACAGGAAGAACAACAAUAACUAGCUGAUCAACACAGGAUUAUCCCUGAACAACCAUCAAUUUUAGAAUCUCGUCAUAGUAGGAGGGUAGCUAGGUUACCUGCUAGAUACAUGUUAUUAGGAGAAACAUAUAUGGCUAUCUCAGAUAAACAUGUACAAAAUCCCACUAGCUACAACGAAGCUCUAAUAGACAGAGAUGUUGAACUUUAAAAAAGAUCAUGGAUCAAGAAAUGAAAUCUAUGUGUUCCAAUAAAGUCUAGGAACUUGUAGAGGCACCAAAUGAGGUAAAACAUAUAGGGUGUAAGUGGAUAUACAAGAGAAAAAGAGGAGUAGACGGAAGGGUGAAAACAUUUAAAGCAAGAUUAGUAGUCAAAGGGUUUACUUAGAAAGAGGGAAUCGAUUAUGAGAAAACAUUUUCUCUGGUUGUUAUGCUCUCCAUUAUUGCAGUGCUAGAUUAUAAAAUUUGGUAAAUUGAUGUCAAGGCUGCUUUUCUUAACGAGCAUCUUGAAGAAGACAUCUACAUGUAGCAACCAGAUAGAUUCAUAUAAAAAGGCCAAUAACACAUGGUAUGUAAGUUGCAGAGAUCCAUUUAUGGAUUGAAGCAAGCAUCCCGGUCAUGGAACAUCAGAUUUGAUCAAGCGAUUAAAUCGUUUGGAUUCAUUCAGAAUAUUGAUGAACCAUAUGUGUACAAGAAAAUUCAGGGAAAAUCUGUAGCCUUCCUAGUUCUUCAUAUAGAUGAUAUUCUCCUUAUUGGAAGCGAUAUAAGAGUAUUGACUACAAUAAAGAGUUGGUUAACAAAAUAAUUUGAUAUGAAAAACCUGGGAGAGGCAAGUUAUAUUUUUGGUAUCAAAUUACUACGAGAUUAGAAGAAUAAAACUUUAACCUUGUAUCAUUUGCUUGUAUACUUAGUGGUUUCAAUACAAUAAAUAUUCAAAUUUGACAUAUUGAGAGGAAUACAAUAAAUAUUCCAAAUAUGUUUUUGACAAGUUAUUCCAAAUACAAUAAAUAUUCCAAAAGGAUCUGCCAAAAACAUAUUUGGAACCACAAGAAACAAAAACAUAUUGAGAGGAAGUAUCAUCUUAUAAGGGAUAUAGUGCAAAGAGGUGAUGUGGUAGCUACUCAGAUUGCGUCACAAGAAAACUUGGCAGAUCCUUUUACUAAGGCCAUACCUGGGAAACUUUUUAACUUGCACUUAUAAUCCAUUGGCAUGAGUGAGAUGCCAAAUAUGGUUUGAGAGCUAGUGGGAGAUUGUUGGGAAAAUAUGCUCCUUAAAAACAUAUGUGUUUAUUUAAUUGUAAUGAAUAAUUUUUUUGAUUAAUAUAAUAAAUGAGGUAUUUUAUUCAAGUAUCUUAGUUACAUUAAUAUUUGGAGUAAAGUCCAUUUAAUCAUAUUAUAUGUAUUUACGUGAUCACCAUAUGGAUUCACAGAAGACAUAAAUACAAGUUAUCUUAUGAUUAAAUAAAUUAAGUUUGCAGUUGAUAAAUAAAGUUAGGCACUUUAUUUAGGUAUAGACUGUAAUAAAUUCAUUUAAUGAUUCGUCUUAAUCAUGUAUGAAUUUAUUGAUGUAGUAAGACUAUAUUGAAUUGGAUCACAUAUGAGAUUUAAUUAACUUUGUAAUAACUGUCAGACUUAUUAAAUCUCAUAAGCAUUGAUUUUACUAUAAUCUUAAUCUUCAGUUAGUUAUAAUUUCAUGAUUAUAAUUAUUAUUCCAUUUGAGUUACCAAUUGACAUGACACACACUUGUAGUCAAGAUUACUCAGUAUCUUGAUAGGAGCAAUUAUAAAUAUUAAAGUUAUAGAUUAACAAUAUAGAAUUUGUACAACACAUCUCUUGAUGAGUUUUCGACACUUGAUCAUAAAAUUCUCUGGCCAGAUUGUGUCAACAUAUUUAGUAUGUUGAACAUGAUCAUUAGAGAAAAUCAGUAAGUAUCAAGGAAUAAAAUGUAAUUAAAUUAAUUAGACAGUUGAGAUGUCGAUUUAAUUAACAAGGUGGUACAAAUGAUUAUGCAGUAAAGAAAUCAAUGUGGCAUGGGUCGAAUUAUUAUUCGAGAACACUAUCCUAGAUAACAUACAAUUAUGGAGGUCAGUUCGAAUUUUUUAGUGGAGUAGAUUUGGAAUUAAGUAAUUGGGCUAGUUUAAUGACAGACCUAAUUAUUGUAGCCACUAUUGUAUGUACUCAUAUAAUCCCCGGAUUAGCUCAUUUAAUUGACUGAACCGCUACUGGAUUAAUAAGCAAGAUACAAACUAACUAUUUUGGUUAAAAGCCUAAAUAUAUUAUUUAGUUGGAGGCUCCAUUUAAUAUGCUUGUGUGUAAGGAGUCUUGUGUUAUUUUACAAGAUGGACCCCUAUAACAAGAGCAAGUAACGCCACUUUUAGUUUUAUUUUUUUAAUUUAAAUCAAAUUUGAUUUAAGAGAAUUAAAAAUAUAUAAAUAUGGAGCCUAGGGUUUCCACUAAAUAGAGAUAUAAAGGGACUUGUUUUCUCUAAAAGGGGAGAGGAGCCACCAUAUACAGAUCAGAGAAAAAGAGUUUUUCUGUCUAAUUUUGAGAAAAAUAUUUUCUCUUGCUAGUUGCUUUUAGUGGUGAUAAAGGCGCCCACACGUCAAGUGCAUAUCAAACUUGAGUCAUAACUUGGAAGAUCAUUGGUGACGGAUCGUGAUAUAAAAAGAUUAGUGGUGACAGUUCGUGAUCUAACGGGAGUGGUGGUAACGGAUCGUGAUCUGGGAGCGUAGAUUACUUUAGCAAAAAAGUAAAGGUACGAUUUCUAAAUUAUGGUAAUUUUAUAUAUUGUAUGAGAAUUGCGAUCGAAAUAUUUCCGCUGCAAAAUAUUUUUAAACCAACAAUUAGCAACUUAAUACACUUGGUACGCUGGAACGGAUUGUAAAUAUAAUAUUAUCAUAAAAUUUAUUUAAAUUUAAUUGUAUCAUUUUCAAGAGAAAGUAUCAUUUUUUUUUAUGCAACUAAGUUAUCUAGAGACAAACCUUCUCUUGUGUUCUCACAGCUUUGGGGAAGCUUCAAAGGACACAGCUUGGAUUGUCCAUUAUGCUAAUAUACCUGCCUAUAAAUAGGAGGGUUGACCUCAACUGUGAGUAAAAGAACUGCGAUACUCGUGUUCCUUCCUGUAAUAACGAAAGCGUCUUAAUUAAUUCAGUGUUUCUACUUCAGCAAAAUAAAAAUAAACUCUUGAUUGAAAUAAAACCAACUUUCAUAAUUUUCAAUUCUAAUUUUCUUAUAAAAAUGACGCCAUGAUUGGAUGGCAUUGUCCUUGUGUUGUGUCAUUGAUUUAUCCAUCUUUGUUUUUCCCAAAAACAAUUUCCAUGAAAGAGGAUGUUUUGCUGCUCAUUAGUAAACGCUAUUUAAGCACAAGAAAUGAUUGAGAUUUAUGCAAAGUACGUGGCAGAAUUUAUGUAAGAUGACUGAUGAUUCAUAAGGAAAGCUAAACAUGGGAGUUGGUAACUUUUAGCAUGGUGAUCAACAUGUGUUGUAGAAAAUUUUUAGAAUUUUACUAUAAGUGGUACACAUAAAAGUCAGUAAGUCUAACUUGUACUCAAAUAUUAGCUCAUAUCUUAAUAGUCGCCUUAAGCUUAUGUUAUUAAUCAAUUAACUAAUCUCAGCCCGUCUGAAAAAUCUUUUCUAUCACCUCCAGUACUUGUAGGUCAAUUUUUUGUUUGGUCUUUGUCAAUAAUUCAAGUGAUGGGUUUUUCUUUGCCAAUAACGCACGAUAGUUCCUUGUCAUGAGCUUCUAGGGGUGUUCGCGGAUCGGAUUUUACGGAUUGAACAUCAAUCCAUAUCCGAUCUAUAAUUUUAUGGAUUAUAAAUUUUCAAUCCAAUCCAAUCCAUGGAUUGAUAAAAUUCAAUCCAUAUCCAAUCCAUACGUUUGCGGAUCGGAUGCGGAUUUGACUCAAUCCAUAUGCAAUCCACCAUUUUGCGCAUUAGUUUUCGAAUUAAAAAUUUUUUAGUUCUCUCCAACUAAUGAAAUAAAAAAAAAUCUAAUAUAAAAAUAAUUUUGCUACAAAUUAAAUUUAAAAUUGAAUAAAAUUUAAAUAAAUUAAUUGUUUAAAUAAAGCUAAAAUAAUACAUUUAAAGUUUCAAAAUAUAGCACAUCGAGACUAAUUAUUCAAAUAAAGCUACAAUAAUACGUUCAAAGUUUCAAAAUAUAACAUACCAAGCUUAAUUGUUCAAAUAAAGUUACAAUAAUACGUUAAUAUAACACCGAAAUUAAUUGUUCAAAUAAAGCCACAAUUAAUUGAAAUGGCGAAGUUUCGGAAACCAAACACAGUUUGAUCCUUCACUAGGGCUGUUGCGCCUGUCGAAAAAUGGUGAUUACGGAGCCAUCCACGAUGGGAACCAGGAGAAGCCGUGCAGGUGGCGAUCUUAAAGGUUGUGAUAGUGAAAUUCUUCAGCUGGAACAAGUGAAUGUGAAGUGGCUCGAUGGACUUGGGAAAGAAGAUGGCUUGCUCUCGCCGGAAUCGCGCGGCCGAUGUCCUUUAAAUCCGUAUUGAGAGUGUAUCCAACCAGUAUUGAGUGUUGCUAGUGUGUGUGACGGCGGGAAAGCUUAGGGCUUUUUGUUUGCAAAUUGUUGGUGACUUGGCGUUAUGUUACUUUACUUUUGCUAGUGCGUGCCACUUUGCUUUUAUUUUGUUUUACAAUUUUUACAAGUUAUAUUUGUAUAUUUGAUUAUUUAAUUAUUUUUUAUUUUAUAUUAUUAUUGGGUAAUGGCUAAGAUAUGUUAUAGUGCUUAGUAACUAUGCAAUGCCACAUUUAUAAUUUUUUAAAUUAAAUUUAUAAUAAUUUUUUAAUUAUAUAUAUAUAUAUAUAUUUAUUUUUUUUUGCGAAUUCACGGAUUUCUACGGAUUUACAGAAGUAAAUCCAUAUCCAAUCCAUCGACUGCGGAUUUUUAAAUUUUCAAUCCAUAUCCAAUCCACCAAUCUACGGAUCGGACGGAUUGAGCGGAUCGGAUUGGAUUAUGAACACCCCUAUGAGCUUCUUAUCUUCUGUCUUGAAGGAAGAAAUUGCAAAAGACAAAUGAAACAAUUUCCUUUACACAUCAAUCAGUGCUGCAGCCUUUAUAUCUUUAUUAUUCUCGGAGGGAUGAUAAUGUUGAGAGCCGAAACAAUUACUAGUACUCACUCCUCUUAUGGCCAUGUCUAACUCUCUACAAUAAUUUCGAUAUUCCUGUUCUUCAGUUCUUCCACUACCCAACAAGUACGACGGUAUGUACGGUGGCUUCAUUGCUAGAGCCUCUGUGGGCAUAUUUUAACAACGUGAAGGAAGAGCUAAUUAGAAUUCACACAAUUUUCCUGAAAGUCUACAACUUCCAGGAAAUUCACCACCUCUGUAGAAUUGUAAUAAUAAGACUUGUGGUUUCUGUAAAAGAAUUUAUAAGAGUUAAUAUAAAAGAAUUCGAAAAUGAAUUUUAUAUGGACUAGAAAUACUCUUGAUUAAUUGGUUAUUCAAAUGGUUUAGAAAUCCCCUUAAUAUUAGGAAGUCAUUUAAAAUUCUGAUUGUUGUUGUUCUAAAUAUAUUACUUUGCACUAACUUCCAAUUCCACAAUUACUCUGACAGCCCCGUUUUCACGGAUUUAUUUAUGUAUCUGAAUCUUUUUAUUCAUGAAAGAAUAAUCUCUUGCAAACUCACAACUUCAAUUAUGAAUCAACUAGCUAGCAACCAUUUCUUUAUUUUUAAUUGCUUUGGAAAUUAAGGAUUCGUCCAGCCGCCAGAUUCCGCAGUGAUUCUAUUGCAUUGGAUGUCUUCAAUUUUCUUUUGCAUUAGAUUAUUUGUUGAACUAUUUAUUCACAAGUGAAGGAGGAAUUAUAGAAUAUAUCUGAGAUAAUACAAUCAACUAAUGCAUAUACAACGUGUGUAAUUGAAUUUAGUGUAAACAUCACCUAUAUUUUUGAAAAUAAAUGCACACAAGUUAUAGUAUCAUUUGCUUGUUAUAUGACUUACAGUGUAUUCUAGAAUUUUUCCCAAGUGGAGACCAUGAGUGGUAACAUCCAUCUGACAUAAGAGUAUUACAAAGAGAUAAUCACUUGUCAAAUUUGAAUAUUUAUUGUAUUGAAACCACUAAGUAUAUAAGUUUGGACAACCCUAAAUUCAUGAUGAGAAGUUAAAGACAGUAGUACUCUAAAAGAAAAUGGAACGAAAUGAUCCAUUCAUACCUAUUAUUUGACUUUUAGAUUUGCCCUUCUAAAUUUUAACAAAAUGCACACAUGUUCUCUUGACAAAUUUUUAUUUAUUCAUGUGAACGAAGUAUAACAAAAUUAUUGACCAAUCAGAACCAAGAUGGAAAUAAUCAUCAACAAAAGUAAUCUGCAAGGACGAAUAGAAGCAGAUAGAUUAUUCCAAAAAGAAACUAAGUGCAAGUGGAAUUACUGUAGUACUGAUUAUUCGAGUGUGGCGGGAACGUCAUCGAAGAAGGGUAAACUUCUCUGUUUCAGGAUUUCACAACCCUCAGGACUUGCUGUGUUUGGAUCAAAAAGCUCACGAUCAGGCAGAGGUAAGCCAAGUUUUAUUUGACCCACUCGCCGCGAAUGCAGGACUUGCUUGGUCGUGACAGGUAGCCUAACAGAUUGAUAUUCUUCCAGAGCUGAAUGUAAAUUUUCUUCCCCCAACUUCUCAAGGCAUUUACCUAACACUGCUGCAUCAGCUAUGGCCAUGUUUGUGCUUCUUGCACAGUGAUGGGUUAUGGGAUGAGCCGCAUCUCCAAUAAAGACCACGUUGUUGUUGAAAAGUCAAAGAAGAGCUUGCCAAUUUCAAGGUUGGUAGCACGAUUCAACAAAUUGUUGGUUACACCAACAAUUGUAGAGAUUUUUCAAGCCGAAAAGAAAGAAUGGACAAAGGGGAUGGAUUUGAAAAUAAUAAUAAUUAAAAAUUAUAUUUUUAAUUAUUUUAUUCUUUGCAUAGUAAUUCAUUUCUCCUAUAAAUAUCUAAGGAUUUCAUUCAUUUGAAAUCAUCCCAAAAUUGUUAAGCUUAUAAGUUUCUAAGCUUUUGAGAGAAGUGAGAGAAGUGUGUCUGGAGAAUUUAUCUUUCCUGCAGAGUGUGAGAGUACUGGGUAUAUUUGGGUUUCUGGGAAGUGAGAUUCGUUACUCAAAUAUUGUAUUCUAUUAAUUGUUAAAUAAACAAUUAUUCUUUCUUGCCUCCGUGGAUGUAGGUUUAAUUACCGAACCACGUAAAUUCUUGUGUCCUUUAUUUUUCAGUAAUUUUUGGUGCGCUUGAUUCCGCAUUCCGCGCACAACAAGUGGUAUCAGAGCCGACGGUUCGUACUUGGGGGGAUACGGUAUUGUUCACGUAUACGGUACUAUUCCCGUAUACGGUACUGUUCAUAUACGGUACUGUUCACGAAUACGGUGGAGACGGCCAUUUGUACUUGGGAAACAAUCUAUUGUAAGUAGUGUGUAUUUUUGCAUGUCUAGGAAAGUUCUGUCAACAAAGGCAAUAAGAGUCUAAGGAUUCUGGUUUUUAAUUGGGACCGAGUCCCCGUCCAGUCUCCUGGGAACUUUCCUGGUGCAUUUAUUCACGCGAAAUUAACAUCAUAGAGACUGUUUUUCAAGUGGAAAUAUUUUGUUGAGAAAAUGGUAGAAGGUGAAACUUCCAGAAUUGGGGAGAGAUCUACCGAGACUAUUUCAGGAGACACUUCAGGUGGGAGGCGAGAUUUGUCAAAUCGCUAUUCAGCACCUGUUAUAGGAGGCCAGAAGAUCGAUGUUGAAAAGUUUGAUGGGAAAAUCAACUUCGGCAUGUGGAGGCGCGAAGUUAUGGAUGCCCUUAUUCAAAUCGAUCUCGAUGUUGUUCUGAAAAAUAAAAGACACUUGUAUGAUGAAGAAAUUUGGGAUCGUAUGAACGAGAAAGCCUGUGGUCAGAUCAGAUCUUGUUUGACCAAGGAGGUAAAAUACUUGGUGAAAGAUGAGGAGUGUGCGGUGACUUUGUGGCGUACAUUGGAGGAAAAGUACCUAGUGAAAAGUCCUGAAAAUCGCCUUCAUGCAAUGAGCCAAGUAUAUGGUUUUCGAAUGAAGCCUAUGUUGUCAAUGCACGAUCAUGUUUCAAGAUUUGAAAAGUUACUUGCUGAUUUGAAGAAUCUUGAUGAAGAUAUUAAGGAUGAAGUCAAGGCUAUGAUUCUGUUACACUCACUACCAGAGGAAUAUAGCCAUUUUGUGACUACUUUGAUAUAUGGGAAGAGUGUGAUCGUCUUUAAAGAUGUUUGCACAGCAUUGACUAGCUUAGAGAUUCGAAAUAAUGAUAAAAAUUAUGAACGAGCAUCGUCUGAAGCUUUGGUGAGCAGAGAUUGGGCGAUGGCGAAACAGAAGAAGCGUGGUGGAAAGAAUUCUCGAUCCAAAUCGAGAAGCAGAAAUAUAGCUCGAGAUGAGUGUGCCUUUUGUCAUGAAAAAGGCCAUUGGAGGAAAGAUUGUCCAAAGGCUCAAAAGAGAGAUGGGAAGAAACCAGCAGCAGCAAACAUGGCAUGGAAAGAUGAGGGCUUUGAUUAUUCACUAAGUAUUACUCCUGCAGCAUACGUGGCUAGUUCGAACGAGUGGAUACUUGAUACUGGAGCAACCUAUCAUUUGUGUCCUAUUAAGGAAUGGUUUACGGAUUUUCGUAAUAUGGAAUCCAGUGCAGUUGUGAUGGGGAAUGAUCAACCUUGUCGUACAAUGGGGAUAGGAACAAUUCGGCUCAAAAUGUUUGAUGGAAUGGUCAGAGAACUCAAAGAGGUUAGAUUUGUUCCAGCUUUAAAGAAAAAUCUAAUUUCUGUAGGUGCUUUGGAAGCUAAAGGCUAUAAGGUUACCAUUGAAGAUGGUAUAAUGAAGUUUACACAUGGGGCUAUGGUGAUUCUACAAGGGGUUCAACGUCACAAUCUGUACUAUUUGAAGGGAGGUACAACUGAUGAAGCAAAUAUUGUUGAGGCGCACAGUGACACCACCAAGCUAUGGCAUGUACGACUGGAACAUGUUGGAGAGAAGUCUUUGCAAACUCUGAUGAGGCAUGGACUCUUAAAAGGUACCAAAACCUGUAAAUUAAAUUUCUGUGAGCAUUGUGUAGUAGGCAAGAAAACACGGGUCAAGUUUGGUACAGCUAAUCACGAUACUCAUGAGAUCCUUGAAUAUGUUCAUAGUGAUGUAUGGGGACCAACCAAGACUGCAUCAAUUGGUGGAAGCCAUUAUUUUGUUACAUUUGUUGAUGAUUUCUCUAGACGUGUGUGGGCGUACACCAUGUGAGCAAAGGAUGAAGUUCUAGAGAUUUUCGUGAAAUGGAAGAAAUUGGUGGAGACUCAAACUGGCAGAAAGAUCAAAGUAUUACAAUCUGAUAAUGGGGGUGAAUAUACUUCUGAUCCAUUCUUGCAAGUAUGCCAGAACGAGGGUAUUAAAAGACAUUUCACGGUGAGACAUAUUCCGCAACAGAACGAUGUGGCUGAGCGUAUGAAUCGUACUUUACUGGAGAAGGUACGAUGUAUGUUAUCUAAUGCUGGUUUAGAUAAAAAAAUUUGGGCUGAAGUUGUGAGCUACGCAAGUCACUUGAUAAACCGGUUGCCUUCUGCUGCAAUUGGAGGUAAAACUCCUAUGGAAAUGUGGUAUGGAAAACAUGCACAAGACUAUGAUUCCCUUCAUAUAUUCGGAUGUCCAGCUUAUUAUCAUGUCAAAGAUGGUAAACUGGAUCCUCGUGCUAGAAAAUCUAUCUUUGUGGGAUUCAAAGGUGGAGUAAAGGGCUUCAAGCUUUGGGAUCUCGAAGGCAAAAAGUUUGUGUGUAGCAUAGAUGUCACAUUUGAUGAAGCUUCAAUGAUGAAGGCUUCAAGUUCUCAGCAGGUGGAGAACAAGACUAAAGAGGUAUUGCAGCGGGUGGAGUUUGAUGCAACUCCAUAUGUACCAGUUAGUUCUACAUAAAAAAAGGGUUCAACUAUGGAGGUGACACCUAGAGUUAAAGAAGAGGUUGUUUCUUCUGAUGUCCCACAAAAUGAAGAAACAAUUGAUGAUGUAGAUAAUGAUGAUUUUAUAGCAACAAGGAGGCUAAGAAGAGAGAUAAAGAAACGUGGAUGGCUUACUAAAGAUAUGGUGGUAGCUUAUGCACUUCCAGUUAUUGAUGAUGACAUCCCCAACACUUUCGGUGAAGUAUUACACAGCAGUGAAAGUGAUCAGUGGAAGUUAGCCAUGGAGGAAGAGAUGAAAUCUCUCUAUCAAAACCAGACUUGGGAACUUGUAAAGUUACCAAAGGGGAAAAGGGCUAUUGGCAAUAAAUGGGUCUACACCAAAAAGCAAGGAUCUCCGAAUCAAUCAACUCCUCGAUACAAGGCAAGGCUCGUGGCAAAAGGUUUUGCUCAAAAGGAAGGUAUUGACUAUAAUGAAGUUUUCUCUCCAGUUGUAAAACAUACUUCCAUUCGUAUCCUACUUGCCUUAGUUGCAGAAUAUGAGUUAGAGUUGGCUCAAUUGGAUGUUAAGAUGGCGUUCUUACAUGGAGAUUUGGAGGAAGAAAUCUAUAUGAUUCAACCUUGUGGUUUCAGAGUUGCUGGAAAGGAGAAUCAUGUGUGUAGGUUGAUUAAAUCUUUGUACGGACUGAAGCAAUCGCCAAGGCAGUGGUACAAAAGAUUUGAUCAAUUUAUACAAGGGCAGAAAUUCACUAGAAGUGAACACGAUCAUUGUGUUUACUUUAGAAGACUACCAGAUGAAGCUUUCAUCUAUUUGUUACUCUAUGUUGAUGAUAUGCUUAUAGCUUCGAAGAAUAGAGAUAAGAUCGAAAGAUUAAAGAAGCAGCUGGCUUCUGAGUUCAAGAUGAAAGACUUGGGUGAUGCACAUAGAAUACUUGGGAUGGAGAUUCGUAGAGACAAGAAGAAUGGGAGCGUAUGGUUGACUCAAAAGUCUUAUUUGAAGAAAGUGCUAAAAAGAUUCGGUAUGGAUAACAAAACUAAACCGGUAUGUACACCUCUAGCUCCUCAUUUCAAAUUAAGCUCUUCUUCAUGUCCUAGAUCUCAAGAGGAGAGCAAUUACAUGGCUCGUGUUCCAUAUGCUAGUGCUGUGGGUAGUCUUAUGUAUGCUAUGGUAUGCAUAAGGCCCGAUAUAUCUCAAGCAGUGAGCAUGGUUAGUAGAUACAUGCACAAUCCGGGUAAAAAUCAAUGGCUUGUGGUAAAGUGGAUUCUCCGAUAUCUGUAUGGGACAGUUGAUGUUGGGUUAUUGUUCAAGAAGGAUUGUGGUCAACAAUGUGUUGGGUAUUGUGAUUCUGAUUUCCCUGGAGACCUUGACAAGCGAAGAUCAACAACGGGCUACGUAUUCACAUUGGGUGAAGGUCCGGUUAGCUGGAGGUCGAUUCUACAAUCGACAAUUGCUCUGUCCACUACGGAAGCAUAGUAUAUGGCAGCAACUGAAGCUGUAAAAGAAGCUAUCUGGUUGAAAGGCUUGUUAGGUGACUUGGGAGUAAUCCAGGAGAACAUUGCAGUCUUCUGUGAUAAUCAAAGUGCGAUAUUCCUUGCGAAGAAUCAAACAUAUCACGCUCGGACGAAGCACAUAGAUGUGAAAUAUCAUUAUGUGAGAGAGAUUAUCGAGAGCGGUGUUGUGUGGUUGAGAAAUAUCGAUACCAAAGAUAAUCCAUCAGAUAUGUUGAUGAAUGUAGUUUCUGGAGUUAAGUUUCAACAUUGCUUGAAAUUAAUUCAAAUCCUUCGAUUGUGUUAAGAUAUGUCCUUCGGGAAUUUUGAAUUACGGUUGGCUUGAUCUCAAAUUUUGGGUACGUAGGCAGUCAUAGAGAUGCAGCCACUUUGGGGAUGAUGGCUCAUUGGUAGUCGGCUCAGAUUUGAAAAAUUUUCACCGAGGUGGAGAUUUGUUGAAGUCAACAAAUUGUUGAAAAAUAAUAAUAAUUAAAAAUUAUAUUUUUAAUUAUUUUAUUCUUAGCAUAGUAAUUCAUUUCUCCUAUAAAUAGCUAAUGAUUUCAUUCAUUUGAAAUCAUCCCAAAAUUGUUAAGCUUAUAAGUUUCUAAGCUUUUGAGAGAAGUGAGAAAAGUGUGUUUGGGGAAUUUAUCUUUCCUGCAGAGUGUGAGAGUACUGGGUAUAUUUGGGUUUCUGGGAAGUGAGAUUCGUUACUCAAAUAUUGUACUCUAUUAAUUGUUAAAUAAACAAUUAUUCUUUCUUGCCUCCGUGGACGUAGGUUUAAUUACCGAACCACGUAAUUCUUGUGUCCUUUAUUUUUCUAUAAUUAUUUGGUACGCUUGAUUCCGCAUUCCGCGCACAACACUCUUUCUGUAUUUCUGAAGACAAAUUAACUGUCAAAGUUAGAGCUAAGGAUCUUGAGACUGAUGAAAUAAUCGAGAUAGUAGGAGAUUUGCUCGUCGGAGCAGAUGGGAUCCUCUCAUCAAUUGGUCAGAGCAUUCUACCUGACUUCAAAUUAAGGUUUGUGCUUGCUUGUGAAUAUCAAUAAAAGUAAUUAAUUUUUGAGUAUUUUGUUUCAUAAAUUUCAAUGUGUUUUUAAUAGGUACACAGGAUACUGUGCGUGGAGAGGUGUUUUUAAUUUUUCAGAAAACGAUUCAGAAACCAUCUUAGGCAUUCGAAAAUCGUAUCCUGAUAUUGGGAAAUGCCUUUACACGAAUAUUGGUUCAGGAUCUCACAUCAUAGUCACUGAACUUAAGAAAGAGAAGUUCAAUUGGGUUUGGUAUGUCAACCAACCUGAGCCCGAGCUCAAGGUAACUGCUUACUUUUGUUUCAUCUUUUUACUUUGUUUACGGGGGUUUGGGUUGAGUGCUAAAAUCUAAUUUUUGCAAACGAUCAACACAGCUCAGACCAUCACUGGAUCCAAUUUUUUUUUUUAAUUUUAAUUUUCCGGUUUAUCAAUGCAGUAUGACCUGACAUUGGGAAACAAAUUAUUUUAUUCUCUUCAGGGAAAUACAACUUCUGUGAAAGUAAGCAGUGACAUGAUCGAGGAGUUGCACCAAAGAGCAGAGCAGGUUUGGUUACCUGAAUUGUCAAGAAUGAUCAAAGAAACAAAGGAUCCUUUCCUUAAUGCUAUAUAUGAUUGCGAUCCUUUGGAGAAAAUCAUCUGGGACAGAGUGGUGCUAACAGGAGAUGCAGCUCACCCGACAACUCCACACUCUGCCAGAAGCACAAACAUGGCGAUAAUAGAUGCAGCAGUGUUAGGAAAAUGCCUCGAGAAGUGGGGGCCGGAUCAUUUAUACUCUGCUCUGGAAGAAUAUCAAUCCAUUAGGAAGCCUGUAACUUCAGCACAAGUUCUACAUUCGCGACGAUUGGGUCAAAUGAAACAAGGGUUAAGUAUUCCUGGAAGGGAGCGGCCUUUUGAUCCAAAGACAGCAAGUCUAGAGGACUGGGAAUUCAUCGUUGACAUAAAUGUGCCUCUUUUCGACGUUGUUCCUCCGAUUCUUGAUUCAAUUUUUCGUUCUGCUUGAUAACUUCAAAGGACACGGCUUGGUCUGUUCAUUAUGCUAACUAUAGCUGCCUAUAAAUAAGAGGGUUGACCACAAUUGUGUGAGUAAAAGAACUGCUAUACUUAUGUUCCUUCCUGUAAUAACGAAAGCCUCUUACUUAAUUCAGUGUCUCUACUUCUUCAGCAAAAUAAAAAUAAAUUCUUGAUCGAAAAACACCCAACUUUUCCAAUUUUCUUAUAAAAAUGACACCACGAUAGGAUGGGAUUGUCCUUGUGUUGUGUCAUUGAUCUAGUAACUAAUAUUAGCGAUAUCAAACAUUUUUUCUAUCAUCUUCCAUCACAUGUGUGUAGGUCAAUAUUUUUGUUUGGUCCUUGUCUAGUGAUAAGAUAAUGUGAGUGAUUUUGAGAGAAAAUAUGAAAAACACAAACAAUGAAAAUGCCCUUUUACUUAAACUAUGACAGAUAUUUUUACACUGAAGUUGAUAGAAGACACUCGAAUGCGCAGGAGUGAAAUCUUGACAAAUUAAAGCGAGAACUAAGACAUGCUAGUCCUUUCUCGCGCAUUUAGUUGACAUUAUUUUGCUUUGCAAAUAAAUGCGGGCAUGGUUGAAGGCAUUUUAUCUUUCCGGAAGUGGAUGGAGAAAAAAAUAUAAUUAAAAGGGAUGCGAAUAAUAAAUGCCAGUUUUUUCUUAAUAACGAAGAAUAUAUUAGAAAUAAAUUGAAAUGUAACAAAAUACUUGAAAUAAUUCAAGUGAUGGGUUUUUUCUCUGUCAAUAACGCGCGAUAGUUCCUUGUCACGAGCUUCUUAUCUUCUGUCUUGAAGGAAGAAAUUGCAAAGGACGAAUAAAACGAUUUCCUUUACACAUUCAAUCAAUGCUGCUGCCUUUAUAUCUUUAUUAUUCUCGGAGGGAUGAUACUGUUGAGAGCCGAAACCAUUACCCAUACUCACUCCUCUAAUAGCCAUGUCUAACUCUCUACAAUAAUUUUGAUAUUGCUGUUCUUCAGUUCUUCCACUACUCAACAAAUGCGAAGGUAUGCGAUGGCUCCACUCAUUCAAGUUGAUUUUACAUUUGUUACAAUCUACUCCCGCCAUUGCUAGAGCCUCUAUGGACAUGUUUUAACAAGGUGAAGGAGGAGCUAAAUAAAAUUCACAAUUUUCCUGAAAGUUUACAGCUUCCAGGAAAUUCACCACCUCUAUAGAAUUGUAAUAAUAAGACUUGUGGUUUCCGUAAAAGAAUUUAUAGGAGUUAAUAUAAAAGAUUUGUUUAGGAGAAUGAAUUUUAUACGGACUAGAAAUACUCAUGAUUAAUUGGUUAUUCAGAUGGUUUAGAAAUCCUCUCGAUAUUAGGAAGCCAUUUAAGAUUCUGAUUAUUGUUGUUCUAAAUAUAUUAGUUUGCAUCAACUUCCAAUUCCACAAUUACUCUGACAGCGGUUUUCACGGACUUAUUUAUGUAUCUGAAUCUUUUUAUUCAUGAAAGAAUAAUCUCUUGCAAACUCACAACUUCAAUUAUGAAUCAACUAGCUAGCAACCAUUUCUUUACUUUUAAUUGCUUUGGAAAUUAAGGAUUCGUCAGCCGCCAGAUUCCGCAGUGAUUCUGUUGCAUUCCAUUAUUUGUUGAACUAUUUAUGCACUAGUGGAGGAGGAAUUCUAGAAUACAUUUGAAAUAAUACAAUCAACCAAUGCAUGCACACCACUGGUAUGGAGAUUUUUCAAAAAUAAAUACACACAUGUCAUAACGUUAUCUAUUUGUUAUAUGACUGACAUGAUAUUUUUUAUGUAUUCUAAAAUUUUUUUGAGUGGAGACCAUGAGUGGUAACAUCCACGUGACAAAAGAGUAUUACAAAGAGAUAGUCUCUUGUCAAUUUGAAUAUUUAUUGUAUUGAAACUACUAAGUAUAUAAGCUCGGCCAACCCUAAUUUCAUGAUGAGGGGUUAAAGACAAUACUAUUCUAAAAGAAAAUGGAACGAAAUUGUCCAUCCGUAGCCAUCAUUUGACUUUUAGAUUUGCCCUUCCAAAUUUUAACAAAAUACGCAGACGAUUUUUAAUUUAUUCAUGUGAACGAAGUACAACAAAAUUAUUGAACCAAUCAGAACCAAGAUGGAAAUGAUCAUAAGCAAAAGCAAUUUGCAAGGACGAAUGGAAGUAGAUAAAUUAUUCUAAUUAAGAGACUAAGUGCAAGUGAAAUAACUGUAGCACUGAUUAUUCGAGUAUGGAGGGAACGUCGUCGAAGAAGGGUAAACUUCUCUGUUUCAGGAUUUCACAAUCCUCAGGACUUGCUGUGUUUGGAUCAAAAGGCUCACGAUCAGGGGGAGGUAAGCCAAGUUUUAUUUGACCCACUCGCCGCGAAUGCAGGACUUGCUUGGUAGUGACAGGUAGCCUAACAGAUUGAUGUUCUUCCAGAGCUGAAUGUAAAUUUUCUGGCCCCCACCUCCUAAAACUGCUGCAUCAGCUAUGGCCAUGUUUGUGCUUCUUGCACAGUGAGGGGUUAUGGGAUGAGCCGCAUCUCCAAUUAAGACCACAUUGUCCCAGUAUAUUUGUGUCAAAGGGUCACAAUCAUAUAUAAGGUUAAGGAAAGGCUCCUUUGUUUCUUUUAUCACUCUUGCAAACUCAGGAACCCAAAUCUUCUCUGCUUCUUGGUGCAUCUUCUUGAUCAUGUCACUGCUCACUUUCAUUGUAGCUGAAUCUCCCUGAAAUUACUUAAUCAAUUUAUUAAAGCUAGCUCUGCUAACACGUAUGUAUAUAAAUGAUAAAAUGAAGCAAGUUAGGCAAUCACCUUGAGUGGAGGCUCAGAUUGAGAGAUAAACCAAAUCCAAUUGAGCCUCUUGUACAUAAGCUCAUCAAGGACGGUGUAAGUUCCAGAGGCCAAGUCCAUGUGCACGCCACUCCCAAGCGUAGGAUAUGCCUUCCGGAUGCCUUGUAUGGUUUCUGAAUUCUCAUUUUCCGAAAAAUCAAAAACCCCCCUCCAAGCACAGUAACCUGUAUACCUGCAAAACAGAAAUGAAAAAUAAACCGUAAAUUUCAAGACAACAGAAAAUAUGAAAAUAUAAUAUAAUUUGUUCAGAAACCUGAGUUUAGAGUCUGGUACAAAAGUCUGGCGAACUGAUGAGCGGCUCCCGUCAGCCGCAACCAGCAAAUCUCCAGCUAUGUCGAUGACCUCAUCAGUUUUAAGAUUCUUAGCUUUGACAUUGACAGUUGAUUUGUCGUGAGAAAUGCAGAAAGUGAGGUACAAGUGACCCCAAAAAAAUAUUUCCGGAGGCAGAGUAUUGUAUAUAAGACUAUGAAGAUCAGUCCAAUGUGCCUGUAAAUAGUUGAAAUUUUCAUCUCUAGCUAGUAUCCGACAGACGUUCUUUUCCUGAUCUACUGCCCGAUUCUGCACAGAAAGAAAAAUUAAAAAAAUCAGCACAACUUGUGGGAACAUCAGUUGAAAUUAAAGCAGUUCCGUGUAGACACAUACAUUACCUGAUCAAUGGUGAGAGGUAAGGUGAUGUUGUGAAGAAGAUCAGGUUGAUGGAGCCAUGACUUAACUAUUUUCUGGGACAAUGGAUGAAGUGCGAUUCCAGCGCCGGUUGGGUUUCCGGUUGGAGGUCCACGUGUCUUCUCGAUCACCACCACAUCCCAACCUGCUAAAAUAAGCGCUUUUGCGCAUGAUAUCCCUGCUAUGCUUCCCCCAACUAUUAUUGCUUUUGGCUUCCGCCCUCUCCCUCAUGUCUCUCUCUUCCUCUCAAACACCAGUAUGUGUGACACAAAGGGACGCUCGCGCAAAGAUAUGUUUAUAUACAGGGGAAAACUUCCCAUUCUGAAUUCAUAAAUCAGGAUGAGCCGGCAAUCAUAUAAACAUUUUUUUAAAAUAAAUAUUUUAAAUUUUUUUUAUACUAUUGUUAAUUUGACUCGGAUUUUAAUAAAAUUUAACAUCUCGAACCAAGUCACUACUCUAGAAAUUUUUUUCAAUCUGAACUUAUAUAUUCCAAUUCAAGAACAAGGUUUAAUAAUGUAAUGACUGCGAAAACUAUUAGACCAUAUGGUUUAACAAUGUGAUGAUAUUAUACUAUAAAAUCAUUUAAUAACUUUUUGAAUUUUAAUAAUAUUUAGGAUUCUAAACUAGAUCAGUACUAUAUACACACACAUACACAGGCGGUGCCAGGAAUUAUUUUUAACAGGCUCUAAGUUUAAAUAGUAAUUUAAUUUAAAAAAAUAAUUAACAAAUAACAUAUAUCAAAAUAAAAAUUUAUUACAAUAUUUAAUUCAAUACACUUAUAACUGUUCUGGACUUGGUUUUAUAUGUUAAAAACAUUAAAGAAUAAUCUCAUUAUCAAGACUACAAAAUAUGUCUUUUUCUAUGUAUAUAACAAAUCUAUCAUUCAACUAUUGUUCUCCCAUUUGAUUUCACAGAUGAUUUUUUAUAAAAUUUAUAAUUGAAAAUGCCCUUUCUACUGUAUCUCUAGUAACUGGUAAAAUCAAUACUAAUGUCACCAAUAAAUAAACUAAUGAAUAUAAUUCAUCCUUCUUAGUCUCACCGCAUUGUUAUUUUAUUAUUUAUUUAAAAACUGAUAAUAAAUUAUGAUUAAAUAUGUUCACAGCAAUUACAAAGUCUUGAUACAAUGUUUCUAUCUCACAUGAUGACGUAACAUCAAUAUCGAUGAUCGCUAAUUAGGGAUUCCAUUAUCCUAUUUUCCCUCUCACAUGAUGAAUAAAUAAACAGUUUUAAAAUCUCGCGUCACCCAAUGUCUAGCAUGUAUCCAGAGGCCGCAGCCUCAAAAGUAGUUAAAUUAAAUUCAAACUCUACAAACUCAAUAACAUGAUUACGUCUUAUUCUUUCUUAAUUGAAGUUGAUUUUUCAAGGAGGCAAUUUGUCCCGUCAUAUGCAGCCAAGUUAGAACGAAAAAAUGCUUAAUUCAAAUCUCACGGUCUUGAAGAAAUCUUUCUAGUCAAAAUAAAUUCUUAAGUCAGAUUUUUCAAUCUGGCGAUAUGAAAUUUGCCUAAUAAAUCUCUACAUUCAAACAUCACGUUUAUGAAACCCUUGCAUUCAGAAUAAAUUCUUGCGGGAUAUAAAAAAUAAAAAUAAAAAUCUUGCGGGUAAGGAGGAUCAAAUUUAAGAAUAAAGUUUGAUAAAAAUGAAUAAAAGGAAUAAGGUAAAAGGUUGAAUAAUUUUGGUAAAAUUAGGUACCAAAAAUAAGAUUUAGCAUAUGUUUGUUGUGGUUUAUUUAAUAACUAAAAGUAUUUAUAAGCUCUUUUCAAAAAUUUUACUGUUGUUUAGUAGUAUUUUGGAUAGAGAGUUUUUAAGAAUUAAAUAAAUUAUUUUGCAUCUACCAAUAAAAUCAUAAAUUAAAUAAAUUAUUUUGGGUUUUUGGGAACAAAAGUUGUAGAGCAUUUUUCAAGUGUUAAAUUAUCUAACAUACCUUUUAUUUAUUUUACACUUUUAUUCCAUUCUUUUCAUAAUAUGAUUUUAAAUAAAUUGGUCAAUUAAAGUAAUUUUAUAAUUUAAUUUUUUUAAUAAAAGUUCAUAUUGACAACCAAAUAAUUAAAAUAUUUUGGUAAAUCUCCAAUUGUAACAACUUAAUUUUAUUAAAAGCUAGAGCAUAGAGUCAGUGACGACGCGGAAAUAUAAAAAGUUGAUUGAUAGAAGAAAUUAGGUUUCUAAAUAAUAAAAGUUUUGUUAGAAAAGUUUAAAUGAACAAAACUAGUGUGUUGAGCUCCUGUUAUAAUAAUCAUAAAUAUCGCGAAUUUAUCAUAAUAAAAAAAUCUAAAAUAUCAUUUUAUAAUAAAAUCUCAUAAUCUAAAUAAAGAAACCAAAAUAAACAGCACCCAAAGCCAAUAUCUAAAAAAAAAGAUAAAAUCAUAAAAUUAAUAGGAAAAAUAGAAAAGUAACCUAAUGCUGAAAAAUGAUAAGGAAAGAAGUAAAACUUUUAAAUCGACCACGGGGCAGAACUAUGCAAGCUAUUAUGUUUGGUUUGUCCCGUUGCAGGCUUCGAAACGAUAUAUUAUAUACCUAAAACGGAUCCCUGUAACCUUAGUUAUGACCUCUAGAAAAUAAUCUGCUCAUCUUACCCAACAAUCCUGCAUUAGCUAGCCCAGUUUGGGAAUGUGAUGACUGUUGAAAAUAUGAUUAAAAAAAAAGUGUUAAAAUGAUGGGCAGCUGAGCCACCAUCUUUGAAUUCAAAGACGGUGGGUGGCUGAGCCAGCCACCAUCAUUGAACAAGGAAAAUGGGUGGGUGCCGCCCAUGCAAAGAAGAAAAAGAGGAAGAAAAGGAAGCCAAAAUUUGGCUAUAAAUAGAGAGGUUCUCCCUGUCAUUUAGGUAUCCAAGUUUUGGUGAGAAAUUGAGAAAGAGAAAUAUUUUUAAGCACGUAGUUAUAUUGAAGGAGUAUUUGACUCCUCAAUAUGGGUAUUACGAGUUUGUUUUGUUAGGGAAUAUUUAUAAGAAUCAUGUAUUUAGGGCUUGGGUGAGAGAAAAUUAUUUAUGAGAAAGUGGUUGUAAAAAUUUUUCACAUAGUGAAUAUUUUUUCUCUGGUUGUCUUUUGACAACGGCCAUGGUUUUUCUCCGUAUUUGGAAUUUUCCACGUAAAUCCCAUGUUAUGUGAUUGUUGUAUUCUCCAUUUAAUUUUUCUGUUAAUUUGUUGCUUGACAAAUUGCGUGGAGUGAUCUUGGGAGGAAGCUCAAUUUCCUAACAGUGGUACCAGAGCCAACGGUUCGUACUUGGGGUAUACGGUAUUGUUCACGUAUACAGUACUGUUUACGUGAAGUAGUGAGGCCAAUCCAAAUAGUUUACGAUGAAGAGCAAAGACUGAUCUAUAAAGCAAAUAUGUCAGCAGCUGGUGUUUUUCAAACUUGGUGGAGUUUGAUGUUGUUGAAAAAUUAAUGGGAGAAUGAUUUUUUGUUAGCUUGUGGAGAAUUCAAGUCAAAUGUGUAUCCAAUCUAGUAUGCACAAGAACUUGAAGGUGUGACAAUUUGGCAUCUCAAGAAAAUUGUCAAGAAGGUGGAGCGGGCUCGGCAAAUUGCUCCAGAAUCAAUAAAGGAGAUAUUGAUAUUCUCGCAAAUGGUGAGUUUUUUUUUUUUAAUAAGAGGCUGGGUUAGGUCAUUUGACAUAUAGAUCUCCAAAUUGCUAUAAAGGAGAACAUGUUAUUAUCAAUGGAGUCCACAAGUUUGCACGAAGGCAUUGGCUUGGUAUAAAUGUAAGGUGUGUGGUGGAAAAGUUAUGUCAUGGCUGAAGAAUUCUCAGUGAAACCAAGCAUGAGAAUUGCACCAUAAAUUUCAGCAGGAUAUUUUGACAUGUACCAAGAAAAACCUUAGAACGGUUGUUCUAAGUGGUAUACUCUUUAUAAUGGAGUAUGAUAAUUCUCUAUGUUGAGAAUUAUGACUGUUGGUGAAGACAGUAUUUUGUAGCGAUAGUUGUAAUUUUUUUAAAUCAUGGUGGAGAUUGUUGAAAAUGUGAUUUAAAAAAAAAAGUGUCAAAAUGGUGGAUGGCUGAGCCAACCAUCAUCAUUGAACAAGGAAAAUGGAUGGGUGCCUCCCAUGCAAAAAAGAAAAAAAGGAAGAAAAGGAAGCCAAAAUUUGGCUAUAAAUAGAGGGGUUCUCCCCCUCAUUUAAGUAUCCAAGUUUUGGUGAGUAAUUGAAAAAGAGAAAUAUUUUUAAGCACGUAGUUAUAUUGAAGGAGCAUUUGGCUCCUCAAUAUGGGUAUUACGAGUUUGCUUUGUUAGGGAAUAUUUAUAGAAACCAUGUAUUUAGGGUUUGGGUGAGAGAAAAUUAUUUAUGAGAAAGUGAUUGUAAAAAUUUUCCACAUAGUAAAUAUUUUUUCUCUGGUUAUCUUUUGACAACGGCCGUGGUUUUUCUCUGUAUUUGGAGUUUUCCACGUAAAUCUUGUGUUAUGUGAUUGAUGUAUUCUCCAUUUAAUUUUUCUGUUAAUUUGUUGCUUGACAAAUUGCUUGAAGUGAUUUUGGGAGGAAGCUCAAUUUCCUAAAAAUGACUUGUGAAAUAAACCGCUUCUAUAAAGCGAAUGAAUAAUCUACUUAUUAAAAUAGUAGCUUGGUGUUUAGUAAAGUGUGUUGUUAUAGUUGCUUUGAGUUUGAAAAAAAAGUACAUGUGUUUGAUGAAUUUUAUUGCGAAUGUGAUGUUUCGUUAUAUAAUGACCGAAAUAAUCAUAAUUUAAUUUUUUUAUUUAUAUAUUAGGAUGCAUGAAAAAUAAGAUGUAAUUGUCUCUUUGUUAAAACACUAAGGUUAUAAUAGGAACUUAAAAAAUUUGUGGUGUCUUAUUUGAUACCUAUUUAUAAAUAGUAACUGUACAUACUUUGAAAAGUUAUUGUCAAAAAAAAGAAACUUAUGAAAUUUAUCUAACACUAUUUAUUACUAUAAGAGAGCUCUAUAUAUAUUAAUUUCUUUUAGGUAAAUUAAAUUUUGCCCCUUUGAUUUUGAGGUCUGGCUACAUCACCGAUUGAAGCUUGUGAUUUUUUUAUUUACUAGUGCAUGAAAUCUUUAAUUUUGUUAAUAUAUUAGUGGCAUCAAUGAAUUAUUCUCUCUUUCUCUCUAUAUAUAUGAGAAAGGUGAUCAGGUGUGCGACUAUAUAUCAAACUCCUAGAUUUUUUUAAUCUUAAUCUUCAAUGAAUUAUUACUAUAAGAGAACUGAUCAAGUGCGUGGCUAUAUAUCAAACUCCGAAAUUUUUGGUAUUGUACGAAGUUAUGAUCUUAAUCUUUGGCUAAGGGUAUGAUUGGGAUUGCAUUAGCUUGGUAAAUAAUCCAUCCUCAUAUAAAUUCUCCAAUAAUUAACUUUGCAAAUAAUUUGAUGAGAUGUUGGUAAAAUUGGAUUAUAAGGAAAUCAAUUAUUAAAUAAUUUACUUAACAUGUUUGUCGUAUUAAUCAAAAAAUUGUGUUGUGUGCAAAUUACCAAGAUGGACAAGUUUUCUUAUAUAGUAAUAUAUAAUGAUAAUGAUUACGAUUUAUUUAUAUUAAUAUAUCAAAUAUUAGUGGUGGUGACGCUAUUUGUUUGCCGUUUCAUGGCUGUAAUUAUUUUAGAGGUGUGCGUGAGCAACCGCCAUUUCUCUGUUAUUGACAUCAUACGUUUUGGAGUUUGAUGGCAGAGGUAUUGUCGCAUAAUGAAGGCUUUAGCUAGAUGCAGACGACGGCGCCGAAGACAUCGCCGGACGCCAGCAAUAAUCUAGUUGUUUCCUUUUUUUUUUUGUCUUAUUUAAAUGUAAACAUAAAUAUGUUAUUAGUGUAAGGGUGUAUUCGAUCGAAAUUGUAUUGUUAAAAUGAGGAAAAUUUUGGUAUUAUGCUUUACAAAAUCAAAUUCUAUAAAAACCCGAAUUUCCAAAUCUACUUUCUCAUGUUUUUAAUGAUUAGUACAAAGAUAAAUUAUUUAAAAAUUCUCUUUCUUAAUUGAAAUUAACUUUUCAAGGAGGCAAUAUGGACUUUGCGUCGUAGGUAAGUUAAAGGCCCUUAAUCCCACGAUGUUCAUGAUGAAACCUUUCUAUUCAAAAUAAAUUCUUCAGUUCGAUUUUUCAGGCUGGCGAGAUGGAAUAUUUGCUAAUACAUAAGUUUGGGAAACUCUGGAUUCAAAUCAUUCGGCUCGAUUUUUAAGAUCCAAUUAAGUGUUUUUUAUUAUAACAUAUGUGUGAUUAACAUUUAUUUUUGUAAUUUAAAGCCAACUAAACGAUGCGCUGUUAUUUCUACAAUUGCUACAAAUUUGGGAGUGUCCCAGCCUUCACCUUCCUUGAGAAGCCUUCUUAUUCUUCAAACCUUACUUAUCGUAGGAUGCUUCCAGAGCUAUUUACUCCUCAAAUUGCAAUUGAAUUGAUUAUGGUGUUCAUCAUUCUCAAUGGACACAUAAUGGGUUUUUAACGGUUUCGUCGUGUAUUGAAUUUUACAAAGCUGGGAAUUGUAAUUAAAAUUGAACUUUAGAAAGUUGCAAAAGUGUAAUUGAAAUGUACAUGUCAAUUCUAACCACUCAUCUUUCUAAAUACCAUAUGUCGUUAGAUACUUAAUACACCUUGUGUGCUGGAAUGGAAUAGAUUUUUAGCAGAUACGAUUAGUUAAAUAAAAUUUGAUUGAAUCAUAUUUAGUAUUGUCUUUUGUUUGGCAUUUUAGAUUAUGGUAAUUUUAUAUAUUGUAUGAGAAUUGCAAUGCGAAUAUUUCCGCUGCAAAAUAUUUUAAAACCAAUAAUUGGUAUAAGAGCGAUCUCAUAUUAAUAUAUAGAGUUACUGUAUGAAAUCAAACUCUUGUAUUAUGUGUAUAAAAUUGGUGGCACUAAUUUUUAUAUAUUAUUUCAUUACGUGAAUGUAUAUAAUUAUUGACCAUAUUAAAUGUUGUCUCAAUUCAUGGUUAGUUAUUUUUUUGUAUUAAUUUUAUGGAUUUGUAACAAGUGAGGUGGUCAAUUUUCACCAUGUUUCUCUCUUGAUUAUUUUAAUUCAUUGUUCUUAGAUUCUUUGUAAGCCAUCUAUGGUAUAGGAGUUCUUGUAAAUAUUAAUUUUUAUUAUAUAAUAAUGUAAAGAACCCAAAAAAACAAAGAAAAGUUGAUGGCGGCAAGGAGAAGAAGAAACGACAGCCUCUCUAGAAUUGGCAGCGAACAGCAUGAAGGGACGGAGGGUUUCUUUUGAAUUUUUUCAUUAGACACUCUAUUGUCUCACUAAUUUAUGUUUUCUGGCAAGGCUUGAAAUUUUAUUUCAUUUAAGUCCAACACUAUACGUUGGUGGCGGCUGGAAGAAAAAUAAGUGAUUUAGGGUUUUGGGUUUAUACCCCAUGGCACCCUACAAUUUCACUAUUUUACAGUUCAGCCUAAGUAUUUUGGGUUUUGGGCAGAACAAAAAAAAAAUAUUUAUAUUGGAUCCAAGCCCAUUAUUGACUAUGAAUUGGAAAAUAUAAAUUUGAUAAGCCCAAUUGUUAUUAUUUGUCCAGAUUUAUUUAUAUUGGUCCCAAGCCCAUUUAAGGGAUUUCAAAAUUGAGUUAUAUAAAUAAAAAUUUAGUAGAUCAAUAAUAAAAUUUAUUUGGCUAAAAAAAUUUUAAAGAUAAAUUUGGGUUUAUUUUAUUAAACUAAUUGGGUCUGGAUUUUUUUAAAAAAAUAGGUAUUUAAAAAAAUAAGAGCCAAUAGAAAUUGUUUUUUUGAAAGGUGCCCAAAUUUAAAUUUAAAAAUUGAACCAGAGAUAAAUUUUAAAAGCCUAAAAGCCCUCAAGGCAAUAGUUAUGUCCAAGAGCAAGUACAAGAAAGAGAAAAAAGGAAGAUUGAUGUUGAGUUAAAGCCCAAUAGAUAUUAGGCUUGUAGAUUAAGUCAAUUUUUUCCUUAGGAAAACCAUGAAUUGAGAUUGUUUAAUUGCUUUUAAUUUAUAUGCUAUGUUUGGUUGAUAACAUGCUAUGAUAACAUGUCAUAUAGAAUAGGAAGUGCCACUCUAUGCAUAAUAAUACAUCACAUCUAUAGAUUAUGAAUCUAAAAAUAUAUUGUUUGACAUUUGCAUGUGCUUAAUAAUAUUAGAUUUCAUCUAGAUAAUAUUAUUGUAGGAAGCAUGCAAUUAAAAUACAGGAUAUAAUUUGUAUAUUGGAAAAACUAACUUUAAAAUAUUGAGUAGGAGAGGGAAAAUUCAAGAUAAUUUUUCCCACAGGCUCCAUUAUUAGUUCAAUAAUAAAAUUAUAUAUAUACCUUGACUUCAUGAUACGGUGAUGCUCUCUAAGAAGGGUAUAUAUAUAUCAGACAUUUUAUUUGAUGAACUUCUUUACAGAUAAGUUCGAAAUAUUUUUCAAUCUGUUGAUCACCCAAACUGUGGCGGCAUGGUAUGGAAGAUACGUAGAUUGAAACAAUGGUUAUACACUCCACUAAAAUUUGUUAUUAACCUUCCCAAUGAAGCUCUGUUAACAAAUUUAGGCCCAAAAGGAUAACGAUAAUUAUUUAUCAUGUCUCUACAUGAAAGUAAAUAAUCCAAUGAAUAAUUGGGUCUAGUAAGUGUAGACAUGAUUUCCCCAAUGGAUAGCUUGCCAAAGCAGUACUAGAUUAUCGUUACAAUAAAAUAAAAUGCAUUUAUGAUUUUUUUUUGCAUUUUAGAUUAUUUAUUGUGAACAUUAUUUGGUUCAAAGUAUUUAUGCAUGUCUAUUUUGUUUUUUCAGAAAAUGUCUUCCAUCAACUCAUUAUUCAUUAUCCUUGUUAAAAAUGAACUCACUGGCGAAAUGUACUUAGAUUGAAAACACAAUCUAUUUAAUAUUCUCACUGCUAAGGGCUGCAAAUAUGUGUUGACUCAGUCAUUCCCUCUAGAAUCGACGUUAUACGAUUAUAGAAAUCAGAGGGAGCCUUAUGAGAAAUUGUGCAAAGUUAACAAAAUGGCUAUGCGCUAUAUAUUGGCUUCGAUUUCUUUGGAACUGCGUAACAAACAUCAGAGCAUGGAAACAACCACUAAAAUAAUUGCUAGUCUUCAUCAGAUGUUUGGGCAGAAUAUUCAUUUUGCCAGAGAAGCAGCAUUAAAACGUAUUAUGGAUACUAAGAUGGAAGAGGGCAUAAGAGUUCGUGAUCAUGUCCUCAAAAUGAUGGACUAUUUGAAUGAAGUAGAGAUUCAUGAUGUUCAAAUCGAUGCUAAAACAAAGAUUAACAUAGUGAUUGAAUCUUUGCCUGAUACAUUCAAAGAGUUUAAGAUCAGUUAUAUCUUAAACAAUAAAUAUAUGACCUUAGUUAAUUAAUGCACGAACUACAUGCUAUAGAAGAAUUUUAUCAUAGUAGGAAACUUCCUGAAAAAGGAUUCUCUUGAAGGUUUAAGUCGAAAGACAAGAAUAAUCAAGACAGAGUUGGGAUGAGAAAAUUGUCCACUAAAAGAGAUGGCAAGCCAAAAUGCAAGUGUUAUAAAUGUGGACAGAAGGGUCACUGGAAGAAAGAUUGUCAUAAGAUUAUUAAAAUCAAGUAUAUGAAAAUUUUAAUCUUUCUAAUUAGUUCAUAUUUCUAUUGAUUCAUACAAUAGUGAAUUUUGAGAUAACAAAUCUUAUUUAUAAUUCAUUUAUUUGGUUUUCAGGAUACUAAGAGAUUAAGUGAACAAAGCUUCAAACAGCAGUUGACGACAUGCUAGUUUAUAUCAGUUGAAAAGAUAGAUCAAUUUUACGAGACUUUAGUUUUGAUAUUUUUCUUUAUUAUUCUAAAUAUUAGAGGAAUUUAAUUUUGGUAGCUUGUUUUAAUAAAUAGGAGUACACUGUUAUUGUUUUAUCCUCUGUUUAUUACUUAUUUUGGUUCUUUAUAAUGACAAUUUAUAUCAUAUAAGUUCAUUGAUAUAUUCAAAGUAAGAUAUAAUGAUAAAAAGUAUAUGCAUUUAUCUAAGAAAAGAAAUGUUUCUUCUAACCAAUAUCACCUCUGAUAUUUAUGCUUAAAUCAUAUAAACUAUAAUAAGAUUUUAAAAAAAUGAUUAAUGAUAUGCUUGUUGGCCUAUUAAGAUUAAUCAUUGUCACUCUAUAAAUCUUAUUUAGAAAAGUAAUAUGACAAGGAUGCUCUUUUUGAGCCAAAAGCAUAAUAUUAUAUUGGAUGACUUAGCGCAUACAAAUGUAUACGGAUUAAUCAGUUUACAUGUUAUAAGAGGUUAUGAGUAUUUUAUGAAUUUUAUUGAUGAAUAUUCAUUUCAUUUAUGUUUGUCUAAAUGCAUUAUGAUUCAAUCGCUUAAGAAAUUCAAAGAGUAUAGGGUUGAGACAGAAAGCAAUUAGAUAAGAACAUAAAGAAACUACGAUAUGAUCGAAGUGGUGAAUUUCUCUCAGGAGAUUUCAGAGAGUAUCUAGUUGAAAAUAAGAUUAUAUCUCAGUUGACUGUCCUGGGAACACCACAACAAAAUGGGGUAGCUAAAAGGAGAAAUAGAACUCUUUUGGAUAUGAUGAGAUAUAUGCUUAGUUAUUCGUUAUUACCAAUCUCUUUUUGGGGAUUAGCAUUGGAAACUGAAGUUUACCUCUUGAACUUAGUUCCAUCUAAGACAGUGUCUAAAACCCUAAUAAAAUUGUGGUCAGGUCGCAAACUAAGUUUACGACAUGUUUGUAUUUUGAGAUCACCAGCACAUGUGCUGAAACGAAAGAUAGAUAAAAUGAAUACACGUUCUGAGGUUUAUAUGUUUGUGGGGUAUCCUAAAAGAAAAAUGGGAGGUUUAUUUUAUAGUUCUCAAGAUAGGAAAGUGAUCAUGAGCACAUAUUUCACUUUCCUCGAGGAAGACUAUAUGGAUAACUUCAAAUCUAAAAGUAAGGUAAUACUUGAAGAACUGUUAGGUGAUCAAGUUGAUGCUCAGAUUUCAACACCUGUUAUAGAACAUGAAGAACAACAAUAACUAGCUGAUCAACACAGGAUUAUCCCUGAACAACCAUCAAUUUUAGAAUCUCGUCAUAGUAGGAGGGUAACUAGGUUACCUGCUAGAUACAUGUUAUUAGGAGAAACAUAUAUGGCUAUCUCAGAUAAACAUGUACAAAAUCCCACUAGCUACAACGAAGCUCUAAUAGACAGAGAUGUUGAACUUUAAAAAAAGACCAUGGAUCAAGAAAUGAAAUCUAUGUAUUCCAAUAAAGUCUAGGAACUUGUAGAGGCACCAAAUGAGGUAAAACAUAUAGGGUGUAAGUGGAUAUACAAGAGAAAAAGAGGAGUAGACGGAAGGGUGAAAACAUUUAAAGCAAGAUUAGUAGUCAAAGGGUUUACUUAGAAAGAGGGAAUCGAUUAUGAGAAAACAUUUUCUCUGGUUGUUGUGCUCUCCAUUAUUACAGUGCUAGAUUAUAAAAUUUGGCAAAUUGAUGUCAAGGCUGCUUUUCUUAAUGGGUAUCUUGAAGAAGACAUCUACAUGUAGCAACCAGAUAGAUUCAUACAAAAAGGCCAAUAACACAUGGUAUGUAAGUUGCAGAGAUCCAUUUAUGGAUUGAAGCAAGCAUCCCGGUCAUGGAACAUCAGAUUUGAUCAAGCGAUUAAAUUGUUUGGAUUCAUUCAGAAUAUUGAUGAACCAUAUGUGUACAAGAAAAUUCAGGGAAAAUCUGUAGCCUUCCUAGUUCUUUAUGUAGAUGAUAUUCUCCUUAUUGGAAACGAUAUAGGAGUAUUGACUACAAUAAAGAGUUGGUUAACAAAAUAAUUUAAUAUGAAAAACCUGGGAGAGGCAAGUUAUAUUUUUAGUAUCAAAUUACUACGAGAUUGGAAGAAUAAAACUUUAACCUUGUAUCAUUUGGUUGUAUACUUAGUGGUUUCAAUACAAUAAAUAUUCAAAUUUGACAUAUUGAGAGGAAUACAAUAAAUAUUCCAAAUAUGUUUUUGACAAGUUAUUCCAAAUACAAUAAAUAUUCCGAAAGGAUAUGCCAAAAACAUAUUUGGAACCACAAGAAACAAAAACAUAUUGAGAUGAAGUAUCAUCUUAUAAGGGAUAUAGUGCAAAGAGGUGAUGUGGUAGCUACUCAGAUUGCGUCACAAGAAAACUUGGCAGAUCCUUUUACUAAGGCCAUACCUGGGAAACUUUUUAACUUACACUUAUAAUCCAUUGGCAUGAGUGAGAUGCCAAAUAUGGUUUGAGAGCUAGUGGGAGAUUGUUGGGAAAAUAUGCUCUUUAAAAACAUAUGUGUUUAUUUAAUUGUAAUAAAUAAUUUUUCUGAUUAAUAUAAUAAAUGAGGUAUUUUAUUCAAGUAUCUUAGUUACAUUAAUAUUUUGAGUAAAAUCCAUUUAAUCAUAUUAUAUGUAUUUACGUGAUCACCAUAUGGAUUCACAGAAUUUGUACAACACAUCUCUUGAUGAGUUUUCGACACUUGAUCAUAAAAUUCUCUGGCCAGAUUGUGUCAACAUAUUUAGUAUGUUGAACAUGAUCAUUAGAGAAAAUCAGUAAGUAUCAAGGAAUAAAAUGUAAUUAAAUUAAUUAGACAGUUGAGAUGUCGAUUUAAUUAACAAUGUGGUACAAAGGAUUAUGCAGUAAAGAAAUCAAUGUGGCAUGGGUCGAAUUAUUAUUCGAGAACACUAUCCUCGAUAACAUACAAUUAUGGAGGUCAGUUCGAAUUUUUUAGUGGAGUACAUUUGGAAUUAAGUAAUUGGGCUAGUUUAAUGACAGACCUAAUUAUUGUAGCCACUAUUGUAUGUACUCAUAUAAUCUCCGGAUUAGCUCAUUUAAUUGACUGAGCCGCUACUGGAUUAAUAAGCAAGAUACAAACUAACUAUUUUGGUUAAAAGCCUAAAUAUAUUAUUUAGUGGGAGGCUCCAUUUAAUAUGCUUGUGUGUAAGGAGUCUUGUGUUUAUUUUACAAGAUGGGCCCCUAUAAUAAGAGCAAGAAACGCCACUUUUAGUUUUAUUUUUUUAAUUUAAAUCAAAUUUGAUUUAAGAGAAUUAAAAAUAUAUAAAUAUGCAGCCUAGGGUUUCCACUAAAUAGAGAUAUAAAGGGACUUGUUUUCUCUAAAAGGGGAGAGGAGCCACAAUAUACAGAUAAGAGAAAAAGAGUUUUUCUCUCUAAUUUUGAGAGAAAUAUUUUCUCUUGCUAGUUGCUUUUAGUGGUGAUAAAGGCGCCCACACGUCAAGUGCAUAUCAAACUUGAGUCAUAACUUGGAAGAUCAUUGGUGACGGAUUGUGAUAUAAAAAGAUUGGUGGUGACAGUUCGUGAUCUAACGGGAGUGGUGGUAACGGAUCGUGAUCUGGGAGCGUAGAUUACUUCAGCAAAAAAGUAAAGGUACGAUUUCUAAAUUAUGGUAAUUUUAUAUAUUGUAUGAGAAUUGCGAUCGAAAUAUUCCGCUGCAAAAUAUUUUUAAACCAACAAUUAGCAACUUAAUACACUUGGUACGCUGGAAUGGAUUGUAAAUAUAAUAUUAUCAUAAAAUUUAUUUAAAUUUAAUUGUAUCAUUUUCAAGAGAAAGUAUCAUUUUUUUUUUAUGCAACUAAGUUAUCUAGAGACAAACCUUCUCUUGUGUUCUCACAGCUUUGGGGAAGCUUCAAAGGACACAGCUUGGAUUGUCCAUUAUGCUAAUAUACGGUAUACCUGCCUAUAAAUAGGAGGGUUGACCUCAACUGUGAGUAAAAGAACUGCGAUACUCGUGUUCCUUCCUGUAAUAACGAAAGCGUCUUAAUUAAUUCAGUGUUUCUACUUCAGCAAAAUAAAAAUAAACUCUUGAUUGAAAUACAACCAACUUUCAUAAUUUUCAAUUCUAAUUUUCUUAUAAAAAUGACGCCAUGAUUGGAUGGCAUUGUCCUUGUGUUGUGUCAUUGAUUUAUCCAUCUUUGUUUUUCCCAAAAACAAUUUCCAUGAAAGAGGAUGUUUUGCUGCUCGUUAGUAAACGCUAUUUAAGCACAAGAAAUGAUUGAGAUUUAUGCAAAGUACGUGGCAGAAUUUAUGUAAGAUGGCUGAUGAUUCAUAAGGAAAGCUAAACAUGGGAGUUGGUAACUUUUAGCAUGGUGAUCAACAUGUGUUGUAGAAAAUUUUUAGAAUUUUACUAUAAGUGGUACACAUAAAAGUCAGUAAGUCUAACUUGUACUCAAAUAUUAGCUCAUAUCUUAAUAGUCGCCUUAAGCUUAUGUUAUUAAUCAAUUAACUAAUCUCAGCCCGUCUGAAAAAUCUUUUCUAUCACCUCCGGUACUUGUAGGUCAAUUUUUUGUCUGGUCUUUGUCAAUAAUUCAAGUGAUGGGUUUUUCUUUGCCAAUAACGGGCGAUAGUUCCUUGUCAUGAGCUUCUAGGGGUGUUCGCGGAUCGGAUUUGACGGAUUGAACAUCAAUCCAUAUCCGAUCUAUAAUUUUAUGGAUUAUAAUUUUUCAAUCCAAUCCAAUCCACUGAUUGAUAAAAUUCAAUCCAAAUCCAAUCCAUACAUCUGCGGAUCGGAUGCGAAUUUGACUCAAUCCAUAUCCAAUCCAUACGUUUGCGGAUCGGAUGCGGAUUUGACUCAAUCCAUAUGCAAUCCACCAUUUUGCGCAUUAGUUUUCGAAUUAAAAUUUUUUUUGUUCUCUCCAACUAAUGAAAUAAAAAAAAAUCUAAUAUAAAAAUAAUUUUGCUACAAAUUAAAUUUAAAAUUGAAUAAAAUUUAAAUAAAUUAAUUAUUUAAAUAAAGCUAAAAUAAUACAUUUAAAGUUUCAAAAUAUAGCACAUCGAGACUAAUUAUUCAAAUAAAGCUACAAUAAUACGUUCAAAGUUUCAAAAUAUAACACACCAAGCUUAAUUGUUCAAAUAAAGUUACAAUAAUACAUUAAUAUAACACUGAAAUUAAUUGUUCAAAUAAAGCCACAAUUAAUUGAAAUGGCGAAGUUUCGGAAACCAAACACAAUUUGAUCCUUCACUUGGGUUGUUGCGCCUGUCGAAAAGUGGUGAUUACGGAGCCAUCCACGAUGGGAACCAGGAGAAGCCGUACGGGUGGCGAUCUUGAAGGUUGUGAUAGUGAAAUUGUUCUACUGGAACCAGUGAAUGUGAAGUGGCUCGAUGGACUUGGGAAAGAAGAUGGCUUGCUCUCGCUGGAAUCGCGCGGCCGAUGUCCUUUAAAUCCAUAUCGAGAGUGUAUCCAAUCAGUAUUGAGUGUUGCUAGUGUGUGUGACGGCGGGAAAGCUUAGGGUUUUUUGUUUGCAAAUUGUUGGUGACUUGGCGUUAUGUUACUUUGCUUUUGCUAGUGCGUGUCACUUUGCUUUUAUUUUGUUUUACAAUUUUUACAAGUUAUAUUUGUAUAUUUGAUUAUUUAAUUAUUUUUUAUUUUUUAUUAUUAUUGGGUAAUGGCUAAGAUAUGUUAUAGUGCUUAGUAACUAUGCAAUGUCACAUUUAUAAUUUUUUAAAUUAAAUUUAUAAUAAUUUUUUAAUUAUAUAUAUAUAUAUUUUUUAUUUUUUUUUGCGGAUUCACGGAUUUCUGCGGAUUUACAAUAGUAAAUCCAUAUCCAAUCCAUUGACUGCGGAUUUUUAAAUUUUCAAUCCAUAUCCAAUCCACCAAUCUACGGAUCGGAUUUAUACAGAUCGGAUUCAGCGGAUCGGACGGAUUGAGCGGAUCGGAUUGGAUUCUGAACACCCCUAUGAGCUUCUUAUCUUCUGUCUUGAAGGAAGAAAUUGCAAAAGACAAAUGAAACAAUUUCCUUUACACAUCAAUCAGUGCUGCAGCCUUUAUAUCUUUAUUAUUCUUGGAGGGAUGAUAAUGUUGAGAGCCGAAACAAUUACUAGUACUCACUCCUCUUAUGGCCAUGUCUAACUCUCUACAAUAAUUUCGAUAUUCCUGUUCGUCAGUUCUUCCACUACCCAACAAGUACGACGGUAUAUGCGGUGGCUUCAUUGCUAGAGCCUCUGUGGGCAUAUUUUAACAACGUGAAGGAAGAGCUAAUUAGAAUUCACACAAUUUUCCUGAAAGUCUACAGCUUCCAGGAAAUUCACCACCUCUGUAGAAUUGUAAUAAUAAGACUUGUGGUUUCCGUAAAAGAAUUUAUAAGAGUUAAUAUAAAAGAAUUCGAAAAUGAAUUUUAUAUGGACUAGAAAUACUCUUGAUUAAUUGGUUAUUCAAAUGGUUUAGAAAUCCCCUUAAUAUUAGGAAGUCAUUUAAAAUUCUGAUUGUUGUUGUUCUAAAUAUAUUACUUUGCACUAACUUCCAAUUCCACAAUUACUCUGACAGCCCCGUUUUCACGGAUUUAUUUAUGUAUCUGAAUCUUUUUAUUCAUGAAAGAAUAAUCUCUUGCAAACUCACAACUUCAAUUAUGAAUAAACUAGCUAGCAACCAUUUCUUUAUUUUUAAUUGCUUUGGAAAUUAAGGAUUCGUCCAGCCGCCAGAUUCCGCAGUGAUUCUAUUGCAUUGGAUGUCUUCAAUUUUCUUUUGCAUUAGAUUCUUUGUUGAACUAUUUAUGCACAAGUGAAGGAGGAAUUAUAGAAUAUAUCUGAGAUAAUACAAUCAACUAAUGCAUAUACAACGUGUGUAAUUGAAUUUAGUGUAACCAUCACUUACGUAGAUAUUUUUCAAAAUAAAUGCACACAUGUUAUAGUAUCAUUUGCUUGUUAUAUGACUUACAGUGUAUUCUAGAAUUUUUCCCAAGUGGAGACCAUGAGUGGUAACAUCCAUCUGACAUAAGAGUAUUACAAAGAGAUAAUCACUUGUCAAAUUUGAAUAUUUAUUGUAUUGAAACCACUAAGUAUAUAAGUUUGGACAACCCUAAAUUCAUGAUGAGAAGUUAAAGACAGUAGUACUCUAAAAGAAAAUGGAACGAAAUGAUCCAUUCAUACCUAUUAUUUGACUUUUAGAUUUGCCCUUCUAAAUUUUAACAAAAUGCACACAUGUUCUCUUGACAAAUUUUUAUUUAUUCAUGUGAACGAAGUAUAACAAAAUUAUUGACCAAUCAGAACCAAGAUGGAAAUGAUCAUCAACAAAAGUAAUCUGCAAGGACGAAUAGAAGCAGAUAGAUUAUUCCAAAAAGAAACUAAGUUCAAGUGGAAUUACUGUAGUACUGAUUAUUCGAGUGUGGCGGGAACGUCGUCGAAGAAGGGUAAACUUCUCUGUUUCAGGAUUUCACAAUCCUCAGGACUUGCUGUGUUUGGAUCAAAAAGCUCACGAUCAGGCAGAGGUAAGCCAAGUUUUAUUUGACCCACUCGCCGCGAAUGCAGGACUUGCUUGGUCGUGACAGGUAGCCUAACAGAUUGAUAUUCUUCCAGAGCUGAAUGUAAAUUUUCUUCCCCCAACUUCUCAAGGCAUUUACCUAACACUGCUGCAUCAGCUAUGGCCAUGUUUGUGCUUCUUGCACAGUGAGGGGUUAUGGGAUGAGCCGCAUCUCCAAUAAAGACCACGUUGUCGCAGCAUACUUGUGUCAAAGGGUCGCAAUCAUAAAUAAGGUUCAGGAAAGGCUCCUUUGUUUAUUUUAUGACUCUUGCAAGCUCAGGAACGCAAAUCUUCUCUACUUCUUGGUGCAUCUUCUUGAUCAUGUCACUGCUCACUUUCAUUGUAGCUGAACCUCCCUGAAAUUACUUAAUUAAUUAAUUGAAGCUAGCUCUGCUACACGUAUGCAUAUAAAUGGUAAAAUGAAGCAAGUUAGGCAAUCACCUUGAGUUCAGGCUCAGGUUGAGUGAUAUACCAAAUCCAAUUGAGCCUCUUGUACAUAAGCUCAUAAAGGACGGUGUGAGUUCCAGGGCCCAAGCCCGCGUGCACGCCAUUCCCAAGCUCAGGAUAUGCCCUUCCGGAUGCCUUGUAUGGUUUCAGAAUUCUCAUUUUCCGAAAAAUCAAAAGCACCCCUCCAAGCACAGUAACCUGUAUACCUGAAAAACAGAAAUGAAAAAUAAACCGUAAAUUUCAAGACAACCGAAAAUAUGAAAAUAUAAUAUAAUUUGUUCAGAAACCUGAGUUUAGAGUCUGGUAAAAAAGUCUGGCGAACUGAUGAGCGGCUCCCGUCAGCUGCAACCAGCAAAUCUCCAACUACGUCGAUGAUCUCAUCAGUUCUAAGAUUCUUAGCUUUGACAUUGACGGUUGAUUUGUCGUGAGAAAUGCAGAAAGUGAGGUACAAGUGACCCCAAAAAACUAUUUCGACAGGCAGAGUAUUGUAUAUAAGACCAUGAAGAUCAGUCCAAUGUGCCACUAAAUAGUUGAAAUUUUCGUCUCUAGCUAGUACCCGACAGAUGUUCUUUUCCCUAUCUACUGCCCGAUUCUGCACAAAAAGAAAAAUAAAAAAAGUCAACGCAAGAGCUCAAAUUAAAGUAGUUCUGUGUAUAUGCAUACAUUACCUGAUCAAUGGUGAAAGGUAAGGUGAUGUUGUGAAGAAGAUCAGGUUGAUGGAGCCAUGACUUAACUAUUUUCUGGGACAAUGGAUGAAGUGCGAUUCCAGCGCCGGUUGGGUUUCCGGUUGGAGGUCCACGUGUCUUCUCGAUCACCACCACAUCCCAACCUGCUAAAAUAAGCGCUUUUGCGCAUGAUAUCCCUGCUAUGCUUCCCCCAACUAUUAUAGCUUUUGGCUUCCGCAUCCUCUCCCUCAUGUCUCUCUCUCUUCCUCUCAAACACCAGUAUGUGUGACACAAAGGGACGCUCGCGCAAAGAUAUAUUUAUAUACAGGGGAAAACUUCCCAUUCUGAAUUCAUAAAUCAGGAAGAGCCGGCAAUCAUAUAAACAUUUUUUUAUAUUAUUGUCAAAAAAUUUUUAUACUAUUGUUAAUUUGACUCGGAUUUUAAUUAAAUUUAACAUCUCGAACCAAGUUACUACUCUAGAGAAAAAUUUCAAGAAUAUAUCUGUUGAUUUCAAAAAUUUCUCAUCUAUUUUCUUACCAGAACAAAUUUCUAGUCAAAAUGAGGGUGUGAAAGGAAGAUAAAUAGACGAAAUUUGGCCCACCACUUCAUUCUUCCUAAAUGAAUAACUUUUUACCCUAUUAAACGAGGAAAAAUGGAUUAGAUUCUCCCUUAAUUUGAUCUGAUUAGUGAUUACUAAAUAAAGACCACACACUUUAUUGUAGUGUGUUUCGUCAUUUAAUACAUUGAAGUUUGUAUGUUUUUAAAUUGGCCCUAGUUUUAGAUCACUUAAUUGGAAAGGGACUUCCUUAAUUAUUUUUCAAAAGCACAUCCUAUAAGACUCGAACAGAUGGAGUCCAAGUUCUAGAAUAGAUGAAUAAAUGAUGUCAAUUAAAUGGGAAUAGCCAACCAAAGAAGACAAAGAAAACAAGUUAGGAGAGAUUCUAGGGUAUACCAAAAGUACUACACUUAAUUAAUACAUAUAUGCUAUAUGUGUAUUUAUUUUAAAAAACUUAUCAUGUAAUUAAUAGUUAUAUUUAAUUGAACUAUACAUAUCAUAUAUGUAUUAGUUAUAUGUAGCACCUAUAUUAUACUCUAGAAUUUCUCACAAGAUAAUAUGUCAAUAUACCACAAAGUUUGAAUCCUGUAAAAUAUGUUUAAAAUUGACUCUUGUAGAAAUUUUUAUGUGGUAGUGAAAUGAUUAUGAUAAAUAAUAUAUUAACACAUGCCAAUAUAUAAUUAUGCUACAUCAAUUAGGGUACCAUUGGCUUCACUUUUUUAUUUUACGUCUUAACUUUUGUAUUGACAAUAUUAGUUAUAUAUAUAUAUAAUUACUAAGUUAUUUUUUGCAAUCAAUAAAUAUCUAAUAACUCAAUACGUUUAUAUUUAUGCUCAUCAAAUUUUUACUUAUUAAAUAAAAUUAAAAUAUCUCAAAAAUAAUAAAUUAUAUUUUUUAACACUAAUUAAAACAAAUAAUUUUCACAUUUAAUCUUGUUUUAGUUUAUAAUAUGGACCAUUCGUUCACCACUUGGCAUAACUUUAUAACCUAGGUCCUGUUUGGAAUCGAAGUACUAUACUUUUUAAGUUACAACUGUUGUAAAAAAAAUUGUAAUUGUAAAAAAAAAAUUAAUAGCGGUGAACUUAAUGAUUGCUUACUAAAGUUUAGGCAUUUAUUUAUUAGUUAAUUGUCUAAAAUUUACUUGUGAAUGUUAUUGACAAUACUUAUGUAUUGAUUAAAAAGUUGAAGUAAGGCAUUGAUCUUAGUGAUGAUGAUUUUCCUUCAAUAGAAAUAUUUUAUACUAGAUUGACAUAUUUGUGUAUUUAUUUUAAUGUUAAAACUUUAAUUUCUCAUUUAUACUAAUAAAAUUUAGAAAUGGGUAUUAUAUGUAGAUUUUUAAGCUCCUAUUAUAAAUUUAUAGUUUGACUUAUAUAAUUUAUUUUUUUUUUUGUGUUUUUAAAAGUAUUGUUUUAAUAUUUGUGAAGUAAAAACCCAUUGCAGGUUACACGAGGCUUUAGUAAUUGUUAAAACCUACAGAGGGUGAAUUUUUUUUUUUUAAAUAAAAAAACCAAUAGCGAGUUAAGAAUUUACAAAUUUAAUUAUCUUUUACAAGUGCAAGUUCGAUAAUGAUAAAAUCACUGCACUGAAAGAAAUUCUAUGAAGAAUAUAAUUCUUGUUCUGUAUUUUUAAUGAAAUUUUCAGAGUUAUUUAUACAAAAUAAAGACAAAGUAGCCGUUGAAAGGCUUAAUAAUAUUAAAGGAGAAUAAGUGAAUACUUCCUCAACUAUUGCACAAUAUCUUUAUAAAAUAGGAAUGAAAUAUUCCUACAUGAUAUUGACAUUCAAGUGCAAAAAUCGUGCCGGACAUAUUCCUUGACAAAUAACUUUGACGUGAACAAGUCGUGUGGAGUGAUAAACCCGUUCUUGACUUGACCGUUGAUGACAUUCCUUUUGGUAAUCUUGGUCAGCUUGCUUAACAAGUGGUACCCAUAACCCAUCCAUACAGCUAGGCUAGCUAAACAGCAUAAAUAAAUGUAUAACGAUUCUUAUAUAAAAAGCCACCACCCCAAGCCAAAAGAAAAAAAAAAUUGUGCUGAAUACAACAAUAUAAUUUCUUCAGUUUUUACUUGGAAACAAGAGAGAUGAAUAUGAAGAAGCAGAAGCCAAAAGCUAUUGUAGUUGGAGGAAGCAUUGCUGGGGAAUCAUGCGCAAAAGCACUUAUUUCAGCAGGCUGGGAUGUUGUUGUGAUUGAGAAAACUCGUGGACCCCCAACCCAAAGCCCAACCGGUGCUGGCCUUGGACUCGAUCCAUUGGCUCAGAAAAUUGUUCAGUCAUGGCUCCAUGAACCUGAACUUCUUUACAACAACACUUUACCUAUCACCAUUACUGAGGUAUAUAAUAUAAUAUAUUUAAUUUCUUUUUUCCCAGUAGAAUCCAGUAGUGCUUUGAAUUAUACUGAUCUCUUAAAGAUAUUAGUUGCACACGUGUAUAUACAAUGGUGUCUGGUUAAGAUUUGAUAAAAGUAUAUUUUGCUCUGCACAAAGUACAAUUUAGAAUGGAAUCUCAUUGGGAAAAAAAUAUCUGUAUAUGUUGAAUAGAUAAAAUUUCAAUUUGUGUUUAAUUGCAGAACCUAGCAACAGAGGGGGAAAAGAAGAUCAGCUGGGUAAUAGGAAGAGAAGAAGGCGGUAAGUAUCUGACAGCAUAUUGGGCUGAUCUUCAUGGCCUGAUAUACAAUACUCUGCCACCUGAAAUAUUUUUAUGGGGUCACCAGUACCUCUCUUUCUGUAUUUCUGAAGACAAAUUAACUAUCAAAGUUAGAGCUAAGGAUCUUGAGACUGAUGAAAUAAUCGAGAUAGUAGGAGAUUUGCUCGUCGGAGCAGAUGGUAUCCUCUCAUCAAUUGGUCACAGCAUUCUACCGAACUUCAAAUUGAGGUUUGUGCUUGCUUGUGAAUAUCAAUAAAAGUAAUUAAUUUUUGAGAAUUUUGUUUCAUAAAUUUCAAUGUGUUUUUAAUAGGUACACAGGAUACUGUGCGUGGAGAGGUGUUUUUAAUUUUUCAGAAAACGAUUCAGAAACCAUCUUAGGCAUUCGAAAAUCGUAUCCUGAUAUUGGGAAAUGCUUUUACACGAAUAUUGGUUCAGGAUCUCACAUCAUACUCACUGAGCUUAAGAAAGAGAAGUUCAAUUGGGUUUGGUAUGUCAAUCAACCUCAGCCCGAGCUCAAGGUAACUGCUUACUUUUGUUUCAUCUUUCUAUUUUGGUUUCGGGGUUUGAGUUGAGUGCUAAAAUCUAAUUUUUGCAAACGAUCAACACAGCUCAGACCAUCACUGGAUCCAUUUUUUUUUUUUAAUUUUAAUUUUCCGGUUUAUCAAUGCAGUAUGACGUGACAUUGGGAAACAAAUUAUUUUAUUCUCUGCAGGGAAAUACAACUUCUGUGAAAGUAAGCAGUGACAUGAUCGAGGAGUUGCACCAAAGAGCAGAGCAGGUUUGGUUACCUGAAUUGUCAAGAAUGAUCAAAGAAACAAAGGAUCCUUUCCUUAAUGCUAUCUAUGAUUGCGAUCCUUUGGAGAAAAUCAUCUGGGACAGAGUGGUGCUAACAGGAGAUGCAGCUCACCCGACAACUCCACACUCUGCCAGAAGCACAAACAUGGCGAUAAUAGAUGCAGCAGUGUUAGGAAAAUGCCUCGAGAAGUGGGGGCCGGAUCAUUUAUACUCUGCUCUGGAAGAAUAUCAAUCCAUUAGGAAGCCUGUAACUUCAGCACAAGUUCUACAUUCGCGACGAUUGGGUCAAAUGAAACAGGGGUUAAGUAUUCCUGGAAGGGAGCGGCCUUUUGAUCCAAAGACAGCAAGUCUAGAGGACUCGGAAUUCAUCCUUAACAAAAAUGUGCCUCUCGUCGACGUUGUUCCUCCGAUUCUUGAUUCAAUUUUUCGUUCUGCUUGAUAAUUUUCAAGGGAGAAAGUAACAUUUUCAUUUUUAUGCAACAAAGUCAUCUAGAGACAAACCUUCUCUUGUGUUCUCACAGCUUUGGGGAAACUUCAAAGGACACGGCUUGGUCUGUUCAUUAUGCUAACUAUAGCUGCCUAUAAAUAAGAGGGUUGACCUCAAUUGUGUGAGUAAAAGAACUGCUAUACUUAUGUUCCUUCCUGUAAUAACGAAAGCCUCUUACUUAAUUCAGUGUCUCUACUUCUUCAGCAAAAUAAAAAUAAAUUCUUGAUCGAAUACACCCAACUUUUCCAAUUUUCUUAUAAAAAUGACACCACGAUAGGAUGGGAUUGUCCUUGUGUUGUGUCAUUGAUCUAUCCAUAUUUGUUUUUCCCAAAAACAAUUUCCAUGAAGGAGGAUGUUUUGCUGCUUGUUAGUGCACGCUAUUUAAGCACAAGACAUGAUUGAGAUUUAUGCAAGGUAUGUGGUAGAAUUUAUGUAAGACGACCGAUGAAGCUAAACAUGAGAGUUAGUAACUUUUACUAUGGUGAUCAACGCGUUGAAGAAAAAUUUUAGAAUUUUUAUUAUAAGUGGUGCAUACAAAAGUUGGUGAGUCGAACUUGUACUCAAAUACUAGCUCAUGUAUUAGGAGUUGUCUUAGGCUUACGUUAUUAGUCUAGUAACUAAUAUUAGCGAUAUGAAAUAUUUUUUCUAUCAUCUUCCAUCACAUGUGUGUAGGUCAAUCUUUUUGUUUGGUCCUUGUCUAGUGAUAAGAUAGUGUGAGUGAUUUUGAGAAAAAAUAUGAAAAACACAAACAAUGAAAAUUCCCUUUUACUUAAACUAAGACAGAGAUUUUUUUACACUGAAGUUGGUAGAAGACACUCGAAUGCGCAGGAGUGAAAUCUUGACAAAUUAAAGCGAGAACUAAGCCAUGCUAGUCCUUUCUCGCGCAUUUAGUUGACAUUAUUUUGCUUUGCAAAUAAAUGCGGGCAUGGUUGAAGGCAUUUUAUCUUUCCGGAAGUGGAUGGAGAAAUAAAGAUAAUUAAAAGGGAUGCGAAUAAUAAAUGCCAGUUUUUCUUAAUAACGAAGAAUAUAUUAGAAAUAAAUUGAAAUGUAACAAAAUACUUGAAAUAAUUCAAGUGAUGGGUUUUUUCUCUGUCAAUAACGCGCGAUAGUUCCUUGUCAUGAGCUUCUUAUCUUCUGUCUUGAAGGAAGAAAUUGCGAAAGACGAAUAAAACGAUUUCCUUUACACAUUCAAUCAAUGCUGCUGCCUUUAUAUCUUUAUUAUUCUCGGAGGGAUGAUACUGUUGAGAGCCGAAACCAUUACCCAUACUCACUCCUCUAAUAGCCAUGUCUAACUCUCUACAAUAAUUUUGAUAUUGCUGUUCUUCAGUUCUUCCACUACUCAACAAAUGUCAUAACGUUAUCUAUUUGUUAUAUGACUGACAUGAUAUUUCAGUUCUUCCUUUACACAUUCAACCAAUGCAUGCACACCACUGGUAUGGAGAUUUUUCAAAAAUAAAUACACACAUGUCAUAACGUUAUCUAUUUGUUAUAUGACUGACAUAAUCAUAACGUUAUCUAUUUGUUAUAUGACUGACAUGAUAUUUUUUAUGUAUUCUAAAAUUUUUCAGAGUGGAGACCAUGAGUGGUAACAUCCACGUGACAAAAGAGUAUUACAAAGAGAUAGUCUCUUGUCAAUUUGAAUAUUUAUUGUAUUGAAACUACUAAGUAUAUAAGCUCGGACAACCCUAAUUUCAUGAUGAGGGGUUAAAGACAAUACUAUUCUAAAAGAAAAUGGAACGAAAUCGUCCAUCCAUAGCCAUUAUUUGACUUUUAGAUUUGCCCUUCUAAAUUUUAACAAAAUGCGCAGACAAUUUUUAAUUUAUUCAAGCGAACGAAGUACAACAAAAUUAUUAAACCAAUCAGAACCAAGAUGGAAAUGAUCAUAAGCAAAAGUAAUUUGCAAGGACGAAUGGAAGCAGAUAAAUUAUUCUAAUUAAGAGAUUAAGUGCAAGUGAAAUAACUGUAGCACUGAUUAUUCGAGUGUGGAGGGAACGUCGUCGAAGAAGGGUAAACUUCUCUGUUUCAGGAUUUCACAAUCCUCAGGACUUGCUGUGUUUGGAUCAAAAGGCUCACGAUCAGGGGUAGGUAAGCCAAGUUUUAUUUGACCCACUCGCCGCGAAUGCAGGACUUGCUUGGUAGUGACAGGUAGCCUAACAGAUUGAUGUUCUUCCAGAGCUGAAUAUAAAUUUUCUGGCCCCCACCUCUCAAGGCAUUUACCUAAAACUGCUGCAUCAGCUAUGGCCAUGUUUGUGCUUCUUGCACAGUGAGGGGUUAUGGGAUGAGCCGCAUCUCCAAUUAAGACCACAUUGUCCCAGUAUAUUUGUGUCAAAGGGUCACAAUCAUAUAUAAGGUUAAGGAAAGGCUCCUUUGUUUCUUUUAUUACUCUUGCAAACUCAGGAACCCAAAUCUUCUCUGCUUCUUGGUGCAUCUUCUUGAUCAUGUCACUGCUCACUUUCAUUGUAGCUGAAUCUCCCUGAAAUUACUUAAUUAAUUUAUUAAAGCUAGCUCUGCUAACACGUAUGUAUAUAAAUGAUAAAAUGAAGCAAGUUAGGCAAUCACCUUGAGUUGAGGCUCAGGUUGAGAGAUAAACCAAAUCCAAUUGAGCCUCUUGUACAUAAGCUCAUCAAGGACGGUGUAAGUUCCAGAGGCCAAGUCCAUGUGCACGCCAUUCCCAAGCGUAGGAUAUGCCUUCCGGAUGCCUUGUAUGGUUUCUGAAUUAUCAUUUUCCGAAAAAUCAAAAACCCCCCUCCAAGCACAGUAACCUGUAUACCUGCAAAACAGAAAUGAAAAAUAAACCGUAAAUUUCAAGACAACAGAAAAUAUGAAAACAUAAUAUAAUUUGUUCAGAAACCUGAGUUUAGAGUCUGGUAAAAAAGUCUGGCGAACUGAUGAGCGGCUCCCGUCAGCCGCAACCAGCAAAUCUCCAGCUAUGUCGAUGACCUCAUCAGUUUUAAGAUUCUUAGCUUUGACAUUGACAGUUGAUUUGUCGUGAGAAAUGCAGAAAGUGAGGUACAAGUGACCCCAAAAAAAUAUUUCCGGAGGCAGAGUAUUGUAUAUAAGACUAUGAAGAUCUGUCCAAUGUGCCUGUAAAUAGUUGAAAUUUUCAUCUCUAGCUAGUAUCCGACAGAUGUUCUUUUCCUGAUCUACUGCCCGAUUCUGCACAGAAAGAAAAAUUAAAAAAAUCAGCACAACUUGUGGGAACAUCAGUUGAAAUUAAAGCAGUUCUGUGUAGACACAUACAUUACCUGAUCAAUGGUGAGAGGUAAGGUGAUGUUGUGAAGAAGAUCAGGUUGAUGGAGCCAUGACUUAACUAUUUUCUGGGACAAUGGAUGAAGUGCGAUUCCAGCGCCGGUUGGGUUUCCGGUUGGAGGUCCACGUGUCUUCUCUAUCACCACCACAUCCCAACCUGCUAAAAUAAGCGCUUUUGCGCAUGAUAUCCCUGCUAUGCUUCCCCCAACUAUUAUAGCUUUUGGCUUCCGCAUCCUCUCACUCAUGUCUCUCUCUUCCUCUCAAACACCAGUAUGUGUGACACAAAGGGACGCUUGCGCAAAGAUAUAUUUAUAUACAGGGGAAAACUUCCCAUUCUGAAUUCAUAAAUCAGGAUGAGCCGGCAAUCAUAUGAACAUUUUUUUAAAAUAAAUUUUUUUAAAAAUUUUUAUACUAUUGUUAAUUUGACUCGGAUUUUAAUAAAAUUUAACAUCUCGAACCAAGUCACUACUCUAGAAAUUUUUUUCAAUUUGAACUUAUAUAUUCGAAUUCAAGAACAAGGUUUAAUAAUGUAAUGACCGUGAAAACUAUUACACCAUAUGGUUUAACAAUGUAAUGAUAUUAUACUAUAAAAUCAUUUAAUAGCUUUUUGAAUUUUAAUAAUAUUUAGGAUUCUAAACUAGAUCAGUACUAUAUACACACACAUACACAGGCGAUGCCAGGAAUUAUUUUUAACAGGCUCUAAGUUUAAAUAGUAAUUUAUUUUAAAAAAAUAAUUAACAAAUAACAUAUAUAAAAAGAAAAUUUAUUAAAAUAUUUAAUUCAAUACACUUAUAAUUGUUCUUGCCUUGGUUUUAUAUGUUAAAAACAUUAAAGAAUAAUCUCAUUAUCAAGACUACAAAAUAUGUCUUCUUCUAUGUAUAUAACAAAUCUAUCAUUCAACUAUUGUUCUCCCAUUUGAUUUCACAGAUGAUUUUUUAUAAAAUUUAUAGUUGAAAAUAUCCUUUCUACUGUAUCUCUAGUAACUGGUAAAAUUAAUGCUAAUGUCACCAAUAAAUAAACUAAUGAAUAUAAUUUACUUUUCUUAGUCUCACCGCAUUGUUAUUUUAUUAUUUAUUUGAAAUCUGAUAAUAAAUUAUGAUUAAAUAUGUUCGCAGCAAUUACAAAGUCUUGAUACAAUGUUUCUAUCUCACAUGAUGACGUAACAUCAAUAUCGAUGAUCGCUAAUUAGGGAUUCCAUUAUCCUAUUUUCCCUCUCACAUGAUGAAUAAAUAAACAGUUUUAAAAUCUCGCGUCACCCAAUGUCUAGAAUGUACCCGGAGGCCGCAGCCUCAAAAGUAGUUAAAUUAAAUUCAAACUCUACAAACUCAAUAACAUGAUUACGUCUUAUUCUUUCUUAAUUGAAGUUGAUUUUUCAAGGAGGCAAUUUGUCCCGUCAUAUGCAGCCAAGUUAGAACGAAAAAAAAUGCUUAAUUCAAAUCUCAAGGUCUUGAAGAAAUCUUUCUAGUCAAAAUAAAUUCUCAUGUCAGAUUUUUCAAUCUGGCGAUAUGAAAUUUGCCUAAUAAAUCUCUAUAUUCAGACAUCACGUUUAUGAAACCCUUGCAUUCAGAAUAAAUUCUUCCGGUAUAUCAAAAAAAAAAAAAAAUUCUUGCGGGUAAGGAGGAUCAAAUGCAAGAAUAAAGUUUGAUAAAAAUGAAUAAAAGGAAUAAGGUAAAAGGAUGAAUAAUUUUGGUAAAAUUAAGUACCAAAAAUAAGAUUUAGCAUAUGUUUGUUGUGGUUUAUUUAAUAACUAAAAGUUUUUACAAGUUUUUUUCAAAAUUUUUACUGUUGUUUGGUAGUAUUUUGGAUAGAGAGCUUUUGAGAAUUAAAUAAGUUAUUUUGCAUCUACCAAUAAAAGUGCAAAUUAAAUAAGUUAUUUUGGGAACAAAAGUUGUAGAGCAUUUUUCAAGUGUUAAAUUAUCUAACAUACCUUUUAUUUAUUUUACAUUUUUAUUCCAUUCUUUUCAUAAUAUGAUUUUAAAUAAAUUGGUCAAUUAAAGUAAUUUUAUAAUUUAAAUUUUUUAAUAAAAGUUCAUAUUGACAACCAAAUAAUCAAAAUAUUUUGGUAAAUCUCCACUUGUAACAACUUAAUUUUAUUAAAAGCUCUAUCUGAAUUAACUUAAUUGAAAAGUUGUACCAUAUAGAGCAUAGAGUCAGUGACGAUGCGGAAAUAUAAUAAGUUGAUUGAUAGAAGAAAUUAGGUUUCUAAAUAAUAAAAGUUUUGUUAGAAAAGUUUAAAUGAACAAAACUAGUGUUUUGAGCUCCUAUUAUAAUAAUCCUAAAUAUCACAAAUUUAUCAUAAUAAAAAAAUCUAAAAUAUUAUUUUAUAAUAAAAUCUCAUAAUCUAAAUAAAGAAACCAAAAUAAGCAGCACCCAAAGCCAAUAUCUAAAAAAAAAGAUAAAAUCAUAAAAUCAAUAGAAAAAAAGAAAAAUAACCUAAUGCUGAAAAAUGAUCAGGAAAUAAGUAAAACUUUUAGAUCGACCACGAGGCAGAACUAUGCAAGCUAUUAUGUUUGGUUUGUCUCGUUGCAGGCUUCGAAACGGUAUAUUAUAUACCUAAAAUGGAUCCCUGUAAUCUUAGUUAUGACCUCUAGAAAAUAAUCUGCUCAUCUUACGCAACGAUCCUACAUUAGCUAGCCCAGCUUGGGAUUGUGAUGACUAUUGAAAAUGUGAUUAAAAAGUUAAAAUGAUGGGUGGCUGAGCCACCGUCUUUGAAUUCAAAGACGGUGGAUGGCUGAGCCAACCACCAUUAUUGAACAAGGAAAAUGGGUGGGUGCUACCCAUGCAAAUAAGAAAAGGACCGUGGUUUUUCUCCGUAUUUGGAGUUUUCCACGUAAAUCUUGUGUUGUGUGAUUGGUGUAUUCUCCAUUUAAUUUUUCUGUUAAUUUGUUGCUUGACAAAUUGCUUGAAGUGAUCUUGAGAGAAAACUCAAUUUCCUAACAAUGGUAUUAGAGCCAACGGUUCGUACUUUGGGUUAUACGGUAUUGUUCACGUAUACAGUACUGUUUACGUGAAGCAGUGAGGCCAAUCCAAAUAGUUUGUGGUGAAGAUCAAAGACUGAUCUAUAAAGCAAAUAUGUCAGCAGCUGGUGUUUUUCAAACUUGGUGGAGUUUGAUUUUUUAUUGGCUUGUGGAAAAUUCAAGUCAAAUGUGUAUCCAAUCUAGUAUGCACAAGAAUUUGAAGGUGUGGCAAUUUGGCACCUCAAGGAAAUUGUUAAGAAGGUGGAGUGGGCUCGGCAAAUUGCUCCAGAAUUGAUAAAGGAGAUAUUGAUAUUCUUGCAAAUGGUGAGUUUCUUUUUAUAAGAGACUGGGUUAGAUCUUUUGGCAUGUAGAUCUCCAAGUUGCCAUAAAGGAGAACAUGUUAUUAUCAGCGGAGUCCACAAGUUUGCACGAAGGCAUUGGCUUGGUAUAAAUGCAAGGUGUGUGUGAUGGAAAAGUUAUAUCAUGGCUGAAGAAUUCUCAGUGAAACCAAGCAUGAGAAUUGCACUAUAAAUUUCAGUAGGAUAUUUUGACAUGUACCAAGAAAAACCUUAGAACGGUUGAUUCUAAGUGGUAUACUCUUUAUGGUGGAGUAUGAUAAUUCUCUAUGUUGAGAAUUAUGACUGUUGGUGAAGACGGUGUUUUGUAGCGAUAGCUACAAAUUUUUUUUUUUAAUCAUGGUGGAGAUUAUUGAAAAUGUGAUUUAAAAAAAAUGUGUCAAAAUGAUGGGUGGCUGAGCCAACCACCAUCAUUGAACAAGGAAAAUGGGUGGGUGCCGCCCAUGCAAAGAAGAAAAAAAGGAAGAAAAGGAAGCCAAAAUUUGGUUAUAAAUAGAAGGGUUCUCCCCCUCAUUUAGGUAUCCAAGUUUUGGUGAGAAAUUGAGAAAGAAACAUAUUUUUAAGCACGUAGUUAUAUUGAAGGAGGAUUUGGUUCCUCAAUAUGGGUAUUACGAGUUUAAUUUGUUAGGGAUAUUUAUAGGAAAUUAGGAAUCAUGUUUUUGGGACUUAGGUGAGAGAAAAGUAUUUAUGAGAAAGUGGUUGUAAAAAUUUUCCACAUAGUGAAUAUUUUUUCUCUAGUUGUCUUUUGACAACAACCGUGGUUUUUCUCCGUAUUUAGAGUUUUCCACGUAAAUCUUGUGUUGUGUGAUUGGUGUAUUCUCCAUUUAAUUUUUAUGUUAAUUUGUUGCUUGACAAAUUGCUUGAAGUGAUCUUGGGAGGAAGCUCAAUUUCCUAAUAAUGACUUGUGAAAUAAACCGCUUCUAUAAUGCGAAUGAAUAAUCUACUUAUUAAAAUAGUAGCUUCGUAUUUGGUAAAGUGUGUUGUUAUGGUUGCUUUGAGUUUGAAAAAAAUAGUACAUGUGUUUGAUAGAUUUUAGUGCGAAUGUGAUGUUUUGUUAUAUAUUGACCGAAAUAAUUAUAAUUUAAAUUUUUUAUUUAUAUAUUAGGAUGCAUGAAAAAUAAGAUUUAAUUGUCUCUUUGUUAAAACAUUAAGGUUAUAAUAGGAACUUAAAAAAGGUGUGGUGUCUUAUUUGAUACCUAUUUAUAAAUAGCAACUGUACAUACUUUGAAAAGUUAUUGUCAAAAAAAAAAAACUUAUGAAAUAGUGGUUUUUAAAAAAUUUAUCUAACACUAUUUAUUAAUAUAAGAGAGCUCUAUAUAUAUUAAAUUCUUUUAGGUAAAUUAAAUUUUGCCCCUUUGAUUUUGAGGUCUGGCUACAUCACCGAUUGAAGCUUGUGAUUUUUUUAUUUACUAGUGCAUGAAAUCUUUAAUUUUGUUAAUAUAUUAGUGGCAUCAAUGAAUUAUUCUCUCUUUCUCUCUAUAUAUAUAUGAGAAAGGUGAUCAGGUCUGCGACUAUAUAUCAAACUCCUAGAUUUUUUUAAUCUUAAUCUUCAAUGAAUUAUUACUAUAAGAGAACUGAUCAAGUGCGUGGCUAUAUAUCAAACUCCGAAAUUUUUGGUGUUGUACGCAGUUAUGAUUAGAGAUGGCAAAAGUCCGGGUCGGGUCCGGGUUUGGGGCUGCCCGGGACCGACCCGGAUGUCAAACGUAGCUACCCGGACCCGCACCGUGCCCGGAAUUUUUCUAUGCGGGCCGGGCACAUGCCCGGCACUAUCCGGGCACGGAUUUUUUUCUGGGUUUUCUCUACCCGGAUUUGAGUGAUGAUGACAGAAUCAGAAAAAUUGUUUCAACUGACCCCAAUGCCCCUUUCAAUCAAUCCCAGGUCCCUUCACUCUCUAACCUCCCCUUUUUAUUGUUAUCAUCACACUAGCUACCUCCCUGUUACCUAUGUAAAAGUAGAUUCCGUUAACUAAUUUAUAUUUGUUAUAUGUUUUUUAUUUGUUAUAUUUUUUUUUUUCAAUUAUGGUAUAUAGAUAUCAGACCUGCGAAGCAGCAUGCAAAAGAACUGGCCAACACUGGCUUGCCCAAGCGGGAAUGGCAUAACAUUUUAGAAUGCUUACAUCACUCACCUCCACAUAACAAAUGUCGAACAUUAUUCAUUAAAAAAAUAAAUUCAACGAAUACCACCUGAAGAGCGCGAUCAAGAGCAUCGGAGCCAACGGGAUGAGGGCCCAGUUCAGUCAACGCUUUGACGUGCUUGAUAGCCUCAAACUCGGAGAAUCCUCUUUUGCCGGCCUGGUCAGCGGUGAGAGGAGGAGGCAUAUGCUCGUACUGAUAGUAGUAAACGCCGUAAGUGGCGUAGACGAAGGCCCCAAACGCAACCGUCCAUGCGAGCCCCGAUCGCUUGGCGCUUCUCACGUCAACUGUCAAUACUGCAUCGCCAUCGGUGAAGGAUGGAUGGUGGCUGUUGGUGGAGAGACGGAGGGAGGAGGUGCCGAUUCUGAGACUUGUUGCGAAUUCGCGAUUUAGGGUUGGUCGGUUGGGUUUGGGGGAAAUUGGGCAAAGGAAAAUGUAAUUUUUGUUUUUAUAUUUUCCUUUCUUUUUUUACUUAAUAAAAAAGCGGGCACGGGUCCGAGUUCCGGGUUCUUGGUGUUGUGACCGGACCCGUGCCCGGAAACAGCCGGGUAUUGAAAAUCAAUGCCCGGAACCGCUUUUUUUAUGCAUCCGGUCCGGGUUUUACCCGGACCGGAUGUGCCGGGUCCGGUCCGGGUCCGGUCCGGGCGGGCUUUUCUGUCAUCUCUAGUUAUGAUCUUAAUCUUUGGCUAAGGGUAUGAUUGGGAUUGCAUUAGCUUGGUAAAUAAUCCAUCCUCAUAUAAAUUCUCCAAUAAUUAACUUUGCAAAUAAUUUGAUGAGAUGUUUGGUAAAAUUGGAUUAUAAGGAAAUCAAUUAUUAAAUAAUUUACUUAACAUGUUUGUCGUAUUAAUCAAAAUAUUGUGUUGUGUGCAAAUUACCAAGAUGGACAAGUUUUCUUAUAUAGUAAUAUAUAAUGAUAAUUAUUACGAUUUAUUUAUAUUAAUAUAUCAAAUAUUAGUGGUGGUGACGCUAUUUGUUUGCCGUUUCAUGGCUGUAAUUAUUUUAGAGGUGUGCGGGAGCAACCGCCAUUUCUCUGUUAUUGACAUCAUACGUUUUGGAGUUUGAUAGCAGAGGUAUUGUCGCAUAAUGAAGACUUUACCUAGAUGCAGACGACGGCGCCGAAGACAUCGCCGGACGCCAGCAAUAAUCUAGUUGUUUCCUUUUCUUUUUUUUGUCUUGUUUAAAUGUAAACAUAAAUAUGUUAUUAGUGUAAGGGUGUAUUCGAAAUUGUAUUGUUAAAAUGAGGAAAAUUUUGGUAUUAUGCUUUACAAAAUCAAAUUCUAUAAAAACCCGAAUUUCCAAAUCUACUUUCUCAUGUUUUUAAUGAUAAAUUAUUUAAAAAUUCUCUUUCUUAAUUGAAAUUAACUUUUCAAGGAGGCAAUAUGGACUUUGCGUCGUAGGUAAGUUAAAGGCCCUUAAUCCCACGAUGUUCAUGAUGAAACCUUUCUAUUCAAAAUAAAUUCUUCAGUUCGAUUUUUGAGGCCGGCGAGAUGGAAUAUUUGCUAAUACAUAAGUUUGGGAAACUCUGGAUUCAAAUCAUUCGGCUAAAUUUUUAAGAUCCAAUUAAGUGUUUUUUAUUAUAACAUAUGUGUGAUUAACAUUUAUUUUUGUAAUUUAAAGCCAACUAAACGAUGCGCUGUAAUUUCCACAAUUGCUACAAAUUUGGGAGUGUCCCAGCCUUCACCUUCCUUGAGAAGCCAUCUUCUUCUUCAAACCUUACUUAUCGUAGGAUACUUCCAGAGAUAUUUACUCCUCAAAUUGCAAUUGAAUUGAUUAUGGUGUUCAUCAUUCUCAAUGGACACAUAAUGGUUUUUUAACGGUUUCGUCGCGUAUUGAAUUUUACAAAGCUGGGAUUUGUAAUUAAAAUUGAACUUUAGAAAGUUGCAAAAGUGUAAUUGAAAUGUACAAGUCAAUUCUAACCACUCAUCUUUCUAAAUACCAUAUGUCGUUAGAUACUUAAUACACCUUGUGUGCUGGAAUGGAGUAGAUUUUUAGCAGAUACGAUUAGUUAAAUAAAAUUGGAUUGAAUCAUAUUUAGUAUUGUCUUUUGUUUGGCAUUUUAGAUUAUGGUAAUUUUAUAUAUUGUAUGAGAAUUGCGAUGCGAAUAUUUCCGCUGCAAAAUAUUUUAAAACCAAUAAUUGGUAUAAGAGCGAUCUCAUAUUAAUAUAUAGAGUUACUGUAUGAAAUCAAACUCUUGUAUUAUGUGUAUAAAAUUGGUGGCACUAAUUUUUAUAUAUUAUUUCAUUACGUGAAUGUAUAUAAUUAUUGAGCAUAUUAAAUGUUGUCUCAAUUCAUGGUUAGUUAUUUUUUUGUAUUAAUUUUAUGGAUUUGUAACAAGAGAGGUGCUCAAUUUUCACCAUGUUUCUCUCUUGAUUAUUUUAAUUCAUUGUUCUUAGAUUCUUUGUAAGCCAUCUAUGGCAUAGGAGUUCUUGUUUAUAUUAAUUUUUAUUAUAUAAUAAUGUAAAGAACCCAAAAAAACAAAGAAAAGUUGAUGGCGGCAAGGAGAAGAAGAAACGACAGCCUCUCUAGAAUUGGCAGCGAACAGCAUGAAGGGACGGAGGGGUUUCUUUUGAAUUUUUUCAUUAGACACCCUAUUGUCUCACUAAUUUAUGUUUUCUGACAAGACUUGAAAUUUUAUUUCAUUUAAGUCCAACACUAUACGUUGGUGGCGGCUGGAAGAAAAAUAAGUGAUUUAGGGCUUUGGGUUUAUACCCCAUGGCACCGUACAAUUUCACUAUUUUACAGUUCAGCCUAAGUAUUUUGGGUUUUGGGCAGAAAAAAUCAAAUUUAUUUAUAUUGGAUCCAAGCCCAUUAUUGACUAUGAAUUGGAAAAUAUAAAUAUAAAUUUGAUAAGCCCAAUUGUUAUUACUUGUCCAGAUUUUUUUAUAUUGGUCCCAAGCCCAUUUAAGGGAUUUCAAAAUUGAGUUAUAUAAAUAAAAAUUUAGUAGAUCAAAAAUAAAAUUUAUUUGGCUCAAAAAAUUUUAAAGAUAAAUUUGGGUUUAUUUUAUUAAACUAAUUGGGUCUGGAUUUUUUAAAAAAAACAGGUAUUUAAAAAAAAUAAGAGCCAAUAGAAAUUUUUUUUUUUGAAAGGUGCCCAAAUUUAAAUUUAAAAAUUGAACCAGGGAUAAAUUUUAAAAGCCUAAAAGCCCUCAAGGCAAUAGUUAUGUACAAGAGCAAGUACAAGGAAGAGAAAAAAGGAAGAUUGAUGUUGCGUUAAAGCCCAAUAGAUAUUAGGCUUGUAGAUUAAGUCUAUUUUUUUCCUUAGGAAAACCAUGAAUAGAGAUUGUUUAAUUGCUUUUAAUUUAUAUGCUAUGUUUGGUUGAUAACAUGCUAUGAUAACAUGUCAUAUAGAAUAUGAAGUGCCACUCUAUGCAUCAUAAUACAUGACAUCUAUAGAUUAUGAAUCUAAAAAUAUAUUGUUUGACAUUUGCAUGUGCUUAAUAAUAUUAGAUUUCAUCUAGAUAAUAUUAUUAUAGGAAGCAUGCAAUUAAAAUACAUGAUAUAAUUUGUAUAUUGGAAAAACUAACUUUAAAAUAUUGAGUAGGAGAGGGAAAAUUCAAGAUAAUUUUUCCCACGGACUCCAUUAGUAGUUCAAUAAUAAAAUUAUAUAUAUACCUCGACUUCAUGAUACGGUGAUGAUCUCUACGAAGGGUAUAUAUAUUAGACAUUUUAUUUGAUGAACUUCUUUACAAAUAAGGUCAAAAUAUUUUUCAAUCUGUUGAUCACCCAAACUGUGGCGGCAUGGUAUGGAAGAUACGUAGAUUGAAACAAUGAUUAUACACUCCACUAAAAUUUGUUAUUAACCUUCCCAAUGAAGCUCUGUUAACAAAUUUAGGCCCAAAAGGAUAACGAUAAUUAUUUAUCAUGUCUCUACAUGAAAGUAAAUAAUCCAAUGGAUAAUUGGGUCUAGUAAGUGUAGACAUGAUUUCCCCAAUGGAUAGCUUGCCAAAGUAGUACUAGAUUAUCGUUACAAUAAAAUAAAAUGCAUUUAUGAUUUUUUUUUGCAUUUUAGAUUAUUUAUUGUGAACAUUAUUUGUUUCAAAGUAUUUAUGCAUGUCUAUUUUGUUUUUUCAGAAAAUGUCUUCCAUAAACUCAUUAUUCAUUAUCCUUGUUAAAAAUGAACUCACUGACGAAAUGUACUUAGAUUGGAAACACAAUCUAUUUAAUAUUCUCACUGUUAAGGGCUGCAAAUAUGUGUUGACUCAGUCAUUCCCUCUAGAACCAACGUUAUACGAUUAUAGAAAUCAGAGGGAGCCUUAUGAGAAAUUGUGCAAAGCUAACCAAAUGGCUAUGCGCUAUAUAUUGGCUUCGAUUUAUGUGGAACUGCGUAACAAACAUCAGAGCAUGGAAACAACCACUGGAAUAAUUGCUAGUCUUCAUCAGAUGUUUGGACAGAAUAUUCAUUUUGCCAGAGAAGCAGCAUUAAAACGUAUUAUGGAUACUAAGAUGGAAGAGGGCAUAAGAGUUCGUGAUCAUGUCCUCAAAAUGAUGGACUAUUUGAAUGAAGUAGAGAUUCAUGAUGUUCAAAUCGAUGCUAAAACAAAGAUUAACAUAGUGAUUGAAUCUUUGCCUGAUACAUUCAAAGAGUUUAAGAUCAGUUAUAUCUUAAACAAUAAAGAUAUGACCUUAGUUAAUUAAUGCACGAACUACAUGCUAUAGAAGAAUUUUAUCAUAGUAGGAAACUUCCUGAAAAAGGAUUCUCUUGAAGGUCUAAGUCGAAAGACAAGAAUAAUCAAGACAGAGUUGGGAUGAGAAAAUUGUCCACUAAAAGAGAUGGCAGGCCAAAAUGCAAGUGUUAUAAAUGUGGACAGAAGGGUCACUGGAAGAAAGAUUGUCAUAAGAUUAUUAAAAUCAAGUAUAUGAAAUCUUUAAUUUUUCUAAUUAGUUCAGAUUUCUAUUGAUUCAUACAAUAGUGAAUUCUGAGAUAACAAAUCUUAUUUAUAAUUCAUUUAUUUGUUUUUCAGGAAACUAAGAGAUUAAGUGAACAAAGCUUCAAAGAGCAGUUGAGGACAUGCUAGUUUAUAUCAGUUGAAAAGAUAGAUCAAUUUUACGAGACUUUAGUUUUGAUAUUUGUCUUUAUUAUUCUAAAUAUUAGAGGAAUUUAAUUUCGGUAGCUUGUUUUAAUAAAUAUGAGUACACUGUUAUUUUUUUAUCCUCUGUUUAUUACUUAUUUUGGUUAUUUAUAAUGACAAUUUAUAUCAUAUAAGUUCAUUGAUCUAUUCAAAGUAAGAUAUAAUGAUAAAGAGUAUAUGCAUUUAUCUAAGAAAAGAAAUGUUUCUUUUAACCAAUAUCACCUCUGAUAUUUAUGCUUAAAUCAUAUAAACUAUAAUAAGAUUUUAAAAAAAUGAUUAAUGAUAGGCUUGUUGGCCUAUUAAGAUUAAUCAUUGUCACUCUAUAAAUCUUAUUUAGAAAAGUAAUAUGACAAGGAUGCUCUUUUUGAGCCAAAAGCAUAAUAUUAUAUUGGAUGACUUAGCGCAUACAAAUGUAUACGGAUUAAUCAGUUUACAUGUUAUAAGAGGUUAUGAGUAUUCUAUGAAUUUUAUUGGUGAAUAUUCAUUUCAUUUAUGUUUGUCUAAAUGCAUUAUGAUUCCAUCGCUUUAGAAAUUCAAAGAGUAUAGGGCUGAGACAGAAAGCAAUUAGAUAAGAACAUAAAGAAACUACGAUCUGAUCGAAGUGGUGAAUUUCUCUCAGGAGAUUUCAGAGAGUAUCUAGUUGAAAAUAGGAUUAUAUCUCAGUUGACUGCCCUGGGAACACCACAACAAAAUGGGGUAGCUAAAAGGAGAAAUAAAACUCUUUUGGAUAUGAUGAGAUAUAUGCUUAGUUAUUCGCCAUUACCAAUCUCUUUUUAGGGAUUAGCUUUGGAAACUGCAGUUUACCUCUUAAACUUAGUUCCAUCUAAGUCAGUGUCUAAAACCCCAAUAAAAUUAUGGUCAGGUCGCAAACCAAGUUUACGACAUGUUUGUAUUUGGAGAUCACCAGCACAUGUGCUGAAACCAAAGACAGAUAAAAUAGAUUCACGUUAUGAGGUUUAUAUGUUUGUGGGGUAUCCUAAAAGAAAGAUGGGAGGUUUAUUUUAUAGUUCUCAAGAUAGGAAAGUGAUCAUGAGCACAUAUUUCACUUCCCACGAGGAAGACUAUAUGGAUAACUUCAAAUCUAAAAGUAAGGUAAUACUUGAAGAACUGUCAGGUGAUCAAGUUGAUGCUCAGAUUUCAACACUUGUUAUAGAAGAUGAUGAACAACAAUAACUAACUGAUCAACACAUGAUUAUCCCUGAACAAUCAUCAAUUUUAGAAUCUCGUCAUAGUAGGAGGGUAACUAGGUUACCUACUAGAUACAUGUUAUUAGGAGAAACAUAUACGGCUAUCUCAGAUAAACAUGUACAAAAUCCCACUAGCUACAACAAAGCUCUAAUAAACAGAGAUGUUGAACUUUAAAAAAAGACCAUGAAUCAAGAAAUGAAAUCUAUGUAUUCCAAUAAAGUCUAGGAACUUGUAGAGGCACCAAAUGAGGUAAAACAUAUAGGGUGUAAGUGGAUAUACAAGAGAAAAAGAUGAGUAAACGGAAGGGUGAAAAUAUUUAAAGUAAGAUUAGUAGUCACAGGGUUUACUCAGAAAGAGGGAAUCGAUUAUGAGAAAACAUUUUCUCUGGUUGUUAUGCUUAAAUCUAUUAGGAUUUUGCUCUCCAUUAUUGCAGUGCUAGAUUAUAAAAUUUGGCAAAUUGAUGUCAAGGAUGCUUUUCUUAACGGGCAUCUUGAAGAAGACAUCUACAUGUAGCAACCAGAUAGAUUCAUACAAAAAGGCCAAUAACACAUGGUAUGUAAGUUGCAGAGAUCCAUUUAUGGAUUGAAGCAAGCAUCCCGGUCAUGGAACAUCAGAUUUGAUCAAGCGAUUAAAUCGUUUGGAUUCAUUCAGAAUAUUGAUGAACCAUAUGUGUACAAGAAAAUUCAGGGAAAAUUUGUAGCCUUCCUAGUUCUUUAUGUAGAUGAUAUUCUCCUUAUUGGAAACGAUAUAGGAGUAUUGACUACAAUAAAGAGUUGGUUAACAAAAUAAUUUGAUAUGAAAAACCUGGGAGAGGCAAGUUAUAUUUUUGGUAUCAAAUUACUACGAGAUUGGAAGAAUAAAACUUUAACCUUGUAUCAUUUGCUUGUAUACUUAGUGGUUUCAAUACAAUAAAUAUUCAAAUUUGACAUAUUGAGAGGAAUACAAUAAAUAUUCCAAAUAUGUUUUUGACAAGUUAUUCCAAAAACAAUAAAUAUUCCAAAAGGAUCUGCCAAAAACAUAUUUGGAACCACAAGAAACAAAAACAUAUUGAGAGGAAGUAUCAUCUUAUAAGGGAUAUAGUGCAAAGAGGUGAUGUGGAAGUUACUCAGAUUGCGUCACAAGAAAACUUGGCAGAUCCUUUUACUAAGGCCAUACCUGGGAAACUUUUUAACUUGCACUAAUAAUCCAUUGGCAUGCGUGAGAUGUCAAAUAUGGUUUGAGAGCUAGUGGGAGAUUGUUGGGAAAAUAUGCUCUUUAAAAACAUAUGUGUUUAUUUAAUUGUAAUAAAUAAUUUUUCUGAUUAAUAUAAUAAAUGAGGUAUUUUAUUCAAGUAUCUUAGUUACAUUAAUAUUUUGAGUAAAGUCCAUUUAAUCAUAUUAUAUGUGUUUACGUGAUCACCAUAUGGAUUUACAGAAGACAUAAAUACAAGUUAUCUUAUGAUUAAAUAAAUUAAGUUUGCAGUUGAUAAAUAAAGUUAGGCACUUUAUUUAGGUAUAGACUGUAAUAAAUUCAUUUAAUGAUUCAUCUUAAUCAUGUAUGAAUUUAUUGAUGUAGUAAGAGUAUAUUGAAUUGGAUCACAUAUGAGAUUUAAUUAACUUUGUAAUAACUGUCAGACUUAUUAAAUCUCAUAAGCAUUGAUUUUACUAUAAUCUUAAUCUUUAGUUAGUUAUAAUUUCAUGAUUGUAAUUAUCAUUCCAUUUGAGUUACCAAUUGACAUGACACACACUUGUAGUCAAGAUUACUCAGUAUCUUGAUAGGAGCAAUUAUAAAUAUUGAAGUUAUAGAUUAACAAUAUAGAAUUUGUACAACACAUCUCUUGAUGAGUUUUCAACACUUGAUCAUAAAAUUCUCUGGCCAGAUUAUGUCAACAUAUUUAGUAUGUUGAACAUGAUCAUUAGAGAAAAUUAGUAAGUAUCAAGGAAUAAAAUGUAAUUAAAUUAAUUAGACAGUUGAGAUAUCGAUUUAAUUAAUAAUGUGGUACAAAAGAUUAUGCAGUAAAGAAAUCAAUGUGGCAUGGGUCGAAUUAUUAUUCGAGAACACUAUCCUAGAUAACAUACAAUUAUGGAGGUCAGUUCGAAUGUUUUAGUGGAGUAGAUUUGGAAUUAAGUAAUUGGGCUAGUUUAAUGACAGACCUAAUUAUUGUAGCCACUAUUGUAUGUACUCAUAUAAUCCCCGAAUUAGCUCAUUUAAUUGACUGAGCCGCAACUGAAUUAAUAAGCAAGAUACAAACUAACUAUUUUGGUUAAAAGCCUAAAUAUAUUAUUUAGUGGGAGGCUCCAUUUAAUAUGCUUGUGUGUAAGGAGUCAUAUGUUAUUUUACAAGAUGGGCCCCUAUAACAAGAGCAAGUAACGCCACUUUUAGUUUUAUUUUUUAAAUUUAAAUCAAAUUUGAUUUAAGAGAAUUAAAAAUAUAUAUAAAUAUGGAGCCUAGGGCUUCCACUAAAUAGAGAUAUAAAGGGACUUGUUUUCACUAAAAGGGGAGAGGAGCCACAAUAUACAGAUCAGAGAAAAAGAGUUUUUCUCUCUAAUUUUGAGAGAAAUAUUUUCUCUUGCUAGUUGCUUUUAGUGGUGAUAAAGGCGUCCACACGUUAAGUGCAUAUCAAACUUGAGUCAUAACCUGGAAGAUCAUUGGUGACGGAUCGUGAUAUAAAAAGAUUGGUGGUGACAGUUCGUGAUCUAAUGGGAGUGGUGGUAACGGAUUGUGAUCUGGGAGCGUAGAUUACUUCAGCAAAAAAGUAAAGGUACGAUUUCUAAAUUAUGGUAAUUUUAUAUAUUGUAUGAGAAUUGCGAUCUAAAUAUUUCCGCUGCAAAAUAUUUUUAAACCAACAAUUAGCAACUUAAUACACUUGGUACGCUGGAAUGGAUUGUAAAUAUAAUAUUAUCAUAAAAUGUAUUUAAAUUUAAUUGUAUCAUUUUCAAGAGAAAGUAUCAUUUUUUUUUAUGCAACUAAGUUAUCUAGAGACAAACCUUCUCUUGUGUUCUCACAACUUUGGGGAAGCUUCAAAGGACACAGCUUGGAUUGUCCAUUAUGCUAAUAUACCUGCCUAUAAAUUGGAGGGUUGACCUCAACUGUGAGUAAAAGAACUGCGAUACUCGUGUUCCUUCCUGUAAUAACGAAAGCGUCUUAAUUAAUUCAGUGUUUCUACUUCAACAAAAUAAAAAUAAACUCUUGAUUGAAAUACAACCAACUUUCAUAAUUUUCAAUUCUAAUUUUCUUAUAAAAAUGACGCCAUGAUUGGAUGGCAUUGUCCUUGUGUUGUGUCAUUGAUUUAUCCAUCUUUGUUUUUCCCAAAAACAAUUUCCAUGAAAGAGGAUGUUUUGCUGCUCGUUAGUAAACGCUAUUUAAGCACAAGAAAUGAUUGAGAUUUAUGCAAAGUAUGUGGCAGAAUUUAUGUAAGAUGACUGAUGAUUCAUAAGGAAAGCUAAACAUGGGAGUUGGUAACUUUUAGCAUGGUGAUCAACAUGUGUUGUAGAAAAUUUUUAGAAUUUUACUAUAAGUGGUACACAUAAAAGUCAGUAAGUCUAACUUGUACUCAAAUAUUAGCUCAUAUCUUAAUAGUCGCCUUAAGCUUAUGUUAUUAAUCAACUAACUAAUCUCAGCCCAUCUGAAAAAUCUUUUCUAUCACCUCCAGUACUUGUAGGUCAAUUUUUUGUCUGGUCUUUGUCAAUAAUUCAAGUGAUGGGUUUUUCUUUGCCAAUAACGCGCAAUAGUUCCUUGUCAUGAGCUUCUAGGGGUGUUCGCGGAUCGGAUUUUACAGAUUGAACAUCAAUCCAUAUCCGAUCUAUAAUUUUAUGGAUUAUAAUUUUUCAAUCCAAUCCAAUCCACAGAUUGAUAAAAUUCAAUCCAAAUCCAAUCCAUACAUCUACGGAUCGGAUGCGGAUUUGACUCAAUCCAUAUCCAAUCCAUACGUUUGCGGAUCGGAUGCGGAUUUGACUCAAUCCAUAUGCAAUCCACCAUUUUGCGCAUUAGUUUUCGAAUUAAAAAUUUUUUAGUUCUCUCCAACUAAUGAAAUUAAAAAAUCUAAUAUAAAAAUAAUUUUGCUACAAAUUAAAUUUAAAAUUGAAUAAAAUUUAAAUAAAUUAAUUGUUUAAAUAAAGCUAAAAUAAUACAUUUAAAGUUUCAAAAUAUAACACAUCGAGACUAAUUAUUCAAAUAAAGCUACAAUAAUAAGUUCAAAGUUUCAAAAUAUAACACACCAAGCUUAAUUGUUCAAAUAAAGUUACAAUAAUACGUUAAUAUAACACCGAAAUUAAUUGUUCAAAUAAAGCCACAAUUAAUUGAAAUGGAGAAGUUUCGGAAACCAAACACAGUUUGAUCCUUCACCAGGGCUGUUGCGCCUGUCGAAAAGUGGUGAUUACGGAGCCAUCCACGAUGGGAACCAGGAGAAGCCGUACGGGUGGCGAUCUUGAAGGUUGUGAUAGUGAAAUUGUUCAGCUGGAACCAGUGAAUGUGAAGUGGCUCGAUGGACUUUGGAAAGAAGAUGGCUUGCUCUCGCCGGAAUCGCGCGGCUGAUGUCCUUUAAAUCCGUAUUGAGAGUGUAUCCAAUCAGUAUUGAGUGUUGCUAGUGUGUGUGACGGCGGGGAAGCUUAGGGUUUUUUGUUUGCAAAUUGUUGGUGACUUGGCGUUAUGUUACUUUGCUUUUGCUAGUGCGUGUCACUUUGCUUUUAUUUUGUUUUACAAUUUUUACAAGUUAUAUUUGUAUAUUUGAUUAUUUAAUUAUUUUUUAUUUUAUAUUAUUAUUGGGUAAUGGCUAAGAUAUGUUAUAGUGCUUAGUAACUAUGCAAUGUCACAUUUAUAAUUUUUUAAAUUAAAUUUAUAAUAAUUUUUUAAUUAUAUAUAUAUAUAAUUUUUUUUUUUUGCGGAUUCACGGAUUUCUGCGGAUUUACAGAAGUAAAUCCAUAUCCAAUCCAUCGACUGCGGAUUUUUAAAUUUUCAAUCCAUAUCCAAUCCAUGGAUCGGAUUUAUAUAGAUCGGAUUCAACGGAUCGGACGGAUUGAGCGGAUCGGAUUGGAUUCUGAACACCCCUAUGAGCUUCUUAUCUUCUGUCUUGAAGGAAGAAAUUGCAAAAGACAAAUGAAACAAUUUCCUUUACACAUUAAUCAGUGCUGCAGCCUUUAUAUCUUUAUUAUUCUCGGAGGUAUGAUAAUGUUGAGAGCCGAAACAAUUACUAGUACUCACUCCUCUUAUGGCCAUGUCUAACUCUCUACAAUAAUUUCGAUAUUCCUGUUCUUCAGUUCUUCCACUAACCAACAAGUACGACGGUAUAUGCGGUGGCUUCAUUGCUAGAGCCUCUGUGGGCAUAUUUUAACAACGUGAAGGCAGAGCUAAUUAGAAUUCACACAAUUUUCCUAAAAGUCUACAGCUUCCAGGAAAUUCACCACCUCUGUAGAAUUGUAAUAAUAAGACUUGUGGUUUCCGUAAAAGAAUUUAUAAGAGUUAAUAUAAAAGAAUUCGAAAAUGAAUUUUAUAUGGACUAGAAAUACUCUUGAUUAAUUGGUUAUUCAAAUGGUUUAGAAAUCCCCUUAAUAUUAGGAAGUCAUUUAAAAUUCUGAUUAUUGUUGUUCUAAAUAUAUUACUUUGCACUAACUUCCAAUUCCACAAUUACUCUGACAGUCCCGUUUUCACGGAUUUAUUUAUGUAUCUGAAUCUUUUUAUUCAUGAAAGAAUAAUCUCUUGCAAACUCAACUUCAAUUAUGAAUCAACUAGCUAGCAACCAUUUCUUUAUUUUUAAUUGCUUUGGAAAUUAAGGAUUCGUCCAGCCGCCAGAUUCCGCAGUGAUUCUAUUGCAUUGGAUGUCUUCAAUUUUCUUUUGCAUUAGAUUCUUUGUUGAACUAUUUAUGCACAAGUGAAGGAGGAAUUAUAGAAUACAUAUGAGAUAAUACAAUCAACUAAUGCAUAUACAACGUGUGUAAUUGAAUUUAGUGUAACCAUCACCUACGUAGAUAUUUUUCAAAAUAAAUGCACACAAGUUAUAGUAUCAUUUGCUUGUUAUAUGACUUACAGUGUAUUCUAGAAUUUUUCCCAAGUGGAGACCAUGAGUGGUAACAUCCAUCUGACAUAAGAGUAUUACAAAGAGAUAAUCACUUGUCAAAUUUGAAUAUUUAUUGUAUUGAAACCACUAAGUAUAUAAGUUUGGACAACCCUAAAUUCAUGAUGAGAAGUUAAAGACAGUAGUACUCUAAAAGAAAAUGGAACGAAAUGAUCCAUUCAUACCUAUUAUUUGACUUUUAGAUUUGCCCUUCUAAAUUUUAACAAAAUGCACACAUGUUCUCUUGACAAAUUUUUAUUUAUUCAUGUGAACGAAGUAUAACAAAAUUAUUGACCAAUCAGAACCAAGAUGGAAAUGAUCAUCAACAAAAGUAAUCUGCAAGGACGAAUAGAAGCAGAUAGAUUAUUCCAAAAAGAAACUAAGUGGAAGUGGAAUUACUGUAGUACUGAUUAUUCGAUGGCGGGAACGUCGUCGAAGAAGGGUAAACUUCUCUGUUUCAGGAUUUCACAAUCCUCAGGACUUGCUGUGUUUGGAUCAAAAAGCUCACGAUCAGGCAGAGGUAAGCCAAGUUUUAUUUGACCCACUCGCCGCGAAUUCAGGACUUGCUUGGUCGUGACAGGUAGCCUAACAGAUUGAUAUUCUUCCAGAGCUGAAUGUAAAUUUUCUUCCCCCAACUUCUCAAGGCAUUUACCUAACACUGCUGCAUCAGCUAUGGCCAUGUUUGUGCUUCUUGCACAGUGAGGGGUUAUGGGAUGAGCCGCAUCUCCAAUAAAGACCACGUUGUCGCAGUAUACUUGUGUCAAAUGGUCGCAAUCAUAAAUAAGGUUCAGGAAAGGCUCCUUUGUUUCUUUUAUGACUCUUGCAAGCUCAGGAACGCAAAUCUCCUCUACUUCUUGGUGCAUCUUCUUGAUCAUGUCACUGCUCACUUUCAUUGUAGCUGAACCUCCCUGAAAUUACUUAAUUAAUUAAUUGAAGCUAGCUCUGCUAACACGUAUGCAUAUAAAUGGUAAAAUGAAGCAAGUUAGGCAAUCACCUUGAGUUCAGGCUCAGGUUGAGUGAUAUACCAAAUCCAAUUGAGCCUCUUGUACAUAAGCUCAUAAAGGACGGUGUGAGUUCCAGGGCCCAAGCCCGCGUGCACGCCAUUCCCAAGCUCAGGAUAUGCCCUUCCGGAUGCCUUGUAUGGUUUCAGAAUUCUCAUUUUCCGAAAAAUCAAAAACACCCCUCCAAGCACAGUAACCUGUAUACCUGAAAAACAGAAAUGAAAAAUAAACCGUAAAUUUCAAGACAACCGAAAAUAUGAAAAUAUAAUAUAAUUUGGUCAGAAACCUGAGUUUAGAGUCUGGUAAAAAAGUCUGGCGAACUGAUGAGCGGCUCCCGUCAGCUGCAACCAGCGAAUCUCCAACUACGUCGAUGAUCUCAUCAGUUCUAAGAUUCUUAGCUUUGACAUUGACGGUUGAUUUGUCGUGAGAAAUGCAGAAAGUGAGGUACAAGUGACCCCAAAAAACUAUUUCGACAGGCAGAGUAUUGUAUAUAAGACCAUGAAGAUCAGUCCAAUGUGCCACUAUAAUGUGUAUAUGCAUACAUUACCUGAUCAAUGGUGAGAGGUAAGGUGAUGUUGUGAAGAAGAUCAGGUUGAUGGAGCCAUGACUUAACUAUUUUCUCGGACAAUGGAUGAAGUGCGAUUCCAGCGCCGGUUGGGUUUCCGGUUUGAGGUCCACGUGUCUUCUCGAUCACCACCACAUCCCAACCUGCUAAAAUAAGCGCUUUUGCGCAUGAUAUCCCUGCUAUGCUUCCCCCAACUAUUAUAGCUUUUGGCUUCCGCAUCCUCUCCCUCAUGUCUCUCUCUUCCUCUCAAACACCAGUAUGUGUGACACAAAGGGACGCUCGCGCAUAGAUAUAUUUAUAGACAGGGGAAAACUUCCCAUUCUGAAUUCAUAAAACAGGAAGAGCCGGCAAUCAUAUGAACAUUUUUUUAUAUUAUUGUCAAAAAAUUUUUAUUCUAUUGUUAAUUUGACUCGGAUUUUAAUAAAAUUUAACAUCUCGAACCAAGUCACUACUCUAGAGAAAAAUUUCAAGAUUAUAUCUGUUGAUUCCGGUAGGGCAGGAGUCUCAUGCAGAAGUUUCUCAUCUAUUUUCUUACCAGAACAAAUUUCUAGUCAAAAUGAGGGUGUGAAAGGAGGAUAAAUAGACGAAAUUUGGCCCACCACUUCAUUCUUCCUAAAUGAAUAGCUUUUUACCCUAUUAAACGAGGAAAAAUGGAUUAGAUUCUCCCUUAAUUUGAUCUGAUUAGUGAUUACUAAAUAAAGACCACACUUUAUUGUAGUGUGUUUCGUCAUUUAAUACAUUGAAGUUUGUAUGUGGCCCUAGUUUAGUUGGGUAUUAGAUCACUUAAUUGGAAAGGGACUUCCUUAAUUAUUUUUCAAAAGCACAUCCUAUAAGACUCCAACAGAUGGAGUCCAAGUUCUAGAAUAGAUGAAUAAAUUAUGUCAAUUAAAUGGCAAUAGCCCACCAAAGAAGACAGAGAAACAAGUUAGGAGAGAUUCCAGAGUAUACCAAAAGUAUUUCAUCUAAUUAAUAUAUAUAUAUAUAUAUAUAUAUAUAUAUAUAUAUAUAUAUGUUAUGUGUGUAUUUAUUUUAAAAAAUUAUUAUGUAAUUAAUAAUUAUAUUUAAUUGAACUAUACUUAUUAUAUAUGUAUUUGUUAUAUGUAGCACCUAUAUUAUACUCUAGAAUUUCUCACAAGAUAAUAUGUCAAUAUACCACAAACACAAAGUUUGAAUCCUGUGAAAUAUGUUUAAAAUUGACUCUUGUAGAAAUUAUUAUGUGGUGGUGAAAUGAUUAUGAUAAAUAAUAUAUUAACACGUGUCAAUAUAUAAUUAUGCUACAUCAAUGAGGGUACCAUUGGUAUCACAUUUUUGUUUUACGUCUUAACUUUUGUAUUGACAAUAUUAGUUUUGUAUUAUAUAUAUAUAUAACUACUAAGUUAUUUUUUGCAAUCAAUAAAUAUCUAAUAACUCAAUACUUCUAUAUUUAUGCUCAUAAAAUUUGUACUUUUUAAAUAAAUAUUAAAAUAUCUUAAAAAUAAUAAAUUAUAUUUUUUAACACUAAUUAAAACAAAUAAUUUUCACAUUUAAUCUUGUUUUAGUUUAUAACAUGGACCAUUCGCUCACCACUUGGCAUAACUUUGUAACCUAGGUCCUGCUUGGAAUCGAAGUAUUAUACCUUUUAAGUUACGACUGCCGUAAAAAAGUUGUAAUUAUAAAACAAAAAAUUAAUAGCUGUGAACUUAAUGAUUGCUUACUAAACUUUAGGCAUUUAUUUAUUUAAUUAAUUGUCUAAAAUUUACUUGUUAAUGUUAUUGACAAUACUUAUAUAUUGAUUAAAAAGAUGAAGUAAGGUAUUGAUCUUAUUGAUCAACAAAAAUAUUUUAUCCUAAAUUGACAUAUUUGUGUAUUUAUUCUAAUGUUAAAACUUUAAUUUCUCAUUUAUGCGGAUAAAAUUUAGAAAUCGGUAUUAUAUGUAGAUUUUUAAGCUCCUAUUAUAAAUUUAUAGUUUGACUUAUAUAAUUUACUUUAUUUUUUGUGUUUUUAAAAGUAUUGUUUUAAUAUUUGUGAAGUAAAAACCCAUUGCAGGUUACACGAGGAUUUAGUAAUUGUUAAAACCUACAGCAGGUGAAUUUUUUUUUAAAUAAAAAACCCAUAGCGAGUUAAGAAUUUACUGAUUUAAUUACUUUUUACAAGUGCAUGUUUGAUAAUGAUAAAAUCACUGCACUGAAAGAAAUUCUAUGAAGAAUAUAAUUCUUGUUUUGUAUUUUUAAUGAAAUUUACAGAAUUAUUUAUACAAAAUAAAGACAAAGUAGCCGUUGAAAGGCUUAAUAAUAUUAAAGGAGAAUAAGUGAAUACUUCCUAAACUAUUGGACAAUAUCUUUAUAACAUAUGAAUGAAAUAUUCCUACAUGAUAUUGACAUUCAUGUGCAAAAAUCGUAGUGGAGAUAUUUCUUGACAAAUAACUUUGACGGGAGCAAGUCGUGUGGACUCCACAACUGUGGAGUGAUAAACCCGUUCUUGACUUGACCGUUAAUGACUUUCCUUUUGGUAAUCUUGGUCAGCUUGCUUAACAAGUGGUACCCAUAACCCAUCCAUACAGCUAGGCUAGCUAAACAGCAUAAAUAAAUGUAUAACGAUUCUUAUAUAAAAAGCCACCACCCCAAGCCAAAAGAAAAAAAAAAUUGUGCUGAAUACAACAAUAAAAUUUCUUCAGUUUUUACUUGGAAACAAGAGAGAUGAAUAUGAAGAAGCAGAAGCCAAAAGCUAUUGUAGUUGGAGGAAGCAUUGCUGGGGAAUCAUGCGCAAAAGCACUUGUUUCAGCAGGCUGGGAUGUUGUUGUGAUUGAGAAAACUCGUGGACCCCCAACCCAAAACCCAACCGGUGCUGGCCUUGGACUCGAUCCAUUGGCUCAGAAAAUUGUUCAGUCAUGGCUCCAUGAACCUGAACUUCUUUACAACAACACUUUACCUGUCACCAUUACUGAGGUAUAUAAUAUAAUAUAUUUAAUUUCUUUUUUCCCAGUAGAAUCCAGUAGUGCUUUGAAUUAUACUGAUCUCCUAAAGAUAUUAGUUGCACACGUGUAUAUACAAUGGUGUAUGGUUAAGAUUUGAUAAAAGUAUAUUUUGCUCUGCACAAAGUACAAUUUAGAAUGGAAUCUCAUUGGGAAAAAAAUAUCUAUAUAUGUUGAAUAGAUUAAAUUUCAAUUUGUGUUUAAUUGCAGAACCUAGCAACAGAUGGGCAAAAGAAGAUCAGCUGGGUAAUAGGAAGAGAAGAAGGCGCUAAGUAUCUGACAGCAUAUUGGGCUGAUCUUCAUGGCCUUAUAUACAAUACUCUGCCACCUGAAAUAUUUUUAUGGGGUCACCAGUACCUCUCUUUCUGUAUUUCUGAAGACAAAUUAACUGUCAAAGUUAGAGCUAAGGAUCUUGAGACUGAUGAAAUAAUCGAGAUAGUAGGAGAUUUGCUCGUCGGAGCAGAUGGGAUCCUCUCAUCAAUUGGUCAGAGCAUUCUACCUGACUUCAAAUUGAGGUUUGUGCUUGCUUGUGAAUGUCAAUAAAAGUAAUUAAUUUUUGAGUAUUUUGUUUCAUAAUUUUCAAUGUGUUUUUAAUAGGUACACAGGAUACUGUGCGUGGAGAGGUGUUUUUAAUUUUUCAGAAAACGAUUCAGAAACCAUCUUAGGCAUUCGAAAAUCGUAUCCUUAUAUUGGGAAAUGCCUUUACACGAAUAUUGGUUCAGGAUCGCACAUCAUACUCACUGAGCUUAAGAAAGAGAAGUUCAAUUGGGUUUGGUAUGUCAAUCAACCUGAGCCCGAGCUCAAGGUAACUGCUUACUUUUGUUUCAUCUUUUUAUUUUGUUUUCGGGGGUUUGGGUUGAGUGCUAAAAUCUAAUUUUUGCAAACGAUCAACACAGCUCAGACCAUCACCGGAUCCUUUUUUUUUUUUAAUUUUCCGGUUUAUCAAUGCAGUAUGACGUCACAUUGGGAAACAAAUUAUUUUAUUCUCUGCAGGGAAAUACAACUUCUGUGAAAGUAAGCAGUGACAUGAUCAAGGAGUUGCACCAAAGAGCAGAGCAGGUUUGGUUACCUGAAUUGUCAAGAAUGAUCAAAGAAACAAAGGAUCCUUUCCUUAAUGCUAUAUAUGAUUGCGAUCCUUUGGAGAAAAUCAUCUGGGACAGAGUGGUGCUAACAGGAGAUGCAGCUCACCCGACAACUCCACACUCUGCCAGAAGCACAAACAUGGCGAUAAUAGAUGCAGCAGUGUUAGGAAAAUGCCUCGAGAAGUGGGGGCCGGAUCAUUUAUACUCUGCUCUGGAAGAAUAUCAAUUCAUUAGGAAGCCUGUAACUUCAGCACAAGUUCUACAUUCGCGACGAUUGGGUCAAAUGAAACAGGGGUUAAGUAUUCCUGGAAGGGAGCGGCCUUUUGAUCCAAAGACAGCAAGUCUAGAGGACUCGGAAUUCAUCCUUAACAAAAAUGUGCCUCUUUUCGACGUUGUUCCUCCGAUUCUUGAUUCAAUUUUUCGUUCUGCUUGAUAAUUUUCAAGGGAGAAAGUAACAUUUUCAUUUUUAUGCAACAAAGUCAUCUAGAGACAAACCUUCUCUUGUGUUUUCACAGCUUUGGGGAAACUUCAAAGGACACGGCUUGGUCUGUUCAUUAUGCUAACUAUAGCUGCCUAUAAAUAAGAGGGUUGACCUCAAUUGUGUGAGUAAAAGAACUGCUAUACUUAUGUUCCUUCCUGUAAUAACGAAAGCCUCUUCCUUAAUUCAGUGUCUCUACUUCUUUAGCAAAAUAAAAUAAAUUCUUGAUCGAAAUACACCCAACUUUUCCAAUUUUCUUAUAAAAAUGACACCACAAUAGGAUGGGAUUGUCCUUGUGUUGUGUCAUUGAUCUAUUGAUGCAGCGGAAGUUUAAUGUUCAAAAUAUUCCGUUGCUGCAGUUUGGUAUUAGAGCUAAAACCUGGUCCACCAAUCUAACUCCAUCUACCACCAAACCUUUCCUUUUUUCCUUUUUUGUUUUUUUCCGUUUAGUUUAAAAAAAAACCCAAACAACACCAAAAAAGCAUAGAAAAAAAAAAGAAAAAAAUUAUAUCAUGAAAUCACAACAUCGACGUGAAGAUUUCAUCUUGAGAGAUGUUUUAAUUAAGAUGUUGAGGAUUUUACGUUUGAUUUCUCAAGAUUUAGAGAAACUUCGAGAUAGAAAAUCUUUACACAUAAAGCAGACAUAUGGAUUCGAUGAAGUUGUUCAUGAUGAUGUUUGUUAUGAGGAUAAUGAGGAAAAUGGUAACUUUGUUUCUCUCGACAAUAUUAUUCCUUCCAAAGAGAAUAUUAAUUGGCCAUUCGUGUCUACAACAAAUCCUCAAUACAAAGAUAUUAAUUUGGAUCAAUUGCCAUAAUUUGAUGAGUAUCUUGAUAUUAUAGGACGAGAAGAGGUAAUUGUUCAUCCAUCUUUUGAUCUUGUGGAGGAAAGAGAGAUAGUUGUUGAUACAAUCUCCUAUUGUUCUCUUGAUUUGCCAAAAGAAGACAAAAAGAGUUGUGAUAUUUUUCAACAAUUAGUGGAUUAUGAGAAGAAAUCGUUUUUCCUCAACUAUGUUGAAGUUCGACACGAACGAUACAAGAAAACAUUAUUAAAGAAGUUGUUGAUAGAAGAAUUUAUUUUACGCCAUUGGAGUGAUUGGAUGGACGUUAUUACAAAAGUUGGAAAAUUUAAAGUUCGUCGUCUAUGUCAAAGCUCUGUUUUAAAAAUUAAUCCUUAUGCACAUGAAGAUGUUCUUGAAGACUACAACAUACAAAAUUCGAGGACGAAUUUUCUCCAACCUAGCGGGAAUGAUGCAGAGCAAGAAAUUGAAGAAAUCCUAAUUAUAUUUAAAUGUAUAAUAUUUAGGAAUAUUUUAAUUAAUUUGUAUUAUAGUUUAAUUUGGUUUCCUAUUUAGAGUCUUAUUGUUUAGGUAUUGCUUAUUUGGGUAAUAUUCCUAAUUUAGGCAUAAGUCUUAUUAAAAUAGGUUUUCUAAUCAUAUUAGGAUAAGUCUUACUUAGUAUAAAUAAGUGUCUUUUGUAGCUUUUACAAGCAGAGAAUUUUGAGUUCAAUAAUAUUUCAAUUUUCAAAUCUCUUUGUGAGUAUUUGAACAGUUAAUUCUCGGUAUUCUGAAUCAACGAGUCUUAACCCCUAAGUUCGCGAUAUUCUUUUGAAUCAAUGUGAAUUUAGUUGUUCUUUUAUUCCGGUAUUCUCUAGAAUCAACGGAAUAUUUUGAACAUUAAACUUCUGCUACAUCAUAAGUUUCUUUUGUAGCUUUUACAAGCAGAGAAUUUUGAGUUCAAUAAUAUUUCAAUUUUCAAAUCUCUUUGUGAGUAUUUGAACAGUUAAUUCUCGGUAUUCUGUGGAAUCAACGAGUCUUAAUCCCUAAAUUCGCGGUAUUCUUUUGAAUCAACAUGAAUUUAGUUGUUCUUUUGUUCCGGUAUUCUCUAGAAUCAACGGAAUAUUUUGAACAUUAAACUUCUGCUACAUCAUAAGUGUCUUUUGUAGCUUUUACAAGCAGAGAAUUUUGAGUUCAAUAAUAUUUCAAUUUUCAAAUCCUUUUGUGAGUAUUUGAACAGUUAAUUCUCGGUAUUCUGUGGGAUCAACGAGUCUUAAUCCCUAAAUUCGCGGUAUUCUUUUGAAUUAACGUGAAUUUAGUUGUUCUUUUGUUCCGGUAUUCUCUAGAAUCAACGGAAUAUUUUGAACAUUAAACUGAUGGACGUUAUUACAAAAGUUGGAAAAUUUAAAGUUCGUCGUCUAUGUCAAAGCUCUGUUUUAAAUAUUAAUCCUUAUGCACAUGAAGAUAUUCUUGAAGACUACAACAUACAAAAUUCGAGGACGAAUUUUUUCCAACCUGGCGGGAAUAAUGCAAAGUAAGAAAUUGAAGAAAUCCUAAUUAUAUUUAAAUGUAUAAUAUUUAGGAAUAUUUUAAUUAAUUUGUAUUCUAGUUUAAUUUGGUUUCCUAUUUAGAGUCUUAUUGUUUAGGCAUUGCUUAUUUGAGUAAUAUUCCUAAUUUAGGUAUAAGUCUUAUUAAAAUAGGUUUUCUAAUCAAGUUAGGAUAAGUGAUGCAGCGGAAGUUUAAUGUUCAAAAUAUUCCGUUGAUUCUAGAGAAUACCGAAAUAAAAGAACAACUAAAUUCACAUUGAUUCAAAAGAAUACCGCGAACUUAGGGGUUAAGACUCGUUGAUUCAGAAUACCGAGAAUUAACUGUUCAAAUACUCACAAAGAGAUUUGAAAAUUGAAAUAUUAUUGAACUCAAAAUUCUCUGCUUGUAAAAGCUACAAAAGACACUUAUUUAUACUAAGUAAGACUUAUCCUAAUAUGAUUAGAAAACCUAUUUUAAUAAGACUUAUGCCUAAAUUAGGAAUAUUACCCAAAUAAGUAAUACCUAAACAAUAAGACUCUAAAUAGGAAACUAAAUUAAACUAUAAUACAAAUUAAUUAAAAUAUUCCUAAAUAUUAUACAUUUAAAUAUAAUUAGGAUUUCUUCAAUUUCUUGCUCUGCAUUAUCUAUCCAUAUUUGUUUUUCCCAAAACAAUUUCCAUGAAGGAGGAUGUUUUGCUGCUUGUUAGUGCACGCUAUUUAAGCACAAGACAUGAUUGAGAUUUAUGCAAGGUAUGUGGUAGAAUUUAUGUAAGACGACCGAUGAAGCUAAACAUGAGAGUUAGUAACUUUUACUGUGGUGAUCAACGCGUUGAAGAAAAAUUUUAGAAUUUUUAUUAUAAGUGGUGCAUACAAAAGUUGGUGAGUCGAACUUGUACUCAAAUACUAGCUCAUGUAUUAGGAGUUGCCUUAGGCUUAUGUUAUUAAUCUAGUAACUAAUAUUAGCGAUAUGAAAUAUUUUUUCUAUCAUCUUCCAUCACAUGUGUGUAGGUCAAUCUUUUUGUUUGGUCCUUGUCUUGUGAUAAGAUAGUGUGAGUGAUUUUGAGAGAAAAUAUGAAAAACACAAACAAUGAAAAUUCACUUUUACUUAAACUAAGACACAGAUUUUUUUACACUGAAGUUGAUAGAAGACACUCGAAUGCGCAGGAGUGAAAUCUUGACAAAUUAAAGCGAGAACUAAGACAUGCUAGUCCUUUCUCGCGCAUUUAGUUGACAUUAUUUUGCUUUGCAAAUAAAUGCGGGCAUGGUUGAAGGCAUUUUAUCUUUUCGGAAGUGGAUGGAGAAAUAAAUAUAAUUAAAAGGGAUGCGAAUAAUAAAUGCCAUUUUUCUUAAUAACGAAGAAGAAUAUAUUAGAAAUAAAUUGAAAUGUAACAAAAUACUUGAAAUAAUUCAAGUGGUGGGUUUUUUCUUUGUCAAUAACGCCCGAUAGUUCCUUGUUUUGAAGAAAGCUCAUUGUGCUGAACUGAGAAGAGAGAAGAAGCCAUAAAUUAAAAUGCGUCAACAAUGCCACGUCAACAAUGUUGAGUCAGCUGAUUCUGUUAAGCAGCAAUGAGAGUUCACGUGUAUUGCUGUUAGUUAGUAUUAGCCAGUCUCUUACUGAUUAGUUAACUAUUUUUCAGUGUAAUACAAAUUAGUUUGUUAUAGCUUUUACUAAUAAACAUGUAAGUAUAUAAAGUUUGUAAGAACUACUCAUUUUUAACUAAUGAAUUAGAUCCAGAAUAUUCAUAAACUUUCUCUCUGUUUUCUCGAUAACCAAACAGCAUUUUCAAUUCAUUUUACAUGGUAUCAGAGCCAGAAAUAUGGCAAGCUCAAGCAAUCCAAACACAGCAAACAUGAAUCAAUCAAUACAAACUACCUUUUCAUUCAUUACGCCAAUCAAAUUGGAUAGAUCCAAUUAUAUGCUCUGGCGAAAUCAAGUAUUAGCUUCUAUAAGAGGAAACAGACUUGAAGGCUAUAUCAAUGGAGAAAAAGCAGCACCUACUCAGUUUCUUACUUCUGGAAGCUAUGCUGAAACAAUGGGAAGAGUUACACAACAAGUUGAAAAUCCAGAAUAUACGAUCUGGAGGUCACAGGAUCAGACAUUACUAAGCUGGCUAUUAAGCUCAAUUACUGAAGGUAUCCUCAGUCACGUUCAUUCUUGUAAUACUGCAUAUGAUGUGUGGAAAACAUUGGAGAAAAAAUUUGGUGCAAAAUCUGAAGCUAGAGUUCUUUAACUCAAAUAUAAGAUGAGUGUUUUGAGGAAAGAUUCGCUAAAUGUAGAAGAUUAUUGUUUGAAAAUGAAACAAAUAGAAGAUAAGUUAGCAUGUGCUGGUAGUUCAGUUUCUGACAAAGAUCUGUUACAACAAAUCCUUAAUGGUCUUGAACCAGGCUAUCUAGAUUUAGCAACUUUCAUUACUGCUAGUAAAUUAGAUUUUGAUGAUGCAUAUGCAUUGCUACUCACACAUGAAACAAGAUUGGAAUAGAGUCUAAAUGAAAAACAUAUGUUAAAUGCAAAUCUUGCUAAUGUUUCUCAUAAUAAUAGUAGCUAUGGUAUGAUGAAUGUUUAUUAUGCUCAAGCAAGAGGUAAUGCUCGAAGAGGUGGAUAUAAUGGAGGAUUUCAUGGUGGAAAUCAAUUUGGAAGGAACAAUUUUCAUACUGGAAAGGGAAUGUUUGUCAAUUCUCAUCCAAGAGGCUUUCCUUCUGGAUCUGGAAAUUUUGGUAAUAAUCUUGGUAGAGGUCAAAUGGUUGGAAACAAUAAUAAGCAGGCACAAUUCAUGAGAGGACAAUAUAGUGCUAACUCUAGUUUGUCAAAUUCUGAUGGUAAUGAUGAACAAGCUGUUGUCUGUCAAAUCUGCUUUAAAUCUGGACACACAGCAGCAGAAUGUUGGCAUAGAUUUGAAGAAAACUAUAUGCCUCAACACAUGAAAAGAGGAAGAAAUCAGAGAUCAUCUUAUAUGACAUACUUUAAUGCACCUACUGAAGAUUCAUGGCCUACUGCAGCUGCUUAUUCAGGGAUACCUCACAUGUAUAAUCCACCAUGUUCUUCAUACAUAUUUGAUUCAAUGAGCUUACCUGUGAAUGGAGCUGGAGCUGCUUAUGUUGCUAACUUUGAGGGACCAGCAGAUGAAGGAUGGUAUCUUGACAAUGGAGCUACACACCAUCUAACAAACAAUAUGGCAAAUAUGCAUGUCAGCAAUGAGUUCAGAGGUAAUGACAAGCUUAUCAUUGGUGAUGGUAAAGGUAUGUCAAUCACACAUAUUGGUAAUACCAAUCUUCCAGUUCAAAGCUCUAAAACACAAUCUGCAUAUACAUGCAUUGCACUCAAAGAUAUACUGCUUGUUCCAUCUAUUACAAAGAAUUUAAUAAGUGUUUCCAAACUCACCACUGAUAAUGACUUAUCUGUUGAAUUCCUUGGAUCUGUUUACUUUGUGAAGGAUAUACUGAAGGGGAAAAUUCUGCUACAGGGUAUUGUUGAGAAAGGUUUAUACAAAUUGCAGCUGAGUUCAUCACCACAAUCUACAUAUACCUCUUUUCUAUCCCAAAGUUCAAUAAAUAAACCUGUAUCUAUGCUAUCUCAGUGUUAUCUUAGCACUUCAGUUAAUAGUCUUUGUUCUGGAAAAUGUUUUCAGUCAAAUAAGAAUACUUGUAGCACUGAUUCAUUCAAUAAAAUGUCUUUACUUCACAAAAGAUUUGGUCAUCCUAAUACUCAAAGUCUACUUCAUUUACUUAAGCUUGUGCAUCCCAAUUUGUGCUCUACAAAUAUUGUUAAUCAAGCAACAAAGCAUUUCUGUGAAGCAUGUCAGUUGGGAAAAUUUCAUAGGCUUCAUUUUCCAAUCACUGAUAUCAAAUCCACAGCAGCACUAGAACUUGUUCAUACUGAUCUAUGGGGUCCCUCACCAGCAUGUUCUAGAGAUGGUUUUAGAUAUUACAUUAGUUUUGUUGAUGAUCACACUAGAUACACCUGGAUUUAUCCUUUGAAACUUAAAUCAGAAGCUCUAGAAGUGUUCAAACUAUUUAAACUUCAAGUUGAAAAUCAAUUUCAAACUACUAUCAAAAUUCUACAAUCUGACUGGGGGGGAGAAUACAGACCAUUUACUUCCUUCCUAAAUGAGUGUGGCAUUCUUUUUAAACAUUCUUGUCCUUACACUCACCAUCAAAAUGGACUUGGUGAAAAAAAACACAGACAGAUUGUAGAAUUAGGACUGACACUUCUAGCCCAAGCCAAACUUCCUUUUCAAUUGGUGGGAUGCUUUUCAUGCCUCAGUCUAUCACAUUAAUAGACUCUCUACUUCUGUACUUAAGAUGUCUACUCCAUAUAAAAAGCUUUAUAAACACAAGGCUGAUUAUAACAUGCUGAAAUGCUUUGGAUGUGCUUGUUAUCCAUAUAUGAGAGAUUACAAUAAGCAUAAGUUUGACUAUCACACAACCAAGUGCAUCUGUCUUGGUUAUAAUCCAUCUCAUAAAGGCUACAAGUGUUUUCACCCAUCUGGUCAUAUAUAUAUAGCUAGGCAUGUUGUCUUUGAUGAACACUCAUAUCUAUUUGCUUCAGAUCCUAGCUUUCAUUCUUCAAAUAAAUCUAAGUCUGAUACACAUUGCACAAUUACUCCUAUACAAGUUUUUCAGUUGUCAACAUUACCUGUCAUAUCAGAUUUUUCAGUCACCAGCAAUGAAUCUUUCUCUCAAGCAUACUCCAGUGGCAACAUUUUCCCUCCAACAGUAGUCUUAACACAUGCAAAUAGUUUAGACUAGCAACCCUCACACACAAAUAGAAAUAAUCCAUCUGCACCUACAAUGUUACCUUCUGUACCUGAUACAACACCAGAUCAGCCUUCAGAUGAAAAUUCACAAAACCAACAUAAUAAUAAUACCUCUCAUCUCAAUCAAACAGUGGUAACCUCAUCAUCAUUAAACCAACAUCCCAUGAUCACUAUAGGAAAAGCAGGUAUUUUUAAGCCAAAGAUAUAUGCUGCAGUAUUGUUACAUAAAGAACCAGACACUGUUCAGGAGGCUAUCAAUGAUGAGAGAUGGUUUCAAGCAAUGAAAGCUGAAUAUGAUGCACUAAUGUCAAAUGGUACCUGGACACUUGUGCCAAGAACAGAAGAUCACAGACUUGUUGGCAACAAAUGGGUGUUUCGAGUAAAAUCAAAUACUGAUGGAAGUGUUGCAAAAUAUAAGGCAAGGUUGGUUGCUAAAGGAUUCCAACAAAUAGAAGGGGUUAACUACUUUGAGACUUUCAGUCCAGUGGUGAAAGCAGCAACAGUUAGAGUGGUCCUAAGCCUAGCAGUAAUGAAUCAGUGGUAGAUAAGACAGGUUGAUGUGAAUAAUGCAUUCUUAAAUGGAGAUCUAAUUGAGGAGGUAUAUAUGAGUCAACUAGAAGGGUUUAUUGAUUCCAAAAGACCUGAUUUUGUGUGCAAACUUCACAAGGCACUUUAUGGUUUGAAACAAUUUCCACGAGCAUGGUUUGACAAGCUGAGAAAUAGUCUUAUGCAAUGGGGAUUUGAGAAUUCUAAGUCUAACUCAUCUUUGUUCUUGAAAAAGAAUAAAAGAUCAAUUAUUUUAAUCCUGAUAUAUGUAGAUGACAUAUUGAUUACAGGAUCAAGUUGUGAUGCGCUGGAAGAUUUUAUCAAGCUAUUCAGUUCUGCAUUUGCAUUAAAGGAUCUGGGAAAGCUAUCUUAUUUUCUUGGAAUAGAAGUUUUGUAUGAUCUUGAUAGUGUGUAUCUGUCACAAAGGAAGUAUAUUAGAGACUUGUUGGCUAAAGUUGAUAUGCUCGAAUGCAAAGGAAUAGAUACACCAAUGAGCAGCAGCAAAGAUUACAGAUUGCAGAAGAAUGUUGAAGGAGAAAUAGGUUACUACAUACAAUAUCCAUCUCAUUACAGAAAGCAUAGUAGGAGGUCUUCAGUAUCUAGUUUUGACAAGACCUGAGAUUGCCUACUUUGUUCAUAAGUUAAGUCCGUAUGUAUUGCUGCGUAAAUUAGCAAGUGUACUAGUCGGCACAAGUAAUAUAAUGAAGAGUAGAGUAUCGUCCCACAGAGAUUGUAUAUCCUAUUAGUUACCGAAAUUAUUCCAACCCUAAUUUAUUUGAACAAUCGAAUAAAUGAAUUUAGAUUAAAAUUAAAUAAAAUAAAACAAUUAAAAAUUAAAUAAAGAUGUAGACAGUAAUAGAAAUCACCAAGAGAUUAAAACACUAGGACAUUUGAUUUCACCAUAACCAAUCCAAUUUAAUCCUCCAUCUAUGCUAUUAAAAUUGAUUACCCAUGUUGACAGUGAAUUUCCCUAAUUUAUUCAAUAUCCUCUCUCGAGUAAUAUCAAAAAUAUCUCCACAUAUCAACCCACUAUAUCUCUAUGUGAAUUUGAAUAUGCAAAGAUUCAUUAAGCUCUAUGAAAAUUCUUAGAUAAAACUGCACGAAUCACGUUGGCACAUCUCUGUCUUUCGUUCAAUUCAUGGCAUCCAUUACACAGAGCAAAAAUACAUAAAUCUCCUCUCGGUCUCAUUAUGUAUCCUCAAAUCAUUCAAAUAUUGGCCAGAUAUUUAAAAGCAUUAAGCACAAUAAUGAACACUCAAUCAUGGAAUAAUUAAUUAAAAAUAACAUAGAUUUAUGGAAUUAAAUCUUCAUAGUUAGGCUACAUCGUAGCCCUAGUAAAAUAAAUUAGUUCAUGGAAAUAUAAAGAGAAUCCAUUAAUUUAAUUGGAAACAUUCAAGCAAGAUAAUAGAGAAGAGGAAAAGAAAAACUCAAGAAUUAAUGUGUCUUCCUCCUGCUCCAGAUUAUUCCUGCUGCUCUCGGUUUUGCUCAAAACUUGCGGCUGCCUUUUUCUAUCUCCUUUCUCUUGGCUUCUUAUUAUUCUCCUUGUGCGGCUGCCUUUCUUCCCUUUUAUAAUGUUGUGGUUUCUUCCAAAUCCUUAAAGGAAAAGGAUUGCAAAUCCAGCCCACGAAUCCUUAAAUGAAAAUAAUUAAAAACAAAAGCCCAACCGCCUAUUUCAUUCCUAAGCCAAUCAGAAUUAAAAGCAAAAGCCCCUCCACGUGUUGCAUGCCAUAUUUGUCUUUGUAAAUGAAUUCUUCAAUGCUUCCUCACGUGCAUGCAUGCUUAAUGAUUAAUUAAAUUAAAUCCUUUGUGAUUUGUUCCAAUUAAUUCUCUUUAUUUCUUUAUUGUACCUAAAAUAAGAAAAUAUAAAAAUUAAGAUAAAAUUAACAUAAUUAAAUAUAAUUUAACAUAAAAUUAAGUUAUGGAAGCAUUAAAAUAAUAGAUUAAUAUUAGCACAUCAUGUAUCUUCACCAACACUUCAACAUCUUAUGGCAUGCAAACGUGUGCUUAGAUAUUUGAAGGAAACACAAGAUUAUGGGCUGAAAUUUGUUAAGGAAGGUGAGCUAAAGGUUAUAGCAUUUACAGAUGCAGACUGGGGAAGUGAUCUUGAUGACAGAAGAUCCACUGGUGCCUAUUGUGUGUAUCUAGGAAACAACUUAAUCUCAUGGUCCUCAAAGAAGCAAUCUGUAGUUACAAAGUCUUCUGCAGAGAGUGAAUACAGAGCGCUUGCAGCUGCUGUUUCAGAGAUAACAUGGUUAAAAUCUUUAUUUCUUGAGAUUGAUCUAUGUUGUGUGGAGAAACCAGUUAUAUGGUGUGACAAUGUGAGUGCUAAAGAACUUGCUUAUAAUCUAGUGUUUCACUCAAGAACAAAACACAUAGAAAUCGAUCUGCAUUUUAUCAGAGAUAAGGUUCUAGCUGGAGAUCUUAAGAUUCUCUAUAUUCCUAGUGCAGAGCAGAUAGCAGACAUAAUGACUAAGCCCUUAAACUCUCCUCAAUUCAUUUAUCUGAGAAACAAACUCAAUGUGCAUUUAUGCCCCUUGAGUUUGAGGGGGGCUGUGAAGAAAGCUCAUUGUGCUGAACUGAGAAGAGAGAAGAAGCCAGAAAUUAAGAUGCAUCAGCAAUGCCACGUCAACAAUGCUGAGUCAACUGAUUCUGUUAAGCAGCAAUGAGAGUUCACGUGUAUUGCUGUUAGUUAGUAUUAGCUAGUCUCGUACUGAUUAGUUAACUGUUUUUUAGUGUAAUACAAAUUAGUUUGUUAUAGCUUUUACUAAUAAACAUGUAAGUAUAUAAAGUCUGUAAGAACUACUCAUUUUUAGUGUAAUACAAAUUAGUUUGUUAUAGCUUUUACUAAUAAACAUGUAAGUAUAUAAAGUCUGUAAGAACUACUCAUUUUUAACUAAUGAAUUAGAUCCAUAAUAUUCAUAAACUUUCUCUCUGUUUUCUCGAUAACCAAACAGCAUUUUCAAUUCAUUUUACACUUGUCAUGAGCUUCUCAUCUUCUGUCUUGAAGGAAGAAAUUGCAAAAGACGAAUAAAACGAUUUCCUUUACACAUUCAAUCAAUGCUGCUGCCUUCAUAUCUUUAUUAUUAUCGGAGGGAUGAUACUGUUGAGAGCCGAAACCAUUACCCAUACUCACUCCUCUUAUGGCCGUGUCUAACUCUCUACAAUAAUUUCGAUAUUUCUGUUCUUCAGUUCUUCCACUACUCAACAAAUGCGAAGGUUUGCGAUGGCUCCACUCAUUCAAGUUGAUUUUACAUUUGUUACAAUCUACUCCCGCCAUUGCUAGAGCCUCUAUGGACAUGUUUUAACAAGGUGAAGGAGAAGCUAAAUAAAAUUCACAAUUUGCCUGAAAGUUUACAGCUUCCAGGAAAUUCACCACCUCUAUAGAAUUGUAAUAACAAGAAUUGUGGUCUCCGUAAAAGAAUUUAUAAGAGUUAAUAUAAAAGAUUUGUUUAGGAGAAUGAAUUUUAUACGGACUAGAAAUACUCAUGAUUAAUUGGUUAUUCAGAUGGUUUAGAAAUCCUCUCGAUAUUAGGAAGCCAUUUAAGAUUCUGAUUAUUGUUGUUCUAAAUAUAUUAGUUUGCACCAACUUCCAAUUCCACAAUUACUCUGACAGCGGUUUUCACGGACUUAUUUAUGUAUCUGAAUCUUUUUAUUCAUGAAAGAAUAAUCUCUUGCAAACUCACAACUUCAAUUAUGAAUCAACUAGCUAGCAACCAUUUCUUUACUUUUAAUUGCUUUGGAAAUUAAGGAUUCGUCAGCCGCCAGAUUCUGCAGUGAUUCUGUUGCAUUCAAUUAUUUGUUGAACUAUUUAUGCACGAGUGGAGGAGGAAUUCUAGAAUACAUUUGAAAUAAUACAAUCAACCAAUGCAUGCACACCACUUGUAUGGAGAUUUUUCAAAAAUAAAUGCACACAUGUCAUAACAUUAUCUACUUGUUAUAUGACUGACAUGAUAUGUUUUAUGUAUUCUAAAAUUUUCCUGAGUGGAGACCAUGAGUGGUAACAUCCACGUGACAAGAGAGUAUUACAAAGAGAUAGUCUCUUGUCAAUUUGAAUAUUUAUUGUAUUGAAACUACUAAGUAUAUAAGCUCGGACAACCCUAAUUUCAUGAUGAGGGGUUAAAGACAAUACUAUUCUAAAAGAAAAUGGAACGAAAUCGUCCAUCCAUAGCCAUUAUUUGACUUUUAGAUUUGCCCUUCCAAAUUUUAACAAAAUGCGCAGACGAUUUUUAAUUUAUUCAUGUGAACGAAGUACAACAAAAUUAUUGAACCAAUCAGAACCAAGAUGGAAAUGAUCAUAAGCAAAAGUAAUUUGCAAGGACGAAUGGAAGCAGAUAAAUUAUUCUAAUUAAGAGACUAAGUGCAAGUGAAAUAACUGUAGCACUGAUUAUUCGAGUAUGGAGGGAACGUCGUCGAAGAAGGGUAAACUUCUCUGUUUCAGGAUUUCACAAUCCUCAGGACUUGCUGUGUUUGGAUCAAAAGGCUCACGAUCAGGGGGAGGUAAGCCAAGUUUCAUUUGACCCACUCGCCGCGAAUGCAGGACUUGCUUGGUAGUGACAGGUAGCCUAACAGAUUGAUGUUCUUCCAGAGCUGAAUGUAAAUUUUCUGGCCCCCACCUCUCAAGGCAUUUACCUAAAACUGCUGCAUCAGCUAUGACCAUGUUUGUGCUUCUUGCACAGUGAGGGGUUAUGGGAUGAGCCGCAUCUCCAAUUAAGACCACAUUGUCCCAGUAUAUUUGUGUCAAAGGGUCACAAUCAUAUAUAAGGUUAAGGAAAGGCUCCUUUGUUUCUUUUAUCACUCUUGCAAACUCAGGAACCCAAAUCUUCUCUGCUUCUUGGUGCAUCUUCUUGAUCAUGUCACUGCUCACUUUCAUUGUAGCUGAAUCUCCCUGAAAUUACUUAAUCAAUUUAUUAAAGCUAGCUCUGCUAACACGUAUGUAUAUAAAUGAUAAAAUGAAGCAAGUUAGGCAAUCACCUUGAGUUGAGGCUCAGGUUGAGAGAUAAACCAAAUCCAAUUGAGCCUCUUGCACAUAAGCUCAUCAAGGACGGUGUAAGUUCCAGAGGCCAAGUCCAUGUGCACGCCAUUCCCAAGCGUGGGAUAUGCCUUCCGGAUGCCUUGUAUGGUUUCUGAAUUCUCAUUUUCCGAAAAAUCAAAAACCCCCCUCCAAGCACAGUAACCUGUAUACCUGCAAAACAGAAAUGAAAGAUAAACCGUAAAUUUCAAGACAACAGAAAAUAUGAAAAUAUAAUAUAAUUUGUUCAGAAACCUGAGUUUAGAGUCUGGUAAAAAAGUCUGGCGAACUGAUGACCGGCUCCCGUCAGCCGCAACCAGCAAAUCUCCAGCUAUGUCGAUGACCUCAUCAGUUUUAAGAUUCUUAGCUUUGACAUUGACAGUUGAUUUGUCGUGAGAAAUGCAGAAAGUGAGGUACAAGUGACCCCAAAAAAAUAUUUCCGGAGGCAGAGUAUUGUAUAUAAGACUAUGAAGAUCAGUUCAAUGUGCCUGUAAAUAGUUGAAAUUUUCAUCUCUAGCUAGUAUCCGACAGAUGUUCUUUUCCUGAUCUACUGCCCGAUUCUGCACAGAAAGAAAAAUAAAAAAAAAAUCAGCACAACUUGUGGGAACAUCAGUUGAAAUUAAAGCAGUUCUGUGUAGACACAUACAUUACCUGAUCAAUGGUGAGAGGUAAGGUGAUGUUGUGAAGAAGAUCAGGUUGAUGGAGCCAUGACUUAACUAUUUUCUGGGACAAUGGAUGAAGUGCGAUUCCAGCGCCGGUUGGGUUUCCGGUUGGAGGUCCACGUGUCUUCUCGAUCACCACCACAUCCCAACCUGCUAAAAUAAGCGCUUUUUUGCUAUGCUUCCCCCAACUAUUAUAGCUUUUGGCUUCCGCAUCCUCUCACUCAUGUCUCUCUCUUCCUCUCAAACACCUGUAUGUGUGACACAAAGGGACGCUCGCGCAAAGAUAUAUUUAUAUACAGGGGAAAACUUCCCAUUCUGAAUUCAUAAAUCAGGAUGAGCCGGCAAUCAUAUGAACAUUUUUUUAAAAUAAUUAUUUUAAAUUUUUUUUAUACUAUUGUUAAUUUGACUCUCGAACCAAGUCACUACUCUAUAAAUUUUUUUCAAUCUGAACUUAUAUAUUCCAAUUCAAGAACAAGGUUUAAUAAUGUAAUGACCGUGAAAACUAUUAGACCAUAUGGUUUAACAAUGUAAUGAUAUUAUACUAUAAAAUCCUUUAAUAACUUUUUGAAUUGUAAUAAUAUUCAGGAUUCUAAACUAGAUCAGUACUAUAUACACACACAUACACAGGCGGUGCCAUGAAUUAUUUUUAACAGGCUCUAAGUUUAAAUAGUAAUUUAAUUUAAAAAAUUAAUUAACAAAUAACAUAUAUCAAAAUAAAAAUUUAUUAAAAUAUUUAAUUCAAUACACUUAUAAUUGUUCUUGACUUCGUUUUAUAUGUUAAAAACAUUAAAGAAUAAUCUCAUUAUCAAGACUACAAAAUAUGUCUUUUUCUAUUUAUAUAACAAAUCUAUCGUUUAACUAUUGUUCUCCCAUUUGAUUUCACAGAUGAUUUUUUAUCAAAUUUAUAGUUGAAAAUGCCCUUUCUACUGUAUCUCUAGUAACUGGUAAAAUCAAUACUAAUAUCACCAAUAAAUAAACUAAUGAAUAUAAUUUACCUUUCUUAGUCUCACCGCAUUGUUAUUUUAUUAUUUAUUUGAAAACUGAUAAUAAAUUAUGAUUAAAUAUGUUCGCAGCAAUUACAAAGUCUUGAUACAAUGUUUCUAUCUCACAUGAUGACGUAACAUCAAUAUCGAUGAUCGCUAAUUAGGGAUUCCAUUAUCCUAUUUUCCCUCUCACAUGAUGAAUAAAUAAACAGUUUUAAAAUCUCGCGUCACCCAAUGUCUAGAAUGUACCCGGAGGCCGCAGCCUCAAAAGUAGUCAAAUUAAAUUCAAACUCUACAAACUCAAUAACAUGAUUACGUCUUAUUCUUUCUUAAUUGAAGUUGAUUUUUCAAGGAGGCAAUUUGUCCCGUCGUAUGCAGCCAAGUUAGAACGAAAAAAUGCUUAAUUAAAAUCUUACGAUCUUGAAGAAACCUUUCUAAUCAAAAUAAAUUCUCAAGUCAGAUUUUUCAAUCUGGCGAUAUGGAAUUUGCCUAAUAAAACUCUACAUUCAAACAUCACGCUUAUGAAACCCUUGCAUUCAGAAUAAAUUCUUGCGGUAUAUAAAAAAAAAAAAAAUUCUUGCGGGUAAGGAGGAUCAAAUGCAAGAAAAAAGUUUGAUAAAAAUGAAUAAAAGGAAUAAGGUAAAAGGAUGAAUAAUUUUGGUAAAAUUAGGUAUCUUGUGAAUAAAAUUCAUUGAUGGUAUGUUUCCUAUGAAGUUUAUAGUAUGUGAUGAUAGCAUUCUUCUGUAGGUAUUCAGGUUAUUGUGCAUGGCGAGGGGUUCUUGAUUUUUCGGGGAUUGAGGAUUCAGAGAUCAUCAAAGGCAUGAGGAGGGUGUGUCCUGACCUGGGGAAAUGCUUAUACUACGACCUGGCAUCUGGAACUCACAGUGUGUUUUAUGAGCUUCUCAAUAAAAGGCUCAAUUGGGUUUGGUAUAUCAACCAACCUGAGCCCAUAAUGAAGGUGAUUGCUUUGCUUUCUCCCACUCGCGUGCAAUCUUUGUAUAUACUACUAACCAUGAACUGUACUUGACCUUACUUUAAGGGCCGCAGAGGUUUUGCUGUAAGUUGUUAGAACUAAAUGCUGAAUAAAACACUUAGCAUUCAUGAUGCUAGGACGCAGAUUUUUGUGAUGCUUUAGUUUAGUUUCAAAGUUUCUAAAUCUGAAUUUCUACUCACAUUAAGAAACCAUGUAUUUCUCACCUGGUAAAUUCAAUCCUACAUAUUGACUUCGAGGCAACAUAUGCUUCUGGGACCGCUGGACUUCACCUUCUGGGAUGAGCAGAUGACAAGGAGUUGCCACUAAUUACAGAUAGAUACGUUUCUUUUCCAAAUUACAUAUGUUAACCAGCCAGUUCUAAUUAUUAUUAUUUGGAAACUAUGUGCAGGGAAAUUCAGUAACCAUGAGAGUAAGCAAUGACAUGAUCAAGAACAUGCACGAAGAAGCAGAGAAGGUUUGGCUUCCUGAGUUUGUGAAGGUCAUUAAAGAAACAAAAGAACCUUUCAUAAAUGCGAUGUAUGAUUGUGAUCCUCUUAAACAAAUAUUUUGGAGUAACAUAGUAUUAAUUGGAGAUGCUGCUCACCCAACAACUCCUCAUGGUCUGAGAAGCACGAACAUGUCAAUACUAGAUGCAAUGGUCUUGGGAAAAAGCCUUGAAAAGUGGGGAGUGGAGGGUUUGCUUUCAGCUCUUGAAGAAUAUCAGACAGUUCGGCUACCUGUAACCUCAAAACAAGUCCUGCAUUCACGGCGACUUGGUCGAAUUAAACAAGGCUUAGCUCUUCCAGAUCGUGAACCUUUUAAUCCGAAGACAGCAAGUCCACGAGACUGUCAAUAGCUUCAACAGAAAACUAUGCCUUUCUUCGCAGACCUGCCUUCUCUGGUUGACUCAACAUUAUGCUCCACUUGACCUGGGAGAAGAUGAAGCAUGUUCCAAGCAACCGAAUAGUAGUUAAGUUUCAAUUCUUUACACUUAUUUACAUCAUACCCAACUUAGUUCUCAUUGUGUGUAGUCUAGUAGGAAUCUCGUGUUUGUAUAGAACUAUUGUAUCCUUGUCAUCGAUCUUUGUUUUAUUUUCAUUUAUCUUGUUAUGCAGGAAUAAACUUAAUUAUUGUGAUUAAAACAAAAAUUAUGAUCGGUUUCAUGUGCCUAUUAAAGCUAUAAGAAAUUAAACUUUUGAAUUCAA
Molecule: long non-coding RNA, 123850 nt
Filed under: Citrus maxima (pomelo)
Lineage: Eukaryota; Viridiplantae; Streptophyta; Magnoliopsida; Sapindales; Rutaceae
Description: long non-coding RNA (CMAX_LNC001680)
Source: RNAcentral